CCACAUUUCAACUUGGUUUGAGAAGCCUGAAAACGCUGCAUCUGCGCGAUGUGCGUGUUACGGGGGAGGAGUUAGGGUGCCUUCUGUCCAGUUCCACUACUUUGGAACACCUGAAGCUUGUAUACUGCGAUGAUAUUGUUCGCCUCGAGAUACCUUGCCUGCUGCUGCGGCUCAGCUUUCUGGAGGUGGCUGGAUGCAUGAAUCUUCAAGUGAUAGAGAACGAAGCUCCAAAUCUCUCCAGAUUUUACCUUGAAGCAGGUGAACUGGUGCAAGUCUCGUUUGGAGAGUCGAAAGUGAAGAAAGUGCAGUUGGUGCAGAGUUGUGCCAUCAGUUAUGCUAUUGACAACCUUCCUUCCCGUGCGCCGAAUCUUGAGACUCUUACCAUAUCUUCUACGUACUUGUGAGGUAUGCUCUUACUCUUAAGAACACGAGCAUAUAGAGUUUAAAGGGAUAAACACGCAUUUAAAGAUACAGCUAGAAGUAUCAGCCUCGCACAAGCACUAGAGAUAAAAUGACUAAACACGAAAUAUGCGUCAUGUUUCGUUACAGGACCAGAUGGAAUAACUUAAAUGCGGAGAACCCUAUCGGUGCGGGGAACGGCCUUCUUCUCAGCGGCAGCAACGUCAGCACCCACUGGCGGCUUCUUGAAGCCGUCGUCAAGAUCGAGCUCUGGGUGGCGAUAGGCGAUGUUGCUCAAGACCAUGAAGAGGGUGUUGCGAGCAAGCCUCCGCGAUUCGGUCGCGAAACGCUCAGCCCUCCCCUCUUCAUGCACCUUCAACUUGUCGAUCAACUCGUCGAAGAAGAUCCCCAGCUUGGCACUUGGGACCUCAUGUUCGCUGGCUAAGUAGACCGGGCCGUCCAUGCCCAUCGUCGCGACUUGGGCUCCAAGGCGUUCUGCAAUAUCGAUCAGGCUCUUGAGCCAAAGGUUGCUCAUGUCGACCUGGUUCUUCAGCCUGUCCUCUGCUUCUUGUCGGAGGCGCUUGGUGUUUUCCAAAUCCUUGGACAGCAACUGUUGCCGUGAUUCAAGGGAUUCCGCCGACUGCUCCAGCGAGCCGAUCCUCGCCCUCAUAUCAGAGAUGUUGCUGUCAGCGGUCUCAGGGCUUUGGGUCUUGGAGGAGAGCUGCGACUGCACAUCAGCCAGGUGAAGCUCUGCUUGCUGUGCCUCUUCUUUGAGUGCCUCCACCUCCUUGGCACUCCCGGCAAGGUCUUCAUCCAGUUUGGCCACCUGCCGGUCGAGCUCGGCCUUGGUGGAAGACGCGGCAUCCAGAUCUUCAACAAGCUUCUUCAGCUGGGCAGCAUGGUCAGUAGCAAGGGUGUCCAGAGCAGGCCCAUGCUUGUCCUUCAAUUCUUUGGUGCGUUGUUGCACCAAGGUCUCCAAACUUUCAUCCUUGGCGCGGAGGGUAGCUGCAAGAUCCUCUUCCCGAAGGGAGAUCUCCCUCUCCCUAGCAUCCAGAGAUGCCUUAUGAUCCGCCAGGCCCCCCUCCCGUCAUCUGAAGGAUCUUUUGCUGCCUCAUGAGCGCCUUGAACUGCUUGUCGUGCCAUUCACGCAACUGCAGGCACUUGUCCUUCAGCUUCUGAUCCGCUUUGCUGACGGAUUCGUGCCGCUCCUUGAGCUCCUGCCACUUCUGGUUGUGUCGAUCAUGCAUUUCUUUCAAGCCCACCGCCAUGGACUCGAUAAAGGACAAAUCCAUGGUGAUGGCAGUUGAAUCGUCGACCUCCCCACCUCCCAGAUGCAGCGGUGCCAGAAGACGCUGAAGCUCUUCAUCAAGCUCUCCGUCUGUCAAGAACGGGCCGGGGGCUCCGAUAUCAGGCAACAAUGGCACCACGACCAACGUGUUCGAGGAAGACGGCGGGGCAUCGGCAGCGCCCCCGGAAGAGGGGAGUGGACCCAUGGUUUGAAGAGGAAUCUUCGCCUCGAUAACCAAUUCCUCUACCGGGGCGCUUUCUAGAGAAUGCUCCACCACUGCCAAGGAACCUUGUGUUCCCCUGGCAGCGAGAUCCUGCCCCUUAGUACCGUGACCUUCGUGGCUUCAUCUGUGGUGGACCUCCCUAUGUCCGCCACCCCUCCAACAAGUCUGGUUCUUCAGCCUGGGGGGCUGUAGAUGGAAGGGGCCAGUGAAAAAACGAAGGAAUGGAAGUCUCAAAAAGCGAAUAAAGAAGCCAGUGGAGGCAUCCAGAAUAUGAAAGAGAAGAGGGGUUAAGCUAGAUACUUAAGGAAGUCUGUCGGGCAGGCAUCUCUGUUUCCCCGGCAACGGUCGUUGCCGGGUCACGAGCUUCAUCCUCUGCCGAGGUAGACUCGGCAGCCUUCUGCGCUGUCUCUGCCAUGGAGGAUUCCAUGAUGACAUCUUCGGCUUGAGCGGCAGGGCACACGUGCUCCUCCAGGCACUACAAAAAAAAGACACAUCCGUGACAUUUUGGGCCGAACGAAUUUUUUUUCUGUCAUACAUAUGACACUUCUAUGACGAUAAUUGUGACAAAACCCGGUAUCAUCAUAGAUGUGGUGGGCUCCUACUUCUAUGACAAAAAAUGGGCUUUUCGUCCUGGGCGGGCCGGAGACGCAGCUACAUGACAUUCUUUGGGCCGUCCAUGACGGAAAAAACCGUGGUAGAAGCGAGGGGGAGGAAAAUUUCGGGGAGUUCCCGGUUAUGGUGGGAGGUCGGGGGCCGAGCGAUGCACGUUUCUCUCGUACACGUACGCGCGUGUGUGCGAGGCGUUCGCUCUAACUGAACCCAAGCGAGGCGUUGGGCUCUAACUGAACCCGGGCGAUUGCACUGCAGGCUACGCAUUACUGAACCCGAGCGAUAGAUCGAUGGCUGUUAAUUGAACCCGAUCGAGCGAUUCCUUCGCUACUGCUGCUAACUGAAGCCGAUCGAUUGGAUGAACAGUGAGCGUUGCGGGGGGGGGUGGAUGAACAGUGAGCGGUGGCGUUGCCUCUGGAUGAACAGGACCCCGUGGUGUGGAGGGCUGGAUGAAUAGUAGACGGUGGAGGGGUNNNNNNNNNNNNNNNNNNNNNNNNNNNNNNNNNNNNNNNNNNNNNNNNNNNNNNNNNNNNNNNNNNNNNNNNNNNNNNNNNNNNNNNNNNNNNNNNNNNNNNNNNNNNNNNNNNNNNNNNNNNNNNNNNNNNNNNNNNNNNNNNNNNNNNNNNNNNNNNNNNNNNNNNNNNNNNNNNNNNNNNNNNNNNNNNNNNNNNNNNNNNNNNNNNNNNNNNNNNNNNNNNNNNNNNNNNNNNNNNNNNNNNNNNNNNNNNNNNNNNNNNNNNNNNNNNNNNNNNNNNNNNNNNNNNNNNNNNNNNNNNNNNNNNNNNNNNNNNNNNNNNNNNNNNNNNNNNNNNNNNNNNNNNNNNNNNNNNNNNNNNNNNNNNNNNNNNNNNNNNNNNNNNNNNNNNNNNNNNNNNNNNNNNNNNNNNNNNNNNNNNNNNNNNNNNNNNNNNNNNNNNNNNNNNNUUCGACCGUAGGAGGUCCGUUUCGUCCGUUUUGUGAUACGCCACACCCCUCCCGAUCGACAGGACCCCCGUUUCGACCGUAGGAGGUUCGUUUCCUCCGUUUUGCGGUACGCCACACCCCUCCCAAUCAACAGGACCCCGUUCCGAACGUAGGAGGUCCGUUUCCUCCGUUUUGCGGUAUGCCAGGCCUCGUUUCCAUCGCCUGUUCUGUCCAAGCCCUCUCGAUGAACACGACCACGCAUUCCGUUCCACCCCAGCCGGUUGGCUCCCACGCGUUCCGUUGCCUCCCGAUGAACACGACGCAUUCCGUUGCCUCCCCAUGAACACGACGCAUUCCGUUGCCUCCCCAUGAACACGACGCAUUCCGUUGCCUCCCCAUGAACACAACGACGAUGCUAUUUCUCCGUUCCGAUCCAGCCAUGUACACGAGCCCUGGCCGUACGUAUGCGCGAGUAGGCGUUCGAGACCCCGCCCGUAUGUACACAUACGUGGCCGUAUUUUCUUUCUUGCACCCUGGCCGUUGUACGUAUGUGUACAUGCUACGUGUGCGCCUCUACUACGACACGUGCGCGCCUCUACAUCCACCCGUAUAUAUGUACGUACACGUUCGCGACCAGAAUGACAACGCUACGUACGCUUCGACCAGGUGGGUACCGACUGUCAGGCACUUCCUUGCGUGCGAAGAUGUAGCUGGUGGGUCCCAGCAGUCAGGGGGGAAACGUUUUUUUGCGAAAUACGGUGGCCCGUCCGGUGGGUCCCCGCUGUCAGGAGGAGGAAUAAUUAUUUUGCACGUAAUAAGGAGGCACUUCCUUGUUGCAGCCAUGGACCCAACUGUCAGCCUCUCCACGUACAGUCCACGUCCGAUGGAAGCCGUUCCUUGACCACGUUGACCACGCCGCACCGAGAGCACCAGGGCGGUGGACGACGGUGAGGCCUAGGAAGGGGACGAAGCGGCAGUGGAUGCCCACGCAUAGAGGAGUACGAGGGUUCAUUGGUUCGCUGCGGUGUGAGGCUGCCGUCGCCGCAGAAUAACAGGGGGUGUGGGUGAGUAGAGGGAUGGCCCGGCCAGCGGUGGGAGUAGUAGGGGUAGUGAUGUAGCGACCAGACCUCAAAUGACCUGUGCUGCUGUGCACCAGUGUCAUCCCUGGAUCAGUAAUGCUGACACGCACAGUACAAAUGGAGGAUUUAUAACAGAGUAGCAAUCACACACUUAUUACAUCGAAUAUCUCCAAAGAGAUUAAGUAUGAUAAACAUGGCUUAAGGCCAUCUAAUAACGAUAACAGCGGAAGACUUGGAAGAUAAGUGAGUCCAUCAACUCCAGCGGCAUCACUGAGUAUAAGACCACGACCUAAGGCACCUUACUCGUCGUCUGAAAAGUCUGCAACAUGAAACGUUGCAGCCCGAAAAUGGGUCAGCACAUAGAAUAUGCUGGCAAAGUAACACAUAGAGAGCAAUGAACAAUAAUAAUGCUAUACUACAUGCAUUUAUGGCUGGUGGAAAGCUCUAUGGUUACAGUUUUGCGAAAAGCCAAUUUUAUCCUACUGCAAAGGAAUAGAUUUUAUUUAACUAUCAUGGUGGUUGAAACAUUGAGAAGGUACCUCCAACUCAAUCCCAAUUAAGUGUCAUCAUUAACCCAACCAAAUUAAUUAUAAGUAUCACGGUGAUGAGAUUCAAAUGAUAAUCCAAGUACUAGAUACUCAAGUUGUCCAUAACCGGGGACACAGCUAAUCAUGAUCAGUUUGUACACUCUGCAGAGGUUUGUGCACUUUUCCCCACAAGACUCGAUCGCCUCCGCUUGAUUCUCGCACUGCAUGAUGUUUGAGAAAUGGAUGACCGAGACACAGUCUUUCAGAAACGAUCACUCUUUACUCUGGAUGGACCGGUACACCUACUUUCCCCUACAUCUGCUAGUCCACCUCUUCAAGAGAUCCUGUAACCUACUCAGCUAUGCUAGAGCCCAUAAUAGCUUGCGGCUGCACACGGAAGUUUCUAGCAUGAAUAAUCUUAUGAUCCCUUUGAGCCUGGGUGGCGGACCUUAUAAAAUCAGACAACACUGGGUUCUCCAGGUGCCUCAAUCCACCCAGAUGUGAGUUUUAGUUGCCACCUUAAGUUGAACCAUUAUUAACAAUCUCACAUCUGUCAUGAAUAUCACUCAAACCCAAUCCACGUCUACGAGCAUAGCAUGGCAAUAAUAAAAGCAACGUAGAAGUAACUCCCAAGGGUUUGAUAAUAAAACAGGUAAUAGGUACUACCUCAACUACUUCCCAGUACCCACAAUUUAAUCAGAUCCUAAUCAUGCAAUGUUUGAGGAAUAGAUCUAAUGCAAUAAAAACUGGGUAUGAACGGGGUAUGAUCAAAGUGUUACUUGCCUUGCUGAUGAUCCGCAAAACCUAGCGAUUCGAAGUAACAAGCGGCACACUCCGGGUACUCUAUCGCAAACAAACAAGCAUACAAUCAGUACUCAUCUAAUGCACAGGUAAAACUCGAAUGAAAGAUCCAACCAGAAAGUUCAACUUAAGAACUCCGGUUUGCAAAAAAAAUCAACUCGAAAGAAGCAACGAAAGUCAAACGGCGAAAGGAAGAAACUUCGUUUGCUAAUCUGAAUCUAGGUCAAAUUUUACUGUAGCAAAAACUUGUUUGAGUAGAUUAAUCAGAAAGAGAAUUUCGAGACGAAACUCUAGGCGCUUGAAUCGCCUGAUUCCGAUAAACGAGCGAGAAGUUAAACAGAUUCGAAAAUUCGAUCAGAAAUCGAAUCUGAGAAAAUAACGAGAAAAUCCGACGAAAAAGAAAAAACGGACGAACGGUUAAAUAACGGACGUUCAUUAACAGAGAAAAACCGAUGAACGCGUUCGUUAAAACAAACGGUUCGGUGAACGCUCGUAGAAUAAGAAAACCGAAAAAAACCGAUCUAGGGUUUUUUUUAAACAAAAGGUUUUUUUUCAGAAAACCGGUCAACACGAAAUGGCCGGCGGCAGUACCUCGUGGCGGGGNNNNNNNNNNNNNNNNNNNNNNNNNNNNNNNNNNNNNNNNNNNNNNNNNNNNNNNNNNNNNNNNNNNNNNNNNNNNNNNNNNNNNNNNNNNNNNNNNNNNNNNNNNNNNNNNNNNNNNNNNNNNNNNNNNNNNNNNNNNNNNNNGGAGGGGGGGCUAUAUAUAGAAGGGGGGGUGCGGGCGGCUUGGGGAAGGGGCAUCCGAGGCGGCGGCGGCGUCGUGGCGCUCCCGGACUCCGGCGGCGUCGUGGGGAGGAAGGAGAGGUCGCGGGUGACGGGCCGUCGGCUUGGGCUCGGCCCAGCCGGCGCGGGCGCGUUUUUUUUUAAAGUUCCGCGGAAAAUAUUGCGUAGAAACAUAAAUAAAAAUCAGAAAAAUACGAAAUAAAUUUUCCCCGUCUAGUUAGAAAAUCUAGACUAGGGUGAACAUUUUUAAAAUAAAAAAAUAAAUACUUUCAAAACAUGCAUAUUUUUAAAUGCAAUAAAAAUUGCAAAUAAAAUCCAAUAAAUUCCAAAUAAUGAUUUUAACAUUUUUCGUCCGGUAUUUCAAAUGUUUUGGAGAAGUCAUAUUUUCUCCUCUCGUUUAUUUAUAAAUUGAAAUAUUUUUCCGGAGAGAAAAUAAUUAAAACCACAAUCCUCGUUUGAAAAUCAAAUUUGAAAAUUCGAGAAAAUCCCCAACUCUCUCCGAGGGUCCUUGAGUUGCGUAGGAUUUAUCGAGGAUUUGUCAAAAUGCAAUAAAACAUGAUAUGCAAUGAUGAUCUAUGUAUAACAUACCAAAUUGAAAAUUUGGGAUGUUACAAACCUACCCGCCUUAAGAUGAAUCUCGCCCUCGAGAUUCAGGUUGGCUAGAAAACAGGUGGGAGUGGUUUUUCCGUAGAUCUUCCUCUCGCUCCCAGGUGGCUUCAUCUUCUGUGUGGUGGCUCCACUAGACUUUGCAAAACUUGAUAACCUUGCUGCGGGUAACUCGGCUGGCAUACUCGAGAAUCUUAACUGGUUUCUCCUCAUAGGUCAAAUCACUUUCCAACUGAAUCGCUUCUAGUGGCACAGUAUCUCUUAGUGGUAUCUCAGCCAUCUCUGCGUGGCACUUCUUCAAUUGCGAAACGUGAAAUACAUCAUGUACUUCAGACAAUCCUUCGGGCAAUUCCAACUUGUAGGCAACUUCUCCCAUACGUUCCAAUACUCUGUAUGGUCCGAUAAAACGGGGCGCUAACUUUCCCUUAACUCCAAUGCGCUUCACUCCUCGAAGGGGUGAUACUCGAAGAUAUACUCGGUCUCCGACUUCGUGAACUGUCUCCUUUCGUUUAGAAUCCGCAUAACUCUUCUGUCUGGACUGGGCUACUUUGAGUCUAUCGCGAAUCAACCUUACUUUCUGUUCAGACUCCUUAAUCAAAUCUGGUCCAAACAAUUGACGGUCUCCAACUUCGUCCCAUAACAACGGUGUUCUACACCUCCUUCCGUAUAAAGCUUCGAAAGGGGCCAUCUUCAAACUGGUUUGAUAACUGUUGUUAUACGAAAACUCCGCAUAUGGCAAAUUGUCGUCCCAACUAGAUCCAUAAUCUAGUGCGCAAGCUCUCAACAUGUCCUCCAAAAUCUGGUUGACUCUCUCGGUCUGUCCAUCUGUCUGCGGGUGAAAUGCUGUACUAAAUUCCAGCCUGGUUCCCAAUGUUUCAUGUAGCUGCUUCCAAAACUUCGAGGUAAAUUGGGUUCCUCUGUCUGAUACAAUGGUCCUCGGAACUCCAUGCAAACAUACUAUCCUGGUCAUGUAUAUCUUAGCCAACUUAGCACUGGUGUAAGUGGUCUUUACUGGAAUGAAAUGAACCACUUUCGUCAAUCGAUCAACUACAACCCAUAUUGAGAAAUAGCCUGAACGAGUCCGGGGUAAUCCUGUGAUAAAAUCCAUGCCUAUUUUAUCCCACUUCCAUUCGGGUAUCGGCAAUGGUUGUAGCAAUCCUGCUGGCUUCUGAUGCUCUGCCUUCACUCUCUGACAUACAUCACAAACUGCUACAUACUCCGCAAUAUCCUUCUUCAUUCCGGUCCACCAGAAAGUAUUUUUCAAAUCCAAAUACAUCUUGGUAUUCCCUGGGUGAAUCAAGUACGGUGAAUCAUGGGCUUCUUGCAAAAUCAACUUCCUGAUCUCCGGAUCAUUUGGCACAUAUACACGGUCCUCAAACCAUAAGGUAUCGUGCUCAUCCUCAUGAAAUCCCUUGGCUUUUCCUUUGCUCAUCUUCUCCUUUAUCUCUGCAAUCUCCUUGUCUGUCUUCUGAGCUUCUCUGAUCCUUUCCAUCAAGGUAGACUGAACCUCCAACGUCGCUAAAUAGCCUCUAGGGACUAUCUCCAAACAUAGCUCGCGUAGGUCCUCGGCUAACUCCUGGGGUAACUCUCCUGUCAUGAGGGUGUUGACAUGACUCUUGCGGCUCAACGCGUCUGCUACUACGUUAGCCUUUCCAGGGUGAUAAUGCAAUCUCAUAUUAUAAUCUUUAAUGAGCUCCAACCAUCUCCUUUGUCUGAGGUUUAACUCCUUCUGCGUGAAAAUGUACUUCAAACUCUUGUGAUCCGUGUACACCUCACAAUGGUUUUCGAUGAGAAAAUGUCUCCAUGUCUUCAAUGCAUGCACCACGGCUGCUAAUUCCAAAUCAUGCGUAGCAUAAUUCUUCUCAUGGGGUUUAAGUUGUCGUGAAGCAUACGAAACAACUCUUCCUUCCUGCAUAAGCACUGCUCCAAGUCCUCGACGAGAAGCGUCGCAAUAAACUUCAUAGUCCUUGCGUUGAUCUGGCAGAAUCAACACUGGUGAUGUAACCAAUCGUUUCUUCAACUCUUGGAAACUAGCUUCACAUUCCUCAGUCCAAUUGAAUUUGGUGUCCUUCUUCAAUAGCUCAGUCAUGGGCUUAGCAAUCUUUGAGAAAUUCUCGAUGAAUCUCCGGUAGUAUCCUGCAAGUCCAAGAAAACUCCGGAUUUCUCCAACUGUCGUGGGUGAUUCCCAACUUGUCACUGUGUCAACCUUGGCAGGGUCUACUGCUAUUCCUUCUCCAGAAAUAACAUGUCCAAGGAAUCCAACUUCCUUCAACCAAAACUCACAUUUGCUGAACUUGGCAUAUAACUGAUGUUCUCUGAGCUUCUCAAGUACCAAUCGCAAAUGCUCCUCAUGCUCUUCCUCAUCCUUGGAAAAGACUAUAAUAUCAUCAAUGAACACCACGACGAACUUAUCCAAAAACUCCAUAAAUACUUUGUUCAUCAGGUUCAUGAAAUAGGCCGGUGCGUUGGUCAGUCCAAAUGACAUAACGGUAUACUCAUACAACCCAUAUCUGGUGGUAAAUGCCGUCUUGGGUAUAUCCUGCUCUCGAAUCUUUAACUGAUGGUAUCCUGAUCGUAGAUCGAUCUUGGAAAAUACUUUAGCUCCUUGCAGGCGGUCAAACAAAUCAUUGAUCAUCGGCAGUGGGUACUUGUUUUUGAUGGUCACUUCAUUCAAUCCUCGGUAAUCAACAACCAUCCUCAGCGAUCCAUCUUUCUUCUCCACUAGAAGUACUGGUGAUCCCCAAGGUGACGAACUUGGGCGAAUAUAGCCUUUAUCCAGCAACUCCUUGAUCUGCUUCUUAAUUUCCUCCAAAUCCUUUGCGGGCAUCCUGUACGGUCUCUUAGAUAUUGGCCCUGUGCCUGGCAAAAGUUCAAUCAAGAACUCAAUGUCUCUAUCCGGUGGCAUGCCUGGCAACUCUUCUGGAAAUACAUCCGGAUAAUCCUUCACCACUGGUACUUCCUCCUGUACAACUCCUGAUAAGGAAUUCACUUGAGUCCUCUUCGUCAUAUGCCGGGAUACAUACUUGAUCCUUUUUCCUUCUGGGGUGGUAAGCAAAAUCGUCUUGCUGGCACAAUCGAUGUUUCCUCCAUACAACGAUAGCCAAUCCAUUCCCAGAAUCACAUCCAAACCUUGCGAUUCCAAAACAAUGAGGUCUGAGGGGAAAACAUGCCUACCAAUGGCCAAUGGUAUCUGAAAACAUCCUUGAGUGGCCAUAUACUCUGCUCCUGGCGAGGUUACUAACAUAGGGGUUUUGAGAACUUGGGUGGACAUCUUAAACUUAUUCACGAAUCCCCUUGAUAUGUAUGAAUGCGAUGCACCAGUAUCGAAAAGAACAGUUGCAGUAAAUGACUUAACCAAAAACUUACCUAUUACUGCAUCAGGCUGAGCUUCAACCUCCUCCACGCUCACGUGGUUCACAUGUCCUUUGUUGAACGGGUUCGGCUUCUUCCUAGAGCUUCCAUUGCCAUUUCCAUUUUGGGCUUCGGGACAAUCAGUAGCGUAAUGUCCCGUCUUCUGGCACUUGAAACAAGUAAUGUGACUUAGAUCUCUCUUGGUUGGGGUAGAUGGGUUGGUGCGGUUCUGUCUGUUUCCUCCUCCAUUCCCAUUACCAUUCUUGGAGCCAUUAUGGUUGUGCGAACUACCUCCUCCAUGGGUAUGCUGAAACUGUCCUCCCGGCUUCGGGGUAAAUCGUGGCUUCUGCUGGGCUCCAGAAUUGUACUUCCCUUGUCCAUACUUCCUCUUGCGGUUUUCAAUCUGCUGUUGCUUCCCUUCAAUCAUGAGAGCUCUAUCUACCAGCUCCUGGUAGUUGUUGAAAGUUGCUACCAUCAACUGCAUACUCAGCUCAUCAUUCAAUCCUUCCAGAAAUUUCUUCUGCUUGGCAGCAUCCGUAGCAACGUCAUCUGGUGCAUAACGUGCUAGCAUACUGAAAUCCUCCACAUACUGGCCUACGGUGCGUCCUCCUUGGCGUAGGUUACGAAACUCACGCUUCUUCAUAGCCAUAGCUCCUGCUGAAACAUGAGCUGUACGGAAAGCUUGCUGAAACUGGUCCCAUGUGACAGUGUCAAUAGGAUGCGUGGCUGUGUAAUUCUCCCACCAUGAUGCUGCGGGUCCAUCAAGCUGAUGUGCGGCAAAACGCACUCUUUCCGCAUCUGUGCAUCCUGCAGUGGUCAACUCCCUUCCAACUUUGCGGAGCCAAUCAUCUGCAACAAUCGGCUCGGUGCUGCUGGAAAACACCGGCGGGUUUAACCUUAAGAAACGGGCUAGGUGGUCAACAGGUGGUGCUGGCGGUGGGUUGUUGUUGUUGUUGCCUUGGUUCUGAACUAACACUUGCAUCAGGGCAUUCUGUUGCUGAAUCAACUGGGUGAUCUCUGGCGGAAAAGCAAAUCCGGUGUCGCGUCUCGGAGGCAUCUGAUAGGUUUAGAAAAGAUGAGAGUUGAGAAAAGAAUGAGGUCUAGAGAGAAAACACUACCCAUAUGCUCAUGAGACAAUUUCAAUCAAUAUCACUCAAUCAAUCCAAACAAGGCAAAACAAUCGAUCUAACUAGCGUUACAAAGUGCUUGAACUAUACUACUAAAUGGGGAAACUACUACUGAUAUGGUGGUCUACUAAAAAUUCUGAUCCGUCGAAGACUCCAUGAUGUCUGCUCCAGCUUCAUCAAUCCAUUCAUCUUCACUUGGUUCCGAGUCGGUGUCGUCGAUGAUGAUGUAGUUAUCCGGACAAGUGCAUUUGUCGUCUUCUGCUUUUGGCACUGGAUUUCCCAUGAAUGCUCCAAUCUUAUUCUCCAGGUCGUCAAUCUUCCCGACUAGUGCGUUGAUUUCCUCCAAAUAAUCUUCGCGUGUAACCUUAAGUUCGUCUUGGAGUUCCUUGAUCUUCGUUAAUGCCUUCUUCAGUUCUUCCUUGUCCGUGCACAUCUGGUUCUCCUGGCGACGAAUAUGUUGGUUCUGCUCCUAGAUGAAAGCUGCAAUUGAUCCAUCCUUCUUGGUCUUGAUCAUCUCCCAUUGCGCGUCUCGACGUCCACAAAUUUGGUAAAUUGUAUCCUUAAGCUCCUGGUGGUAGACUUCUCCAAUACGUCCCAUGGCGAUGUGUGCGGCCAUGCUCUUCCCUAAACUCCAAGUUGGUGCUUCGAAAACCAAUCUCAUGGCACUAAACAUCCUCCCGGGAAUGAUAACUUGAAUCUUCCAGCUCUCCUCUUCAGGUAAUGUGGCGUUGUAGGUUCCGGUGACGCUUGGUAUUCCUAUGUUCAAGUACUUGGUGACUUCCUUCAAAUGUCGUCCAAACGGUGUGUCUUCAUCUGGUUGCAUGAACUUUCUCCUUGCAUUCGCCAUUCCUAAAAGAGUAGAAAGUGGAGAGGAGUCAGAAUUGAGAAGAGAGAAGCUUUCUAGGGCUUAAGCUUAGUGGUCGUGUCCUAUAGUCAGCGUGUGCUCUGAUACCAACUUUGUAGCGACCAGACCUCAAAUGGCCUAUGCUGCUGUGCACCAGUGUCAUCCCUGGAUCAGUAAUGCUGACACGCACAGUACAAAUGGAGGAUUUAUAACAGAGUAGCAAUCACACACUUAUUACAUCGAAUAUCUCCAAAGAGAUUAAGUAUGAUAAACAUGGCUUAAGGCCAUCUAAUAACGAUAACAGCGGAAGACUUGGAAGAUAAGUGAGUCCAUCAACUCCAGCGGCAUCACUGAGUAUAAGACCACGACCUAAGGCACCUUACUCGUCGUCUGAAAAGUCUGCAACAUGAAAUGUUGCAGCCCGAAAACGGGUCAGCACAUAGAAUAUGCUGGCAAAGUAACACAUAGAGAGCAAUGAACAAUAAUAAUGCUAUACUACAUGCAUUUAUGGCUGGUGGAAAGCUCUAUGGUUACAGUUUUGCGAAAAGCCAAUUUUAUCCUACUGCAAAGGAAUAGAUUUUAUUUAACUAUCAUGGUGGUUGAAAAAUUGAGAAGGUACCUCCAACUCAAUCCCAAUUAAGUGUCAUCAUUAACCCAACCAAAUUAAUUAUAAGUAUCACGGUGAUGAGAUUCAAAUGAUAAUCCAAGUACUAGAUACUCAAGUUGUCCAUAACCGGGGACACAGCUAAUCAUGAUCAGUUUGUACACUCUGCAGAGGUUUGUGCACUUUUCCCCACAAGACUCGAUCGCCUCCGCUUGAUUCUCGCACUGCAUGAUGUUUGAGAAAUGGAUGACCGAGACACAGUCUUUCAGAAACGAUCACUCUUUACUCUGGAUGGACCGGUACACCUACUUUCCCCUACAUCUGCUAGUCCACCUCUUCAAGAGAUCCUGUAACCUACUCAGCUAUGCUAGAGCCCAUAAUAGCUUGCGGCUGCACACGGAAGUUUCUAGCAUGAAUAAUCUUAUGAUCCCUUUGAGCCUGGGUGGCGGACCUUAUAAAAUCAGACAACACUGGGUUCUCCAGGUGCCUCAAUCCACCCAGAUGUGAGUUUUAGUUGCCACCUUAAGUUGAACCAUUAUUAACAAUCUCACAUCUGUCAUGAAUAUCACUCAAACCCAAUCCACGUCUACGAGCAUAGCAUGGCAAUAAUAAAAGCAACGUAGAAGUAACUCCCAAGGGUUUGAUAAUAAAACAGGUAAUAGGUACUACCUCAACUACUUCCCAGUACCCACAAUUUAAUCAGAUCCUAAUCAUGCAAUGUUUGAGGAAUAGAUCUAAUGCAAUAAAAACUGGGUAUGAACGGGGUAUGAUCAAAGUGUUACUUGCCUUGCUGAUGAUCCGCAAAACCUAGCGAUUCGAAGUAACAAGCGGCACACUCCGGGUACUCUAUCGCAAACAAACAAGCAUACAAUCAGUACUCAUCUAAUGCACAGGUAAAACUCGAAUGAAAGAUCCAACCAGAAAGUUCAACUUAAGAACUCCGGUUUGCAAAAAAAAUCAACUCGAAAGAAGCAACGAAAGUCAAACGGCGAAAGGAAGAAACUUCGUUUGCUAAUCUGAAUCUAGGUCAAAUUUUACUGUAGCAAAAACUUGUUUGAGUAGAUUAAUCGGAAAGAGAAUUUCGAGACGAAACUCUAGGCGCUUGAAUCGCCUGAUUCCGAUAAACGAGCGAGAAGUUAAACAGAUUCGAAAAUUCGAUCAGAAAUCGAAUCUGAGAAAAUAACGAGAAAAUCCGACGAAAAAGAAAAAACGGACGAACGGUUAAAUAACGGACGUUCGUUAACAGAGAAAAACCGAUGAACGCGUUCGUUAAAACAAACAGUUCGGUGAACGCUCGUAGAAUAAGAAAACCGAAAAAAACCGAUCUAGGGUUUUUUUUAAACAAAAGGUUUUUUUUCAGAAAACCGGUCAACACGAAAUGGCCGGCGGCGGUACCUCGUGGCGGGGCUCGGCGGCGAGGGGUGCGGGGCUCGGGGCGGCGGCUCNNNNNNNNNNNNNNNNNNNNNNNNNNNNNNNNNNNNNNNNNNNNNNNNNNNNNNNNNNNNNNNNNNNNNNNNNNNNNNNNNNNNNNNNNNNNNNNNNNNNNNNNNNNNNNNNNNNNNNNNNNNNNNNNNNNNNNNNNNNNNNNNNNNNNNNNNNNNNNNNNNNNNNNNNNNNNNNNNNNNNNNNNNNNNNNNNNNNNNNNNNNNNNNNNNNNNNNNNNNNNNNNNNNNNNNNNNNNNNNNNNNNNNNNNNNNNNNNNNNNNNNNNNNNNNNNNNNNNNNNNNNNNNNNNNNNNNNNNNNNNNNNNNNNNNNNNNNNNNNNNNNNNNNNNNNNNNNNNNNNNNNNNNNNNNNNNNNNNNNNNNNNNNNNNNNNNNNNNNNNNNNNNNNNNNNNNNNNNNNNNNNNNNNNNNNNNNNNNNNNNNNNNNNNNNNNNNNNNNNNNNNNNNNNNNNNNNNNNNNNNNNNNNNNNNNNNNNNNNNNNNNNNNNNNNNNNNNNNNNNNNNNNNNNNNNNNNNNNNNNNNNNNNNNNNNNNNNNNNNNNNNNNNNNNNNNNNNNNNNNNNNNNNNNNNNNNNNNNNNNNNNNNNNNNNNNNNNNNNNNNNNNNNNNNNNNNNNNNNNNNNNNNNNNNNNNNNNNNNNNNNNNNNNNNNNNNNNNNNNNNNNNNNNNNNNNNNNNNNNNNNNNNNNNNNNNNNNNNNNNNNNNNNNNNNNNNNNNNNNNNNNNNNNNNNNNNNNNNNNNNNNNNNNNNNNNNNNNNNNNNNNNNNNNNNNNNNNNNNNNNNNNNNNNNNNNNNNNNNNNNNGCGGCGGCGGGGCUAGAAGCGGCGGCGGCGUGCUCCUCCGGCGGCGGUGAUGACGAAAACGGAGGGGGGGCUAUAUAUAGAAGGGGGGUGCGGGCGGCUUGGGGAAGGGGCAUCCGAGGCGGCGGCGGCGUCGUGGCGCUCCCGGACUCCGGCGGCGUCGUGGCGCUCCCGGACUCCGGCGGCGUCGUGGGGAGGAAGGAGAGGUCGCGGGUGACGGGCCGUCGGCUUGGGCUCGGCCCAGCCGGCACGGGCGCGUUUUUUUUAUAUAAAAAAGUUCCGCGGAAAAUAUUGCGUAGAAAAAUAAAUAAAAAUCAGAAAAAUACGAAAUAAAUUUUCCCCGUCUAGUUUGAAAAUCUAGACUAGGGUGAACAUUUGUAAAAUCAAAAAUAAAUAUUUUGAGAACAUGCAUAUUUUUAAAUGCAAUAAAAAUUGCAAAUAAAUUCCAAUAAAUUCCAAAUAAUGAUUUUAACAUUUUUCCUCCGGUAUUUCAAAUUUUUUGGAGAAGUCAUAUUUUCUCCUCUCGUUUAUUUAUAAAUUGAAAUAUUUUCCGGAGAGAAAAUAAUUAAAACCACAAUCCUCGUUUGAAAAUCAAAUUUGAAAAUUCGAGAAAAUCCCCAACUCUCUCCGAGGGUCCUUGAGUUGCGUAGGAUUUAUCGAGGAUUUGUCAAAAUGCAAUAAAACAUGAUAUGCAAUGAUGAUCUAUGUAUAACAUACCAAAUUGAAAAUUUGGGAUGUUACAGGUGAGGCCUCCGCCGCAUCGCAGCCGGCCACGGGAGGCAGGAGCACGAGGCACGGCCGGCGCUGGUUUGGGCGGCUGGAGCAAGAAGACCAGAGGUUGAAGAAGCACUACAGCCGUUGGAUGGACAUCGUACGGUCACUGGAGCUAGAAUCGUGCAUAUUGACUAAGUUGACAAAGCCCUACGUCCCCGUCAACUUAGUAGGCACACAAGUCAGCCUGCCACUAUACUGGGUCCCAGCUAACAGGGGGAGUAUUCAUUUUUUUGUGCGUAAUAAGGAGGCACUUCCUUGCGUGCGAAGAUAUAGCUGGUGGGCCCGAGCUGUCAGCGGCGGUAACGUUUUUUUCGCGAAAUACAAUGGCCCUUUCGGUGGGUCCCUAAUGUCAGGUGGAGGAAUCAUUAUUUUGCGCGUAAUAAGGAGGCAUUUCCUUACGUGCGGCCGUGGACCCAACUGUCGGCCUCUCCACGUACAGUCCAGUUCAGAUGCAUGUCGGUCGUUGACCACGUUGACCAGGCCACGCCGAGAGCACCAGGGCGGUGGAUGACGGCGAGGCCUAGGAAGGGAACGACACGGAGGCAGGGAAGACUCGGCAGUUGUUUCCCACGCGGAGGGGAGUACGACUGUACGAGGGAUUACUGGUUCGUCUGCCGUCGCCGGAGAAUAACAGCAGGUGUGGGUGAGUAGAGGGCUGGCUAGGCCAGCGAUGGGAGUACGGUGGGGCGGUGAGGCCUGUGCGGCAGCAGAGCCGGCCGCGGGGAGGAGGGAGCAGGCAGUCCCGCCGGCACUUGUUUGAGCGGCUGGAGCAGGAAGAGCAGAGAUUGAAGAAGCACGACAACCAUUGGAUGGCCAUCCAACAGUCACUGCUUGUGCGUCAACCUUUUUUUUAGGAAAGCCUCAAAUCUGUGGAAAACAGCAUACAGCCCAUCUGCCAUUAUUUCUAAUAAUUUACAGCCCAUUUGCUAAUUAUUAAGGUUUUUUGGAGCCCAUAUUCUUUUUGUUAGCAUUACAGCCCAUAUUGUGGCCACGGUUAAAAAAUUAUACGAAAUUUUGCAUAUUUCGGUGCGGUCCGAACUGUUUUUAAUCCCGAAAUUUCGACUCACAUUCAAACUGACUUUAAAAAUAAAUGUAUAUCAAUAUAAAAUCCAAAAAAUUCUCCACGCAUAAAAAUUAAUGUAAUUUAAAAUCUUGAAAUGAAAAAAAAGAUAUUUGAAACUAAUUACCGGUUUGAUGUGUUUUAAAAAUGUACAGCCCAUUUCUCAUUACUGAUGGGCCAUUUUCUCGGCUAGCCGAAUGAAAGCUCUCCUCGUCUUGGAAGAUUUGCAGCCCAACAGGCCUGACAAAGCGACUUACUUGGCAAAUCACAAAAAAACUGGGCUGUGGCCGUGGACCCAGCUAUCAGCCUCUCCAUGUACAGUACUCUUCCGAUGGAAUGUCGUUGACCACGCCGCGCCGAGAGCACCAAGGCGGUAGACGACGGCAAGGCCUAGGAAGGGGACGACGCGGAGCCGGGGAAGACGCGGUAGUGGAUGCCCACGCGGAGAGGAGUACGAGGGUUCACUGGUUCGGCUGCAGUGUGAGGCUGCCGUCGCCGCAGGGCCUGGCUAGCAUGGGAGUAGUAGGGGGCGAUGAGGCCUCAACGGCAGCACAGCCGGCCACUGGAGGCAGGAGCAGGCGGUCUCCCCGGCGCUAGUUUGGGCGGCUGGUGCAAGAAGAGCAGCGAUUGAAGAAGGAGCAGGACCAUUCGAUUCAAAUCCAACGGUUACUUUUGCUAGAAUCGUUUGUUGACUAAGUUGACAAGCCCUGCGUACGCAUCAACUUAGUAGGCCCACAGGUCAGCCUCCCAACCGGUGCGCCCCAGAUGUCAGUGGGAGGAAUCAUUUUUUCGCGUAAUAAGGAGGCAGUUGAUUGCGUGCGGCCAGGCCAGCGGAGGGAGUAGGGUGGUGUGACACCCAAAAUUUUAUUUGGCUUUUUCAAAAAAAAUUACUAGAAUUGAGGGGGGUUAUUUUAAAAAAAAAAAUUGAAAAGAACUCUCCCUUUCAAAAUAUUUUUUUUGGGCAAGGAUUUUUAUUUGGAUUCACCCAAGACUUGAUUUUGGUCUUGGAGGUUCUUUCUGUGAUUUGGACUCAAACCAAAAUGCCUUUCACUUGGGAAAAAUGGCUUUUGAAGAUUUCUUUGAAAAAAUGCACUAUGGCCUUUGAAAUGAUUCUUUGCCACUUUCAACAAAACCUCUCUUGCCAUGACCUUAGUGCAAAUCCACUCUCAUAAACCUCUCCUCACCUUUGGAUCAUGAUUUACUUCAAAUCCAGCAAGUUGGACCUCUCCAUAUAUUUAUUUCCACUUAUUUCUUAUCAAAAACAAUUUCUGCCUCAUAUCUUGACCCUUGGAGGUUUACAAAGGAACUACACUUUCUGCUUUGAUUUUUACUCCCAAACCUUUUUCCCCUCAUAGUCCUUUGAACCCUCAACCAAGAUCCAUGAAGAUCCACUGGUCUUCAGUUCAAAAUUUUUAAACUACACUUCUUGCAAGUUUGGACCAGAUUUGCCAAAUUUGAUGAAAUUCAUUCAAAUCCUUCUCCAGAAAUUCUGAGAAAAAUCAGGCAACCUCUGGGUGCAUUGAGAGGUCACCUCACCAAGUCCCAGCCCCAGGAAAAAUUUUCUUCACACCAAAUCAUUUCAUCGAACACCUUCAGAGCACUGGCAAUGUCAUGUUUAGUCAAAUUCAGUUAACAGUGUCUGAACCACUGUCGUUUCUUCAGUGUCCGUUGCCGAUCUCACCAGUGCCCCGGCGUCGCCGCGUUCCCUGUCCCCUCCCCCUUGUCCUCUGCACCGCACGAGCGCCUGGAUGUUUGCGGGCGUCGGCGACGUGCUGGAGGAGGUGCGCCGCCCCGUGACCGACGCCAGCGGCGGCUUUGCGGCCGCCAGAGAGAGGCGCGGCGCAGACGGCGCCACCCAGCGCCGCCCAAGCCACCAGAGAUCGCCGCGUGGUCUUCCACUCCCCAGUGCACGCUGCCACCUUCGUCGCGAACCGCUGGUCGCGGAGCGCGCUCUCUUCCGCCGUUGUGCCCGUGCAGCCACCCCACCGUGGACCGGUGCCAUUACGCCAAGACCGACCAGAAUUAGCAGGGGAACAGCACCAGUACACCUCACUGAUGCUACCUGGCCACCUAAACUCCUUGCCAAGCCACUGCCUCGCCGUAAUUGCUCGCCGGAGCAACCCCGUUCACGGCCACCCCCUCGAGCCGCCUAUAAAUAGAGGCCCCAAGCUCCAGCUAGUACCCAAACCACCUCUGCACUCCACCAAGACCCCGCCCAGCCACUGGAAGAGCCCCGAGGGAGUCUCCUUCCUCAACUCCGGCCGCCGCGACCCGCCACGGGAUCCAGCUCGAUUCGCUCCCGUGCGUGCACCCCUGCCUCCCAUCUCUUGCCAGUAACCCUCUAGUGCAUCCCUCCUUCUGACCCGCGGUUCAAUUCGAGGUUUGCAGCACACCACCGGAGUUCCCCACCAUCGCCCGAGCCGCCGUCCGCCGGAGAAAGUGUCGCCGUCGACGUGGUGCUCUCCGACGCCCAAGUCCACCACCCACCGACGCGGAAGGACACGCUGAUACUCUUGGUACACUCCGAUCACCCUGACUCGCCGUGGUUCAACGCCGGCGACCACCGCAGCCUUCGGGCGCCGGCGAGGUUUUCAAACCUGACAAGUGGACCCCCCCACAUUAGCCUCUCUUCUCCCCCCCCGAAGCGUUUUCUGUUGGCGCCUUCAGGCAGAGUACGCUUUCUCUGUGGGCUGACGCAUUUCUAUUCGAAUCGUUUUCUGUUUUCUCAGUUUAGCCCCUGGAACUUUUCUGUUUCAUUACAAAUGAGUCCCUAGACAGAAACUCUUAUAACUUUUUGAUAAAAAGGGCUUUUUGAGUGAUUCUUUUUCUGACAGUCUUAAAAUUUUGUCUAGUUGUUUAUGGGAUUUAUUUGAAAAAAAAUUGGAACAACUUUUGUACACGUGUUGAUUUUCACGUUAGUAUGCAUUUUCACUAUACCGUAGGUUCCGGGAGAGGUGACGGAGCCGCGAACUUCGCCGAGCUAGACUCCGACUUCUCCGAACCAGGCAAGCAUGUUUGAACAUUUGAUAUGAUAGGUGUUUUGCAUGUUUGCGUGAAAGGUUGUGCAUGGCAUAUGAGCAUCGGUGGGUAUCUCGUUGCAUGUGAGGCAACUACCCGUGUGUUCCAAAGUUACUGAGAUCUCUCAUGAGAGAUGGCCUAGUCAUGUGGUGACAUGAAGGGCAGUGAGGUGGUACUGUUGUAGCAUGCCAGCCUUAUGUCUGCCGUUUAAAUUCUGAUGUUAACGUGGACGGAGUCACGUUAUCGUUCUUUCCCCUUCCGUGCAACCACAUGUUUUCUGCCAGAAUGCGGUUUAGUAAGUUGGUAACCUCUUUCCGUGUACACACCAAAUAGAGGGGCCGGGAUGAUGGUUCCAUGGCCCUGGAUUAAAGCCAGUCAUCCGGUCAGGGGGCAUGGUUGUUUUCGGUUGGGACCGAGAGGGGGGCACCCCUUAGAGCGCGCGUAUAGAAAUUUGAUCCCAUGCUACGCGAGGUUGUAGCCUCCCCGUCUCAAGGUUUUUCUUGAACAUUGCCAAGGGUGGUUCCUGGCUUCGGAAUGUUGAAUGGGUGUGUACUGGUUAGAUGUGUUUCUCCUAAAACACCGUAAACGGAACUAGUCCCCGUGACUACUGAAAUCCGUUGGCUGUGGUUAAAGUACAAACUCUGCAGAGUCAAAUCCUUCCAAAUCAUCGUACCCAUGAUCAAGUAGAAUGAUCAGUAUAUCCAUAUCUAUCCUCGUGGAAAUUUAUCCCCGGUGAACAAACUCAAGUGGUAAACCCAGUUUAAUUGUUAUUCCUGUGGAUGGACUAACCUUAUAUUUGUCUCAUACUUGUAAUAAUUUAUAUUUCUCGAGCUACUGAAUUAUUGAGUUAUGGUAUAAGCCCUUUAUGUGAUGUCGCUCAGACGUCCGACUGUGGCAUGUUUGUCUUUUAUUUUCUGUUAUAAGCCCUUUAUGUGAUGUCGCUCAGACGUCCGACUGUGGCAUGUUUGCCUUUUACUUUCAAUAUAAGCCCUUUAUGUGAUGUCGCUCAGACGUCCGACUGUGGCAUGUUUGUCUUUUAUUUCCUGUUAUAAGCCCUUUAUGUGGUGUCGCCUUGACACCCGACUGCGGCAUUGUAUUUCCUGCAUUUUCCUCUCGAGGAGUCAUUCAGACCCUCGUUUGGCACCCAGUAUACUAUUUUGGGAUUUCGGGAGGACUACUGCCCGACUUCUCUUUUUCCCGUACAGUUUUAUCUCUAUGUCUGAGUGCACUUGUUGACCUGUGCAUAUGCAUCAUGCUUACAUUUGUUAUAUCUUAUGUCCGAACUGUCUUGCGAGUACUUUCAUAGUACUCACCUGGCUUGUUGAUUUGGCCAGAUAUUGACGAAGGCGAUCUCUUGGAUGAAGAGUUUGCUAGUGAGUCCGACGCCUAGAGGAGUCCCAGUCAGCCCCAUGCGAUCUUGGAUUUUGGUCACUUGUAUUAUAUACGCUUCCGCCACCCGCAAUAAAUCUCCUCGAGCUUCACUCCGACGCUCGAAGGACUGUAGUCUUCAGGAGUCAUGUCACCUGCUCCGCUGUGAUAUUUUCACCACCGUUGUUAUCGUGAGUUAGUAGUAAUGCCACCAUAUCCGCCGUUAUGUUUUAUCGGCGUGCAUGUAAUAAACUGUUGAGCAGUCUCCGCUCAACUUUGUAUUAUAAUCAGUACUCCUGGUAUUUGUCUUCUGUGACCAAGAUAUUGUCUGUCAGUGAGAAGGAAUUCUUCUUUACUGGUCCGUAAAAGGGAUUGGUCUCUCAAUAAAUAUUUUAUUGAAAGACCGGUCGUGACAAGCUUGGUAUCAGAGCCAGGCUGACUGUAGGAAGCCACUAGGUGCGAUCGCUAAUCGGUUAUUAGCGUCUUUUGUGCUUUUUUAGCACUUUGCAAUUGUAGCUAUUUUCUGUUGGUCAUCAUAAAAUUUAUGACUUGACUACUCAGAAUUUUUGCCUACUUUUGUAGAUGGCUGGCAGCAACUGCGAGACUCGAGUGUUCACGAACGUGCCCGAGGGGUUUGUCAAGCUCCUCGUUUCCAUCACCAAGCUCGCGAUCGGGCCAGCGACUCGCCCGGAGUUCACACUUUACCAGCACAUGCUCAGCGACGACGUGUCUAUGCACCAGGCCGUGGUGAAAUUCAAGGGAGGACGUUCUGCAUCUCGCCACUUCCGUUUUGCGGGAAGGGCCAUGCCUACGGAGAGGCAUGCCAUGCAGAUGGCUGCCCGUGAGGCGAUAGCUCGCCUUCGGGACAUUCUUCCUGUGAUGAAGACUCGUCGCUACCGCUACCUCCCAUGCCAUGUGCCCUACACUUGUCUCUAUGCAUUCGCCUGCCAUCGGGGAGAGCGAGAUGAAGCCAUCGAGAUGGUUGUGGAGUAUCUCAAGGCUCUGGAGGAGUCUUUCGACAACCUCGUGGACGAUCUUGUGGCUGCCCGGAUGGACUUAGUUCGGGGCGGUCCUACCUGCAGGAAGGAGCUUCUUCACACAGCACCGCCUCUGACAUUCGUCUCAUCUUCAGCCUCUUAUGCACCGGCCAUUUUAGCCACUGCUCGCCGUCUGCCUACCACUGAGGAGUUCGACCGAGUCAUCGCUCCUACUCCAGUCAGGGCUGCACCGCCUGCCGCACCCACACUGCCACCGGUCGCCCCCGCGCCAUCACCGCAGCGCAGUGCGUCGCGCCGGGAGCCUGCUAGAGAGGAGGUGGAGGUUGAAUCUCCUGCACCGCUGAGUCUUGCUCUCGGCAAGGGAAAGGACAUCGUCACCAUCUCCGACUGAGAGCGCCGUGUAGUCGCGCGUUAUGUCUGCCUGUAUGAUGUGUUUUAUAUGUACGCUAGUUUGUAGUAGUUGUGCUCGCUGCACCCCCGAGAGUGUGCUAAUAACAUGUCAGGAAUGUGUACACACAUCCUGAGUGCUGUAUCGUAUGUUGCGUUUCGCGUGUAAGAUUUGUGUUAAGCGUCUCUUCUCCGUGCAGAGUUGUUUAUGUUUUCUUGAAAAUCUUGAGAUCUUUUAAAUUUUUGUCUUUGCAAGAUUUUCCUUGCACCUCGCAGUUCUUCUCAUGAUUUUCGCAAAUAAUACCCCAGAGUGGAAAAUGUCUCGUCCAUGGACCCGUUCCAUGCCCAAUCAGCCAGAAGAAGUUUUUGGGACUCAGACCAGCAACAACUUCACUCAGGGACAGUCUAGUCAACAAGACAGUGAGGCCGCCUUAUCUCAAGUAUGCCGCCUUUUUGAACAAAGCCAACAGCAACACCAAGAGAUGAUGAACCACGUCAUCAAUAUGGGAAACCACCGUGAGCCGUACCAGCCACACUCCAAGUUGUCUGAAUUACAGAAGACUCGCCCUUCAACGUUUGCUCACACCGAUAGGCCACUUGAAGCCGAUGAUUGGCUUCGUGACAUCGAAAGAAAACUGAUUAUUGCUUAGUGUUCAGAUCAUGAGAAGGUGCUUUAUGCACCACACUACCUUACUAGAGCAGCUGCUGCAUGGUGGGAAAACUUCCUACACAUGCAUCCCAGUGAACACAACAUCACCUGGGAAGAGUUCAAGGAAGGCUUUCGUGGGGCGCACAUCCCCAGGAGCAUCAUAAAAAUCAAGAAAAGAGAAUUUGAUGACCUCAAGCAAAGAGGCAUGUCAGUGACAGAAUACAACGGUCAGUUUACCCAGCUAUCUCAUUAUGCCUACGACGAGUACAUGACAGAGGACAAGAAGAUGGAAAAAUUCCUGGACGGCCUCGCACCGGCACUAAGAUGCCAACUGGUUGUACACACCUUCCUGGAUUUUAAAACUCUGGUUGACAAGGCUAUUACCUUGGAGAAUGAGCGCCGUAGUCUGGAAGAUAUCCGUAAGCGAAAGAGGGACAAGACGACUCUUGCUCGGAACAACAGAAGCAGGACUGAGGUUCCAAGGACAGAAGCAAGGAAACCCACGACUACUGAUCCAAGGCCCGUCAGACAGUUUCAUGCCAGAGACAAGGAGUUCACGUACCGUCCAGGGGUCACAUGCUAUGCUUGUGGUGAAGAAGGACACUAUGCCAAACAGUGUCCAAAACCAAGGAACUCGGCCCCCAAGACAAACAAUGGUGGGAAUAAUCCGGCCCCCAAGCGCAACAAUUUCAAUCCCAACAACAACCACAGGAAGGGUCACCUGAACCAUGUGACCAAGGAAGAAGCGCAGAAUGCCCCAGACAUCGUGCUCGGUACGUUCCCUGUCAACACAGUACCUGCCACGGUUUUGUUUGAUUCUGGAGCUUCCCAUUCGUUCGUUUCGAAGAAUUUUUUUUUGCAACAUGGUUUUCCGAUACUUCCCUUGGAAAAAUCUAUGAUCAUCAAGUCCCCCGGAAAUAAACAAACCGCUCAGAGUUACUGCCAAGGAGUGAUCAUUGAGUUCGAAGGACUACCGUUCCAAGCAAACCUCAUCGUGUUGGAAAAUAAAGGACUGGAUGUCAUUUUAGGGAUGGACUGGUUGACCACCAACAAAGGAUUUAUUGACUGUUUCAAUCGGACUGUGAUCCUCACUCAUCAUCACGGCAAGACAAUAAAGGUUACAGCUCAGGAAAGACCACGGUCACAGCAACCAAAUUUGAACAAAAUGGACAUUUCGGAAUUGAGAAAGGUUCCAGUGGUGUGCGAGUUUCCAGACGUAUUUCCUGAAGAACUACCAGGCAUGCCACCAGACCGAGAAAUUGAGUUCAACAUUGAACUAGCACCUGGCACCACUCCCGUCUAUAAGAAACCUUACAGGAUGGCACCCUCAGAAUUGGUAGAGUUGAAGAAGCAGAUAAAGGAAUUAUUGGACAAAGGAUUUAUUCGAGCCAGCUCCUCACCUUGGGGUUCGCCAGUUUUAUUCGCCAAGAAAAAGGAUGGGACACUGAGAUUGUGUAUAGACUAUCGAGCUCUCAAUAUGGUUACCAUCAAAAACAAAUAUCCGAUGCCACGGAUAAAUGAUUUGUUUGACCAACUCGCGCAAGCCAAGGUGUUCUCAAAAAUUGAUUUGAGAUCAGGAUAUCAUCAAUUGAAAGUACGGACGGAAGAUAUCCCUAAAACAGCAUUCACCUCCAGAUACGGAUUAUAUGAGUUCACCGUGAUGCCUUUUGGGUUGACAAACGCCCCCGCUUAUUUCGUCCACCUCAUGAACAAAGUGUUUAUGAAGUUUAUGGACAAAUUUGUUGUGGUGUUCAUUGACGACAUUCUGGUAUAUUCAAGAACACCAGAGGAGCAUGCUGAGCACCUCAGAAUCGUUUUGGGAGAAUUAAGGAAACACCAAUUGUACGCCAAAUUUAGCAAGUGUGAAUUUUGGCUAAGACAAGUUGGUUUCCUGGGUCAUAUAUUGAACCAAGAAGGCAUAGCCGUAGACCCAGAAAAGGUCAAAGCCAUACUUGACUGGAAGCCACCAGCCAACGUGACCGACGUUCGGAGUUUCCUAGGAAUGGCUGGAUAUUACCGGAGAUUUAUUGAAGGAUUCUCCACUGUGGAAAAACCAAUAACCCAGUUGCUCAAGAAAGAUAGGAAGUUUGUAUGGACGGAAGCAUGCGAGAAAAGCUUCCAAGAACUCAAGAGGAAGCUAACAACCGCACCGGUAUUAACCGUGCCAGACAUACACAAGAGUUUCGAAGUAUAUUGUGACGCAUCCCGGAAGGGUCUCGGAUGUGUGCUGAUGCAGGAUGGCAAAGUUGUCGCGUAUGCCUCCAGGCAACUGCGGAAACAUGAGGAAAAUUACCCAACACUUGACUUGGAGCUAGCACAGUCAUACACGCACUCAAGGAGUGGAGGCACUUUCUGUUGGGAAAUCGUUGUGAAAUAUAUACGGACCAUAAGAGCCUUAAAUAUAUUUUCACACAGCCAGAACUAAAUUUACGCCAACGGCGCUGGUUGGAAUUGGUCAAGGACUAUGAUGUCGGCAUUCACUACCAUCCAGGAGGCAAAUGUAGUGGCUGAUGCCCUUAGUCGGAACCCUAGCCCGGAUGGCGACAGUACAAAACUUUGAGGCCUGAGUUUCAGCAAGAGUUCACUAGACUCAACAUGGUGUUAGCCGCUGAGGGCACCUUAUCAAAUCUGGAGAUACAUCCCACCCUUAUGGAACAAAUUAAGAAGGCUCAACAGGGACAUCCCAGCAUCGAAGGUAUAAAAAGGAAAAUGAACCUUGGUAAGGCUUCAGAGUUCGUCACAGACAAUGAAGGAAUAUUAUGGUACGGAGACAGACUUUGCGUACCUAACAUUGGGGAACUCAAGCAACAAAUCCUAACCGAAAGCCACACCGCUCCAUACUCGAUCCACCCUGGGGGACCAAAAUGUACAAAGACCUUCAGGAAAGAUUUUGGUGGCACGGUAUGAAAAGAGAUAUAGCCGCAUUCAUCGCUUGUUGCGAUUCAUGUCAACGCAUCAAGGCCGAACAUCAAAGGCCAGCAGGGCUACUCCAGCCAAACAGGAUACCUGAAUGGAAGUGGGAUGAGAUUGGGAUGGACUUUAUUGUCGGACUACCCCGAUCGCAACACGGAAAUGAUGCCAUUUGGGUCAUCACAGAUAGGCUAACCAAGGUAGCCCAUUUCAUUCCCGUGAAGACAACCUACUCCACUCAAAGGCUAGCCAAGCUUUAUCUCUCCCGUAUAGUUUGUUUGCAUGGAGUCCCAAAGACUAUAAUAUCCGACCGAGGCACUCAAUUUGUCUCUAAAUUUUGGGAUCACCUGCAACAAGCUCUAGGCACACAACUAGCUUUCAGUACAGCGUACCACCCUCAGACUGAUGGACAAACGGAACGUGUGAACCAAAUCCUAGAGGAUAUGCUGAGAGCCUGUGUGCUCACAUAUGGAUCCAGUUGGGAAGAGAGUUUGCCGUAUGCCGAGUUUGCUUACAACAACAGUUACCAAGCCAGCUUACAGAUGGCACCUUUUGAAGCACUGUACGGACGGAGGUGUCGUACCCCACUGAAUUGGUCAGAAACAGGCGACGGUCGUAUCUUCGGCCCAGACAUGCUUAAGGAGGCCGAGGAGAAAGUUAAACAGAUCAGGGACAGACUCAAGACAGCACAGAGCCGACAAAAGAGCUACUACGAUCAAAAACACCGCGAGGUCAGCUUUGAACCCGGUGAUUCCGUAUACCUAUGAGUAUCUCCUAUGAGGGGCCUGCAAUGGUUCAAAAUUAAGGGGAAGCUAGCCCCGAGAUUUAUUGGACCAUUCUGUAUAAUUGCACGAAGAGGCACGGUAGCCUACCAACUAGACCUACCCAAGGAACUGUCAGACGCCCAUGACGUGUUCCAUGUCUCACAAUUGAGAAAAUGUGUAAGUAACCCGGAGAAGCAUGUGCCUCAUGAAAGCAUUGAUAUACAACCAGACCUCACCUACAGAGAGAGGCCAGUAAAGAUUUUGGAAGAGUCUGAAAGGAGGACCCGUCAGAAAACAACAAAAAUUUUCAGGGUUCAGUGGAGCAACCACACUGAGGAUAAAGCUACAUGGGAAAGGGAAGAUUUUCUCCAGGCAGAAUAUCCAUAUCUAUUCGAGGGUCAGCUGAAAUCUCGAGGACGAGAUUUUUCCUAAGGGGGUAGGUGUUGUGACACCCAAAAUUUUAUUUGGCUUUUUCAAAAAAAAUUACUAGAAUUGAGGGGGGGUAUUUUAAAUUUUUUUUUUGAAAAGAACUCUUCCUUUCAAAAUUUUUUUUUUGGGCAAGGAUUUUUAUUUGGAUUCACCCAAGACUUGAUUUUGGUCUUGGAGGUUCUUUCUGUGAUUUGGACUCAAACCAAAAUGCCUUUCACUUGGGAAAAAUGGCUUUUGAAGAUUUCUUUGAAAAAAUGCACUAUGGCCUUUGAAAUGAUUCUUUGCCACUUUCAACAAAACCUCUCUUGCCAUGACCUUAGUGCAAAUCCACUCUCAUAAACCUCUCCUCACCUUUGGAUCAUGAUUUACUUCAAAUCCAGCAAGUUGGACCUCUCCAUAUAUUUAUUUCCACUUAUUUCUUAUCAAAAACAAUUUCUGCCUCAUAUCUUGACCCUUGGAGGUUUACAAAGGAACUACACUUUCUGCUUUGAUUUUUACUCCCAAACCUUUUUCCCCUCAUAGUCCUUUGAACCCUCAACCAAGAUCCAUGAAGAUCCACUGGUCUUCAGUUCAAAAUUUUUAAACUACACUUGCUGCAAGUUUGGACCAGAUUUGCCAAAUUUGAUGAAAUUCAUUCAAAUCCUUCUCCAGAAAUUCUGAGAAAAAUCAGGCAACCUCUGGGUGCAUUGAGAGGUCACCUCACCAAGUCCCAGCCCCAGGAAAUUUUUUCUUCACACCAAAUCAUUUCAUCGAACACCUUCAGAGCACUGGCAAUGUCAUGUUCAGUCAAAUUCAGUUAACAGUGUGUGAACCACUGUCGUUUCUUCAGUGUCCGUUGCCGAUCUCACCAGUGCCCCGGCGUCGCCGCGUUCCCUGUCCCCUCCCCCUUGUCCUCUGCACCGCACGAGCGCCUGGAUGUUUGCGGGCGUCGGCGACGUGCUGGAGGAGGUGCGCCGCCCCGUGACCGACGCCAGCGGCGGCUUUGCGGCCGCCAGAGAGAGGCGCGGCGCAGACGGAGCCACCCAGCGCCGCCCAAGCCACCAGAGAUCGCCGCGUGGUCUUCCACUCCCCAGUGCGCGCUGCCACCUUCGUCGCGAACCGCUGGUCGCGGAGCGCGCUCUCUGCCGCCGUUGUGCCCGUGCAGCCACCCCACCGUGGACCGGUGCCAUUACGCCAAGACCGACUAGAAUUAGCAGGGGAACAGCACCAGUACACCUCACUGAUGCUACCUGGCCACCUAAACUCCUUGCCAAGCCACUGCCUCGCCGUAAUUGCUCGCCGGAGCAACCCCGUUCACGGCCACCCCCUCGAGCCGCCUAUAAAUAGAGGCCCCGAGCUCCAGCUAGUACCCACACCACCUCUGCACUCCACCAAGACCCCGCCCAGCCACUGGAAGAGCCCCGAGGGAGUCUCCUUCCUCAACUCCGGCCGCCGCGACCCGCCACGGGAUCCAGCUCGAUUCGCUCCCGUGCGUGCACCCCUGCCUCCCAUCUCUUGCCAGUAACCCUCUAGUGCAUCCCUCCUUCUGACCCGCGCUUCAAUUCGAGGUUUGCAGCACACCACCGGAGUUCCCCACCAUCGCCCGAGCCGCCGUCCGCCGGAGAAAGUGUCGCCGUCGACGUGGUGCUCUCCGACGCCCAAGUCCACCACCCACCGACGCGGAAGGACACGCUGAUACUCUUGGUACACUCCGAUCACCCUGACUCGCCGUGGUUCAACGCCGGCGACCACCGCAGCCUUCGGGCGCCGGCGAGGUUUUCAAACCUGACAAGUGGACCCCCCACGUCAGCCUCUCUUCUUCCCCCCUUGAAGCGUUUUCUGUUGGCGCCUUCGGGCAGAGUACGCUUUCUCUAUGGGCUGACGCAUUUCUAUUCGAAUCGUUUUCUGUUUUCUCAGUUUAGCCCCUGGAACUUUUCUGUUUCAUUACAGAUGAGUCCCUGGACAGAAACUCUUAUAACUUUUUCAUAAAAAGGGAUUUUUGAGUGAUUCUUUUUCUGACAGUCUUAAAAUUUUGUCUAGUUUUUUAUGGGAUUUAUUUGAAAAAAAAUUGGAACAACUUUUGUGCACGUGUUGAUUUUCACGUUAGUAUGCAUUUUCACUAUACCGUAGGUUCCGGGAGAGGUGACGGAGCCGCUAACUUCGCCGAGCUAGACUCCGACUUCUCCGAACCAGGCAAGCAUGUUUGAACAUUUGAUAAGAUAGGUGUUUUGCAUGUUUGCGUGAAAGGUUGUGCAUGGCAUAUGAGCAUCGGUGGGUAUCUCGUUGCAUGUGAGGCAACUACCCGUGUGUUCCAAAGUUACUGAGAUCUCUCAUGAGAGAUGGCCUAGUCAUGUGGUGACAUGAAGGGCAGUGAGGUGGUACUGUUGUAGCAUGCCAGCCUUACGUCUGCCAUUUAAAUUCUGAUGUUAACGUGGACGGAGUCACGUUAUCGUUCUUUCCCCUUCCAAGCAACCACAUGUUUUCUGCCAGAAUGCGGUUUAGUAAGUUGGUAACCUCUUUCCGUGUACGCACCAAACAGAGGGGCCGGGAUGAUGGUUCCAUGGCCCUGGAUUAAAGCCAGUCAUCCGGUCAGGGGGCAUGGGUGUUUCCGGUUGGGACCGAGAGGGGGGCACCCCUUAGAGCGCGCGUAUAGAAAUUUGAUCCCAUGCUACGCGAGGUUGUAGCCUCCCCGUCUCAAGGUUUUUCUUGAACAUUGCCAAGGGUGGUUCCUGGCUUCGGAAUGUUGAAUGGGUGUGUACUGGUUAGAUGUGUUUCUCCUAAAACACCGUAAACGGAACUAGUCCCCGUGACUACUGAAAUCCGUUGGCUGUGGUUAAAGUACAAACUCUGCAGAGUCAAAUCCUUCCAAAUCAUCGUACCCAUGAUCAAGUAGAAUGAUCAGUAUAUCCAUAUCUAUCCUCGUGGAAAUUUAUCCCCGGUGAACAAACUCAAGUGGUAAACCCAGUUUAAUUGUUAUUCCUGUGGAUGGACUAACCUUAUAUUUGUCUCGUACUUGUAAUAAUUUAUAUUUCUCGAGCUACUGAAUUAUUGCGUUAUGGUAUAAGCCCUUUAUGUGAUGUCGCUCAGACGUCCGACUGUGGCAUGUUUGUCUUUUAUUUUCUGUUAUAAUCCCUUUAUGUGAUGUCGCUCAGACGUCUGACUGUGGCAUGUUUGCCUUUUACUUUCAAUAUAAGCCCUUUAUGUGAUGUCGCUCAGACGUCCGACUAUGGCAUGUUUGUCUUUUAUUUCCUAUUAUAAGCCCUUUAUGUGGUGUCGCCUUGACGCCCGACUGCGGCAUUGUAUUUCCUGCAUUUUCCUCUCGAGGAGUCAUUCAGACCCUCGUUUGGUACCCAGUAUACUAUUUUGGGAUUUCGGGAGGACUACCGCCCGACUUCUCUUUUUCCCGUACAGUUUUAUCUCUAUGUCUGAGUGCACUUGUUGACCUGUGCAUAUGCAUCAUGCUUACAUUUGUUAUAUCUUAUGUCCGAACUGUCUUGCGAGUACUUUCAUAGUACUCACCUGGCUUGUUGAUUUGGCCAGAUGUUGACGAAGGCGAUCUCUUGGAUGAAGAGUUUGCUAGUGAGUCCGACGCCUAGAGGAGUCCCAGUCAGCCCCAUGCGAUCUUGGAUUUUGGUCACUUGUAUUAUAUACGCUUCCGCCACCCGCAAUAAAUCUCCUCGAGCUUCACUCCGACGCUCGAAGGACUGUAGUCUUCAGGAGUCAUGUCACCCGCUCCGCUGUGAUAUUUUCACCACCGUUGUUAUCGUGAGUUAGUAGUAAUGCCACCAUAUCCGCCGUUAUGUUUUAUCGGCUUGCAUGUAAUAAACUGUUGAGCAGUCUCCGCUCAACUUUGUAUUAUAAUCAGUACUCCUGGUAUUUGUCUUCUGUGACCAAGAUAUUGUCUGUCAGUGAGAAGGAAUUCUUCUUUACUGGUCCGUAAAAGGGAUUGGUCUCUCAAUAAAUAUUUUAUUGAAAGACCGGUCGUGACAGGUGGGCCAGGGAAACCUGCGCGGCAUCACAGCGGGCCACAAGAGGAGGGAGCAAGAAGUCCCGCCGGCGCUAGUUUAGGCGGCUGGAGCAGGAAGAUCAGAGAUUGAAGAAGCACGUCGGCCGUUGGAUGGACAUCCAACAGUCAUUGCUGCUAGAAUCGUGUGUUCACUGACAAAGCCUUGCGUAAACAAGUCAGCCUCAAAAUCUGUGGCGUGUACAGCCCAUUUGCUAUUAUUUUUAUAAUUUUUACUCUUUUUCUAAUUCAUAUGGAAUUUAUUGCAGCCCGUUUUCCAUUUUUAGAAUUGUUGGCCAUUUUCUGGUCAGUACCAGGGUCAAAAAAUUAACUAAAUAUGUGGGAAAUUUUGAAAAUUCGCAAAUUUUUGCUGGGGAACGAAAUAUUCUUAAUCCAAAAAUUAAUAGCCAUACUAAAACAAAUUUAAAAAUAAAUUAGUACUAUGUCAUGUUAAAUCCAAUGAAAUACGUAUAAGAUAUCAGUGAAGAACAAAAACAAAAAAAGACACUUAUAUCCCAUUUGCUAUAAAUUUUUUGGAAUUUUCAACCCCUUUUGAUAUACUUUUAACAGACAUUGACCAUACUCUUAAGCCAGGCCGGAAUGCAUCCCUCCUCAUCUUGAAAGAUUUACAGCCCAGUAAUUCGGAGAAAACAAAUAGGCCUAGCUUGGGUAUUCUUCAAAAAGAAAUACUGGGCUACCUAUUUUCCCAAAGAACUGGUGCAUGAGCAUUUAGCUUUAUUUAUUUAUUUAUUUACUUAUUUAUGUUUAGGGGACCAUGAGCAUGUACCUAGGCCGGAUUCAUGUGAGAGCCUCCCUUCCAGUUAAUUAUGGGCUUCUCUAUUGGGCCUUCAUCAGUGGGCUGCAUGUUAUCAACAAGUGGAAAAUGUGUUCCGUACGAAAAAUAGUAUGCGCUACGUACGGUACGGGGCACUAAAGGAUCGAACCGUGCAACGACUUCCAAAACAUUGUGUUUAUCAUUCUAACAACACAUUUAUUCAACCAACAGACAAAAUAUACUACUGAUUGUACAUUGAAAACAGCAGCAGCAACAACCAGGGCUGGGGGUGCAACAGAAGCAGUAAGCAGGCCAGAAGAGUGAAGACGCAGCUCUCACUUCCAAACCAAACAUCAGCCAUCAUUACAAAAGGGCUACCAAAAAAGAACAAGUGUAUGCAUCAAACUAAAUAAAGAUCCUACUACACCAAGUGUACGCAUCUAACUAACUGGCUCAGUUAGACGUUACUAUUUAUUAAGCUAUGGAGAUUGGCUGACGGCUUGAACCAGAUGGGUGCCUGACGGGGGAAACUCCAGCCAGCAGGUCGAAGUCUGAUACUUGCGACCCUCUCUCCUACUUUGGGCUGCAGAGCGUGGCGGCACAUAUCAGGGUAUGGUGCAUGCAGAGACGCAUGGUACGCUGUGUACACACAGUUUUGCCUGAUGAACGAAACCGUGCUGCCAUCAUGAUCCUUGCCAUCGGUUAUCUCCUGGUUAAUCGGAUAAUUCAGUCCGACAAACAGAGAGCGUGUACCAAGGCUACUUACCAGCCUCCAGUCAAAAUUCCUGAAGGCCCAGAGAAGCUGGGAUCCUGCUCAAAGACCUUGCAGUGACUGUGAUUGUAUUCCGCGAAACAACAUGUCCGGUACGUGCGAACGAUCAUCAAUCUUUCGCCGUCGUCUGAUCGAGCCAGGAACCACCUGCAACUGCCAUGCCACUUUUCUUUGAAAGGUUCUGGGAUUAGGAAGGGUAGGGACACCAGGCGGCCUACAACAUCAUAUCAAGUUGGAGUCAAAUAAAAAAGGGCUCUUGAUUUAGUCAAUCUUAAGAACAGCAUGUUAUGAGCAUGAAUAUUUUUUCAGCAAAUGUUGACAGUAAUAUAAGCAAGCCAUCAUGAUAUCAUAGGAAAGUAACAUACUGCUGUAACAGCCGUUUGUAGCGAUGACUGGAGUAGGCCAGCAAUACGUCCAGCCAUAGAAGGAGUCGACAGCGUAAAUGAAGCCCUUGUGUUCAAUGGCAUCAGAGAACCAUGGAGGAUGUAUGAUCCUGCGAUGGACGUGCAGAUUUAUCCACUUGCCGCAGUGACCUGUCAGAUAGGCGAGACCGCGGUUGAAGAACGCAAAUAGACUGAAGUCUUUAUAAUUCGCAGAUCUUGUGGGCACUUGGCAGAUUACAACCUUGAGAAAAUCGAACUUGGUAUCAUGUUGGCUACUGUAAGAUUCCGAGUAUUCUGGGCUGCGGUGCCAAAGCAGUGCAGUGUUAAUCGAAGGAAGGGGGAUCAAUCGCCGAGUGUAGACCUCCACGAGCAUCCAGCUGCCGCGACCGUUGACGAGCACCAUCCAAGACGUGUUCAUGCCGACCCAGUACAUACCGUUAAUGUAGUUGAGGCUGACGGGGAUCAGAUCGCAGUCAAGGGGGUUGAUGCUCGCCACCCUAUGAUCGUUAUGCUGCGUGACACGCCGUUUCUGAAGAUCAGGCGGCAUCAGCAAGCAAGGAGCUGGCUUAAAAAGCUCCAGCCUGAGGGCUUUGAGUAAACGGUACAGCCCCGACGAGCACGCGCUGAGCGGCAUGGUACUGAGAUUGUCCACACGCGAAACAAUGAGCUUGAUUACCUCUGUGGGGAGCGAAUUCCAGCCACUCUUUUGGCGGACGCUGCUCGGUUCUGCCAUUGUUAGUGCUUGGGUUUCGGACGAGGGGGGGAGGCGCCUUAGCGUGGAUGGAAGAUUGGACGAGAUUAUGUGCGGACAAAGACGGAGAAGCGAAUAUGUGCUGCGGGAAGUGGACAGGUGAUGAUGACUACAGCACACCGCUUGACUUACGAGACACAUACCAGCAGCGUAGGUCAUGUCGAUGCCAGACAACUUGCUUGAGUGAUCACAGUACUGGUACUCCCUACAGUGCUAUGCCCUAACUUUCUUGAGUAGAGUAGUAGAGUAGGACUCUGCUCUACUACUAGCACUGGAGGAGUAGUAUAUUCUAAUCUAAAAUAGUUACAAACUUCAAUGCCCGAGCGUGGAACGACUACGAACCGUGCUCAAAGACCGUGUCUACGUGGUGUUUGGACAUGGGCGACAACCUCAACGCCAACGGUGCUGCUCCCGUUGCACCGUAUGUGUUUCUGUCCUUCCUGUUCGAAAUCAUGGUAGAAUUCAUGUUUCUACUCUGUAUCCUACUACUAUGCUAGUCCACAUGAUUAGUUUCAUCUCUGUAAUAGCCGUCAUGAUUUAUUUUGUGCUUAUUCGGAUUAAAUCUCGUAGUAACUUGCUCAUAUAUUCAACUGGCGCAACGUCCCCUACAGCCACUCCCGUUUCAUGGACGGCCUGGUCGAUGCCUCCAAGGAGCCCUUCGUCCACUGCUAUGAGUGCCCGAUGCCGUUUUGUGGCUCGCCGGCGGACAUGGUGCAUCACCUCACGGAUGCGUGCAGCGGUCACUGCUGGCCCUUGGCGGAGAACAUCAAGUACGAGACGUGCUACCCGUUCACCAUGCCGGAGUCGCUGGAGGAUCACCGCCGCCUGCUAGUCUCGGAGGAGGACGGCAGCGUCUUCCUCUUGAUCGUGGGCACCGGUGAGGCCCGCACAGGCCGCCAUCCCGUCUCUGUAAUGUGCGUCAGGGGCGACGCCGCUGACGCUGACACUGACACGAGGCCGAUGUACGGGUGCGUGGUCAGUGUUACUACCCCUCCGGGUCACGUGGGCGGCGACACCGGCCUCAUCGAACGGACUUGGACUCUGGGGAGCUGGGACUAUCCCGCCAAUGUGGACUUGGAAAACCCAUGGCAUCCUUUACCCGCCGACGCGGUGCACGGGGACUCCAGGGAGGUUCACCUGGACAUAUGCAUUAUCAAGUUAAAUGUUGAUCACUAGUCUUCGCUCAAUGUAAUCCGCUGUCUAAGCAUGUGGAGACUUCCAUGCAGGAUCUUGCUCUAUUGGAGUAUCGCACAUGAAUAAAAGUGUAUCCGUUUAUGGUUUAGUCUAGAAUCUUCCAUGUAUGAAUUUUUACUACAGUACUGGUGAAAGACUUACGAUGAACCAUUUCUUACAUCUCCUCUGCCCGCUUGCAAGUCAUCCUGAUUUAAUCCCUCCGUCUAGGUGUAUAAGGGCAUGGUUAAUAUUACUUAAUAGUAUAGCCAACUGUUGACUAUAAGAAAGUGUCAUGUCAUCUGUAGCCAACAUGUAUAACAAUCGAUACACAAAAACUAAUUCUUAAAGAUCAUUUCUUGCAAAGCACAAUAAGUGUUAUUUCUUCACAAGUUUUGGAUGCACGUUGAACAGUUGAACGCUUUUGUUUGCAAAAGAUACCUUUUUAUCUAUUUCACCCGGAUGUUUGUGAGCUCUAGAGAUGAAAUAAUAUCCGAAGAAACCUAUCGAUACCCGUUACACCUGAGAUGACCCCCACAUCCUUUGUCAAAAUAAGCAACUCCCCGAUCAAUGCAUUUCACUCUUCGGUGCAACGCACGGGCACCUUACUACUAUAGAUUAGUACGACCAAAAAUUGAACUAACAUUAUAUAUAGUACGAUAAAUGCUGAUGCAUUUCACCUAAAAUUAUAUCAUUCAAAACUAUGUUCAAAUACGAAUCCAACGAUAUAGUUUUUGUUGACAUGCACUAACAUUUUGUCAGUUAAAUCUUCAGUCAAAUUCAACGGGGGGCUAAUAAACCACGACCGAUGUAGUACAAGUGUAGAGGGCGGCGCUGCACGGGAGUCUCACCUCUCACCCCGCUCAUGGCGCGGCAGUAAAGCCGUCAUAUCACAAAACCCAACCACUCCCAGUAAUAAGUGGCCUGGUAAAAUAAACGGACAAGCAACCAUCACAUCCCUCCGUCUUUUUUGCAUUUCAUCUCUCUGCAUUAUUUUCUCCGGUUCAUCUCGCACACUCGAUCCCUAGCUACUACUCCUAGGGCCAUUUCUUUUGGUUGCUUCCCCAGCUUUUCCCACAAGACUAGUCACAGUGGAGAGUAACAAUAAGGCGCCUCACUCAUUUAUUUGGGCUUCUAAACUACUACUCCGUCCUGGUUUAUUCCUCACCAUUGUAAUUUGUGCUAAAUUUUGACCAAAGAUUUAACUGGUUUAUUCCUCACCAUUGUAAUCCCUCCAUCUAGGUGUGUAAGUCAUCUUAUGAAAACCAAAUAUCCCAAAACACUUAGGCACGGUGCAUUAACUUCUACUCCGUACCUCGUUUCUUGUUUCUUGACAUAUACCCCAAUAAGAGAUAAAGAGUGUGCAUGCUUUUAAUGACUUGAGAUAUCAAACACGACAUGCAGUGGUUAGUUCAUUGCAUGCAAUACUAUUAAUUAGCAAAUAAACAUUAACGUUUCUCGUUUUCUCCUCCUCCUUGGUCACGGUGCACAGCCUAAGAUGACUUACUCACCUAGACGGAUGGAGUAGUGCAUGUGACAUGCACUAACAUUUCAUUAGUUAAAUUUAUGAUCAAAAUUUGACACAGAUUACAACGGGGACCAAUAAACCAGGACGGAGGUAGUAGUUAUGGGAUUACUAAUCUAGAAGCCUAAAAGAACUGGCCCUUGGUACUCCUGCUAGUAGUGGUACUCACGCUAGAAUUCCAAUUGCACGGCACAACUUGUUAGGCAAAAAAUUCGAUACAGGGUGUAGGAAGCGGUUUGGGAAUUUGCAUGCCUUUCCAACCAGUGAGAUACUUCGUACAAAGUACGACAGAGAAAUAACCACAGAGAAGAAAGCUAAAAGUAAACAAUCAAACGAGCAUUUUUGCAUUUGUUUUGCAUUGAAUCGUUUCACAAGCUUGACUAGUGUUGUUUUUCUACUUUUACAAAAACCGCAUCGUAAUGUUAAAACGUGCAUUUGCACGUACAUAAGUAAUAGUAGUACUCCCUCCGUCUAGGUGUAUAAGUCUUCCCUCCUUCUUGGUCACGGUGCACAACCAAAGAUGACUUAUUGACCUGGACGGAGGGAGUAGCACAGUCUACAAGCAUAUAUCAAGAGAGACGUGUGCGAUAGUAUAUAGUAAAGUUUGUGCUAUAUGCACGUACUUGCAAAAUGUGUACGAAUACACAAGGUUUCCAAACUUUCCCUUUUACAUACUUAAUUAAGGACGCUAAAAAUUGCUGAACGUUCGGGAUUUAUCAUUUGCGUCCCAAAACUAAUGAGAUCGCCUUACGAAACAAAAAUUAUAUUCCUCCUAAAAGCCACGGCGCUCGCAGGAGCGCUUGCGGCGCGCCACGAGUGCCCUGGUGCGCGGCCGUUUCCCAGCGCGCCGACACAACGCCUCUUCCUCAGCCUCGCAACUCGCGAGGUGCUGAUUGGCGGCUUGCCGGCGGGUGAGCGCGAUCUCACCGGUGUGGUGAUCCGGCGCCAACAGGUACUCCUCCUCGCUGGAAGCGUGCACCUGGUCCACGUACCGCCAAGCGUAGAUGAGGCGCUUGGGCCCGACUGCACUCAGGGCGUCGGCACGGGCGUCCUCCGCCACCCUCACGGCCCUCGCACGAGCCUUCUGCCAAAGAGCCAAUUGCCUGACUCUCUCGGACGCGACAUAGGCCUCCCAGGCAGCUUGUUCUGCGGUGCGGUUCUCUUCCUCGGCCUUCUUCUCCGCCUCUAUUUUGGCGCGCUCUGCUGGAGGCAAAGCCUCCCACAAGGCGACAUCCAUUUCUUUCCAAAGCUCCUCAAGGCUGGGGGGCUCGGCGGGUGACGCGGCGUUCUCCUCAUGGCGGGGAGCCAACGCGUCCUCCGGCGCGCGUGCUGGCGAGAUUGGGAAUGCCGACGCGUCCACCUCGACGCGUCGCGGUGAGGAGCAGAACGCCGACGCGUCCUCCUCGACUAGUGGCGGCGAGGAACGGAACGGCGACGCGUCGCGUCGCGGCGAGGAGCGGAACGCCGACGCGUCCUCCUCGACUAGUGCCGGCGAGGAACGGAACGGCAACGCGUCGCGCAGCGGCGAGGAGCGGAACACCGACGCGUCCUCCUCAACUAGUGGCGGCGAGGAACGGAACGGCGACGCGUGACCGUCCGCGCGGUGCAGCGAGGGGCUCCUAGGGCUUGGGAGGGGUGAUGCCAUGGUGGUCGACGUGAGAGGGAGGGGGAGGAGAUAGCGAUGAACGUGAACGUGAGGGGGAGGAGAUAGCGAUGUCGUGGGAGGCGCAGUAUUUAUAGCGAGCAAUGGCACACCUACGUAAGAUAUGGACUGAGCUGCACUGACUUAACUGCAGGUCCAGUUGCGUCACUGACAUGUGGGCUAGACCCCUGUUGGGCCCAUAUGUCAGUGACCCAAUGCACCUGCAAUUAAGUAACAACUACGUGGGCAUAUUUGUUGGAGUAAAUUACAGGGGAGCGAAGGGGUGGAAAUAUUGCUGGUCACAACGGAUUGGACGAGCGUGGGGGGAGGAGAGUCAUGCAUGUAGAUUUUUUCACACUGGGUGGAGUGGUGGGACCGCCGGAGGGAGAAGGAGAGUUUGGCAGGCAUAUUGUUUCCACACAUGGAGAGGAAAAGAUUUGGAGACGAACGGGCUUCCUGCAGGUAUGGGGAACGGUGCAUAAUAAGUCAUCUUGCAUGCCGGGCUAGGUAUAGUCUCAAGUCAUUGAAAACAUACACGCCCCACACAUGUUCAUAUUUCAAGGUGCACUAAAUUAUUGCAUGCGAUGAUUAAGGCUGGCCAUAAUGGUGGUAUCUUAGCUGGUAUCAUGCACACGGGAAUAGCAAACAUGCUGAUGUGGCAAAGAAUUAAAGAAGAGAGGGGGGUUAGAGUAACUAGUGUUCAUGCAUGCAUUGGUAAACACAUUUUUUUGUGAAGAACGACAGCACUAGUUGAGUACUUUUGCAGACUUCAAAAACUAUUCCACCGCCUCUACUAUCUUGCUAAGAGUAGGUGAAAUUUUUGAAUCGAGCCCUUUAAACUCGAAGGGAGGUAGUGGUACUCUAAGGCUGGUCACAGUGGGGAGUAACUUAGACUAGUAACAUGCAUAUGUUACUAGUCUAUGUUACGACCUCUAUAGUGCAUAGUAUCAUAGGUGGUCUCAUUUAUUGCCAUGCAUGACACAUAGUAGCAUCACAUUUAUUAUGUUACGAUAUCUACCUAUGUUAGUAUAACCAUCUCUCUCUUCUUUAAUUGCCUACCACAUUAGCAUGUUUGCGAGUCCCAAGUGCAUGAUACUACUUAUGUUACCCUCACUAUGGCCAGCCUAAUAGCUAACCUUGUUGUGAUGACAAGAUAGGACAUGGCACGCACCUGGACGGAGGAACUAGUCUGCAUUGUGCAUUUAAGUUUUGUCUGAAGUCAAUGUACCUCUACUUUCACCAGACUUAUAGAAAAAUGUGUCAACAUUCACAAUGUCAAAUCAAUAUUUUUACACUCAUUAUAAAACGUAGUUCUUAUACUCAUUAUAAUCAGUAUUGUAGAUAUUGAUAUUUUUAGUAUAAAUUUGGUCGUGGGAUUUCAUUGAUGCCUGUCAAAGCGUGGAGGAAGCGGAUCUUAGGGCUUGCAUUGCCGGUCUCUACAUAGGUAUUUCUCUUCAUAAUCCUGUAAUUUUAGAGACUGAUUGCGCUUUUGUGGUAGCGUCUCUUCAAUCGGGGGACUACGACAGGUCUGCUAUGCGUGACCUGAAGAUGAAAGCGUUGAGCAUCUCAAAGUUGAUCAACAAUCUUCAAUUGUCAAAGAUUAGCCGUUCGGCCAAUAAGGUGGCACACUUAAUCACUAAGUAUAGCUUUGACAAUAGAUUAGAUGGUAUUCUUGUAAAUAACGUACCGCCCUGUGUGGUGAAUAUUGUAUCGAAUGAGUGUACUGUUGUGGCUGGUUAAUUAAUAUAAGGUGGUGUUAAAAAAAAGUAUAAAUUUGGUCAAACACUUUGCAAACGGUUGAUGGGAGUAAAAAGGACCAGAGGGAGUAUCAUGCAUGCGGAGUAGGCAAAAAAUUGCUUGUCUAAAAGAAGGCAAAAAAAUUGCUCAUUUAUAGCCGGUCAAAGUCUCAAAGGGCGCGACCACGCGAGGGAGGCGAAGGUCGUGGGAGGCGCGACGUUUGACGGAAUUAAGUGAAGUUACAUCCACGCGCCGGCAUGGCGUGCGAAUAGGCAGAAGCUAUACCGUCAGGCCUACGAUAUGGGUCUAGUAGACAUGACAUCUAGUGGGUCCCGCAUAGUUCUCGAGAACUCUUUGGGGGCUUGCAGCCGUUUAUCCACCGGGCAAGCCAGCAACCCCACGCCGUUCGCACGCCCUACUCGUCCCCGUCUUCUACCUUACAACAGUUCACUCCCAGUCGUCCCGUCCUUUCACAUUAGUUUGCUCCCAGUUUUUUUUUUCCGGGGUACAACAGUUCAACUUCUCCUAACCCUCCUCCAAAAUCCAUGGCCUCCCAAAUCUCCAUGGUCGCCGCUGAGUACCAGGUUAGAGCCAUCACCGGCGAUCAGUUCAUCGUCAUCUACACACGUGGAUCCGAGACGGUGAAAGCAAAGCUUGCUCGCUUCCUACGCAUGUUCAACAGUUCAACGGAUGAGUGGGUCGCUGGGCUAGAUGUUGAGUACACCACAGUCCUGGGACGAGAGAAGGAUCUAAAGGACGAAGAGAGGAAGAAGCCCGUCGUGAUCCAGGUUUGCGUACAUAACGUUUGCUUGGUCUACCACAUAUGCCAUGCCGACGUUGAGUGCCAGGAUUUUAAGAACUUCCUCAAGGACAAAAGAGUGAAAUUCGUUACUAUAGGCUUUAAGAACGACAGGGAUGUCCUGCGUCGGAUAGGUCUCGUUGUAGGCUAGCCCUUAGAUCUCCAGAAGGCAAGCCUGGUGUCCUCCUCUCAACCUUCAAUGCUGACCCUAGCAGCAGCCAUGAUUGAUCCUUCGUACGCUAAACUGAAGAAACCUCAUCACGAGUUUCAUCAUGCAUGGGAGCCGAAGACAUUAGAUGAAGAUCACAUCCUGUACGCAGCAAUGGAUGCCUACCUUUGUUUAAAUAUCUACAAGGGUUGGAUGAAGAAGCAGAGCCCAGUGUCCGGUUCAAGCAAAGAAGCGUCGGUGAAGAGGAAGAGGAAGAGGGACGAGGACGAAGUCGAGGACGUGGACUCGGACUCCGAGUAGGUGGCAGUGCCGUCGCUCAUGCUGGUUCUACUGCAGUGUCAAGCGGACUAGUUGCUUAGUUUAUUUUCAAGGGUGUGUUGUGCUGAGGCCCCAGCAGAACUAUGUUUAUGUUCUUUCUCGUUAUUUGAACUCUUUAGUACGUACAGUAGUACUAGUACUAUGUCUUACUACUGUUCUUCUUGCAGUUGGUACUACUGCUCGUAUCUUCGUGUUCCUACUGUACUUAAUACGUUCGUACUAGUAGUAUAAUUUGGGUCAGUCGAUUUGUGAAAGAAGUUCGACGAAGCGAAAGAAGAAGACGGCAGAAGAGGUGCAAGAAGCCCUUCUAGCCAUCCAUGUUGCAUCAAACGGCUCACAUGAGUCGACUGACCCAAAUUGCUCCUUCAGAUUGCAGGAUCCACGUGGCAUUCAAGGUCUCGAAGGUAGAUUCCACGUCCGCACCCGGUUUGCAGCCUCGACGCGCGCGCAACCGGCUUCCGCCGCAACAGCCACCAUGCGCGCCUCCUCCGCGCGGGCGGAGACGACAAUGACACGCUAGUUCCUCCUCGCCGGCGUGCUGGAGCACGCGCUCGUCCUCCUCUUCGUACGCUGCGUGCAUAGACGCGGCUCCACCAGCUGCUCGCGUGCUUGGCAGCGCGGCGGCAUCACGAGGAGGGACUGCAGACGACGUGAGCGGGCGAGCCUUCGGCUUCAUGGCACAGGGAUGGCGGCGACACGGCGGUGAUGGGCGAGAAAUUGUUGGCCGGAGCAGGCGGGCGCCGGCAUGCGUAACGGCGGCGGCGGCAUAUUGAUGAGUGCGCAUGUGGGAGCUUACUUUAGUUUUAUAUAUAAGGUUUGUCAAACUUAAAAGAAAACCGUACUAGUACACGUAAACAUUAGACUUAGUCAGCGCUUUUAUUAGUUAGUACCACAGCCACGAUACGGAAUCCUGUGCAAGCGCGUGAACCGCGGCCGCGCAGUCGAUCGAACGGUGCGUCACCAUGUCGCGCUCGAAGGACAUCCACCGAACCUUUUUGUGUGUGUGAAAACAAUCCUCGAAUAUUACUCAACUUUUUUUCCUGUGAAAGUUCUUGACGCUGCAAUAUUUCCAUAUAUUUGAAUUUAGCUCCAGUUCGUGUUUAUUUGGAUUUGGACGUUUUAGGUGCGCCCUGGUUUUUUAUAAUACUGAUUUUGUGUGUGUGACUGAGAGAGAACGUGUGUAUGUGUCCAUAUGUGUGUUGUGGCGAAAGGGCAAUGUGGAGAUGGUGCGCGUGUGAUACAGACAUAGAGAGGUGUGGAUGUGCAAAUGAUCAUGCAUGAGUGAGACAUAGACAGAUGCCGAUACGUUGUGUAUACAUGAGAGAACGGUCUUCUAGUUUACUUGUGUGUGUGUGUGUGAGAGAGAGAGAGAGAGGGGGGGGGGAGAGAGAGACAGAGAGAGGAGCAUCCGUAACACAACAACCAUCUCUCUCGAUUCGUCCGUCCCUCGCACGGUCGCAUGCAACACAUGCAUCAACGCGCACAUUUUGACACCCUCACCCGGCCCCUGCCCACCUCAAGGCCCGCACAAUCUCUUUGUGAAUACCCAUUUCUCUCCUUAGGUUUCUUUUCUCUCAAUAUCUGACGUACACACAGAGAGAGAGAGAGACACACGCAGCACAACACACACACACACACACUCCCCCGAGCACGCAAUUCAUCCCCAUCCAAGGUUAUACGGCGACCACUCUCGCUUGUGCUUCUUUGCACCCCAACAUGCACAACACCUCAAUCUUCAAAGAGGGCAUCGAGCAGAUCGAAGACGGCAACCACACUGCGCUAGAGAAUGCGGGGUCAUUUGGAAGCAGGGUGAUGUGACAACGGCUGACUGACUCCUCCCCCCACCCUCUCUCUCUCUCUCUUGCACAAAAUUACCAAUCCCUCUCUCCCCCGCACAAAAUUGUCAAUCCCUCAACCCACGAGAUCCUUCCCCUCUUGUCCAUGUUUUUCCAGCUCUCUCAUCAAACAUGUUGUCUCUUCUCCUUCCACGUAUACAGAAUCCAGAUGCACACGCAUCUCAUGUAUAUUACAUGUAUCCAUCUUUCUCACUGACCUAACUUCUUCCUCUCUCUUUCUCUCUCUAUCUCUCUCUCUGUCUCGUUAGGUUUGUCUCCUACUCUCUCGUCCACAUACAUACAAUCUUUCCCGCCCUAUCUGCUCCAUCUUCAAAAGCUCUCUCUGCACAUUUCAUUCACACAUUGGGAUAUGUCAAAAUGUUGCUUCUAUAAUGGCUGAUGUAGAGUUAUGGUUGUUUUUGUUGCAUCCUACAAAGUAAUAACUAUGAAAUGCAUUUAGAUUCUCAUUUGACUGGGAUUAUGUGAGUUUGAGCAUGUUGUGAAGUACUAUAGACCUUGUAUACAUCUUGGGAUUCGACAAUGAUUGUAACUAUUGAAUUGUAUAGACCAUUACAUUCGAAGUCAAUAGCCUAAUAUAUUUAUUUCACAAUUUCAACAAAUGAUUAGUUCACUACAAACUAAGAAAACAAAUGUGUACUCCCUCAGUUUUUAUUUAAGUCCGCGUAUUAGCAUUGGUCAAAGUCAAGUUUUGUAAACUCUCAGAAAGCUUAUAACAAAAAAUAUUAACAUAUACAAUAACAAAUAAAUACCAUUAGAUUCAUUAUUGAAUGUACUUUCACAUCAUACAUAUAUUUAUGGUAAAUGUUUAUAUUUUUCUAUAAACUUGGUCAAACUUUAGGAAGUUUGACUUCGGUCAAACCUAAUAUGCAGAGUUUACUACUACUACUCGCUAGUUGCUUAGCCAAAUCACUCAACACGCCACACGGGGAGUCCAGUGUCACAAAAUUUUGAGGUCGGCGGGAAAAUCUCCCGCGACCCUGAUUCGAGCAGUGGGAAGUUACCAUCAUAGCCUUCGGAACAGGCCUACGGAUGACGCUUGGUAGGGGGCUGUUUUCGUAACUUCAGGUUCACCCUACCCAGCCAACCCCACCCUGGCACCCAGAGUAGUACACCUGAAUACUCCCCAUUUUCUAUCCCCACCGCAAAAUAGACUUCUCCACGGCACCGCAGCCUUCGUGCUCCUCCCCUUUACAUCAGCGCACUCGUCCACCGUAGCGCAUCUCCCUCAUCGACGACCUCGUACGCCGCACUGGAGCCGGUCCACCGUCGUUGUCGUACACGGAGCCUCUUCCCCAGCAUCGUCUUCCCCGGUCUCGGAUCUGCUUCCCGGAAGUCGAUGCCAAGCGCGGAAGUACCACCAUCGUGGACAAUGAACUGACUCCCGUUGCCGACCAUGACUCAUAGAGGCCGCCGCGACCAUCGUUCUCCACCUCGAUUGGUAAUGUGUGUAUUGAAUCACUUAGCAGUACAUGUGCAGCUCCAAUUUUGUUCAUACCUACCCUUCAAAUUUCCUGGGUGCUGUUGUUCCCGUAAAAGUAAUUGGUUAUAGCCUCCAUUGUCCAACAGAAUAUCAGCUUGUAAUUGUGCGUCGCUCCUGUAUCGCGCUAGUAGAGAAGAGAGUAGAGAUAACACAGACGUCGGGAAAGGAUCGCGCGCGCGGGAAAAAGCGGCCGGGCGUGCGCUAGUUUUGGCACGCGGCGUCCGGCGCGCUUCAUAAAAUCCAACGCCCUCCCACCGCUCUGUGCCUUGCCACCGCUCUCUCCCCGCUCUGUGCCUCGCCACCGCUCUCUCCCCGCUCUUUUUCGCCUCGCCGCCACCGCGCCACCAUGUCUUCGCGUCGCCGGGAAACUUGGGGAUACCGCGGCGUCCGCGCGUGCCCCUCCGGCGGCUUCUCCGCCGAGAUCCGGUUCCGCGGGAUGCGCCUCGGCCUCGGCAAUUUCGACACCGCCAACGAGGCCGCCCGCGCGUACGACGCAGCGAUGUGGCGCCUCCGGUGGCCUCAUAGAACAUUGAACUUCCCCAACGUGCCGACGCAGGAGUGGGCGCAGGAGCUCGCGCCUCUGCCACGGCUUAGGGCGCUGUGGCGCCAACACUUCCCGCAGGACAUCAUCAACGAGCGCGAGUUCUACGCACAAAGGAGGGCGGAGAGGGAUAAGAGGAGGGCGGAGCGAGCCGCCUAUCGCGAGGACAAGCGUAGGCGAAAAGCGGACGCUCAAUUCAACAUGAGGCUAGGAGCAGCGUCGCCCUGGGAAUCCGACGAUGAUCGGUAUCUUCACGCCUACAGUCAGACGUCGGAGGAGGACAUCAUCGAGGAGGAGUCGGACGAUGAGGAGUAGUUGAAUUAUCUUUUUUUAUCUAUCUAUGCUGAGAACUAUCCUCUACUCUCUAGUAUCUACUUCUCGAUCUCAGCACUGUAAACGCUUUUUUAAAGCGCCGCGCGUUGCGAUUCUGUUGGAGAUGCUCUAACAUGGCAGAUGAGUGCUUUAAUGUUGCCCACAAGAUGCGCGAGUAUUACUAGUAGUAUAUUUUUCUUGCCAUGUUGAGAUUUUAAAACCACGAGUGCGAACAUGCAGAGGAGCAAUGAAGACCAAACACGGGAUAUUCGGGACAUCUUCAAGGAGCGUGGCAAGUUAAAGAGGAGCUGCACCGAACCUGUAAAAUGAGCUUUGGUAAGUAACACCCUUUCAAUUACUUUCGUGUAACCUCGUGUUCUUCGAUGUGUAUAUGUUGUAGUUUCUGUUUCUCUUAAGCGUGGUGUUCUUCGAUGUGUAAUAAGAAGAGUCUUAAUCGUCCUAAUGCUUUCGUUUUUAGCUUGAUGUAGGAAGUGGGUAUUCUCACCUUGUAGUCUUUUUUUAUUUUUAUUUUCCUUUUGAAUUCACUUCUCCGAGUGCUGUUUAUCUGGCUUCUACUAAAUGGAUCUAGGUUGCUCUGAGUAUUGAUCUAAAAAAGAAGUAACUUCAUGUCAGGAUGCAGUUCUUGCGAGGAGGGAAGUAUGGUCAACCUCGAGAUCAUGUUUCCAAAAUGAGGCUGGAUUACACACAAGGUGCUAGUUCCCUAAUGAUGCUGGAUUAGACACAAGGUGCAAAUUCCCAGAUGAUGCUGGAUUACACACAAGCCAGGUGGAGUCGUCAGCUGUUCGUGUCCUCGUGGCAUUAGUAAAGGCUGAAAGAAAGCGUGCAGCAGCCCUUGAGAAUGUAGCUGAGUUCCUGAAGAAGCGAAAAGAGCAAUCAGAUGCUCUCUUCACCCAAGCCAAAGAAGAGAUGGAAGAAGCCAGAAAUAAGCUAGCAGAGGUAGACCAGGCUAGGCGUCUCCUGCUAUCUAAAACUGUUGUCAAUACAAAAUUUCCUUCAUAAUAGCUAGGUUCAAAUGUUUAUCCAGUCAGCAUGCCUGUUGUGAUGUUCGUGCAUCUACUGAUGUGGCACAAAAUGUUUUUUUCGGGUCAUGUAAUAACAGCAAUUACUUUCCAAACAAUAACAGACGAAGCAUUGGACAUGGUAUAGUUCACGCGCAAGCCCAACAUUCCAGGUUCAACUUCCACAUCAAACUCAUGUUGACAGAUAUCUGCACAUUCAUACAUAAUGUCCACAACCAUGAUUCACUUCAAAGCCAAAAAAAUGUGAGCAGAGUUAUAAAUGAAGAAAAUCCUCUACUAGUUCCUGCUACUAGUGCGAGCACAACAAGUCAAGACCAUGCGUAAAUUAAUUAUAUUUUAGUCAUUUUUUGUGUUCUAAAAUGCCUGCCGGCUCGCGGAAGGACGUGUUGCCGGCACACGCGUGGAUUCAAUGAAGGCAGGCGGGGCAGUCUUAAGAUGGUUGCACGCGGCGAGGAGGCGUGCUCAGCCGGACCUGCAGCGAGUGCGGCCCUCUUGGCCGGUGCGCCGGUUCAAUGCCUGCGCUAGGAGAGGUCGCGUCCGUGUCAGAGCAAUCACUCCCUCCAGUCCUUUUUUUUGGGUAUAACAAAAUCUCGUUUUCCAUUCACAUUUUACAAGUAAAAUUCGUGGACAAACUUUGACCCAAAGUACGAUGGGGACUAGUAAACAAGAAUGGAGGUAGUAGUUUUUUUUAAUCAAAGAAGGGUUUCCCCUUCCGAUUUUCAUUACUGAAAACCAGCAUCUAAAUCUAAACCAUAGUAUUUGCCCUAGAACUACCAGGUUCAACAUCUCGCAACAUAAACCCAUACAACCUCCAUCGCAAAAAAAAACAUACGCCAAGGAGGUACGUAGUACUAUGAAUUCCAUUUUCGCUCCAUACCAAUCGUUCUAAAACUACUUACUACUUAUAACGCGCCAUUGAAAAUCGGAACUCUUAACCCCGCUAAAAAAUGAUAUUUUAAACGUGGCUACUCGAUCUGUGGCAACUGGCGAGCCACCGCGCUCCAAGUCGUUCACCUGUGGUCCCGACCAUCAACCCCUACGGAUCAAAUUAUCACGCGAGCUGACUAUUCCUACAAAGGUGCUCCACCACGUAACCGGUCCCCGUGAAUGCAGCAAUCGUGCACCUAGGGUUUUAGGGUUUAUUUGUUAACGUUGCCUUUAUGUAACACUCAUGUGUGCGAGACAGCGAGAGGCCGACUGCGUGCGUGCGCCUCUUCUCUUCGUAUAUGUACUCCACCGUUUGUCUGGUGUCCAAAAAAUUAUAAUAACUACUAGCAAUGUGCCAAUGCGUUGCCACACGAUCAAAGUAGAUUAAUACAUAUUCACUGAUUUGAUAGAAAAAAAGUCUAGUUUUGAAAUACGUAUAUCACUAAAAAUAUGUUAUGUUUCACUCAAAAUAUAUUCCUUUGGCGGUUUUGAUGAGAUAAGGGAGGAAUGUUGUUGGUUUCAAGAUUCGAGAAGUGGUAUAUGUCUAAUUUCUACUCUUACUAGCAAGAUGCCCGUGCGUUGCACGGAACAUCAAGAUCUUGUGGGAGAAAAGGAUGAACGAGGGAAGGCCUUAUCUGCAAAUGUGGUGAAGAGUGCGGGUAAAUUGCCAUAUUUUCCUUCCUAUCCGUCAGAUAUAAAUCGGACGACCUACAUAUUUUUCAUCCCUACUCUUAUAAAAAGCAUUGUCGGUGAUGAUCGUGUGCCUGCCAUCCUGCAAUAUAGGCCGUCCGAUCUAUAUCUGACGGAUAGGAAGGAAACUAUGGCAAUUUUGCAAAAAGAUACCCACACCCCUCUCCACAUUUGCAAAUAAGGCCUUCCCUCGUUCAUCCUUUUCCCUCACAAGAUAAACUACUCAUACAAAUGCAUCUUGAUGUUCCGUGCAACGCAUGGGCAUCUUGGUAGUUGUUGCAAAAAGCUCAUGUGUGUGUGAGAGAGAGGGAGAGUGGAGGAGGACGGAGUGCAUGUGUGACAAAGACAUAAGGAGUGUGUGUGCGAUAGGUAUCAGCUUAAAAUGAGGCGAUAGUGUGUGUGUGCACGAUCGAGAGGGCGUGUCUCAAGAAGGGAAGAAAAAUCUACAUAGAUACAAGGAGCGGGAGAGAGACAUGUAUGCGAUGGUGGAAGCACGAGUGUGCGGGUGUAUAAACCUAUCUAGAGGCUAGCUAGUCGAUAAAUGUUUGUGAGAGAAAUACGAGUCGGGUGCGAAAGCGAGAGUUUUGUGUGUGUGAGAGAGAGACGGUAGUCGGGAAGGGGAGUGGAAGCAGGAGUUGUGUGUGUGUGUCUGUGAGAGAGAGAGAGGAGACGGUAGUCGGGGUUGUCUGAUCGGUAAACAAAUGAAUAAUGUCAGUCUGGGAUGGAGACGAAAAGGAGACCGCAACAAAUGUUGUGUCUACAGGAGAGAGAGAGAGAGAGUAAUUUUAGUGGUAUGAGUCAUAUGUAGAGACAUAUAGGGUGUGUGAGAGAAUCCCAUAGAGAGAAAGACAAAGUGAAAGACGAGUGGAGACUGUGUGUGUGGUGGUGAAAAAGAAAGCUUAGGUACCGAGUGAUACCAGAGAACAGUAGAGACAUGAGAAUAAUGAAAACCGUGUAAUGUAUAAUGAUAGGGAGAGUGUGACACUUCUCAAGGGAGAUGUCGAGAGACCAUGUUUGUGAGGAUACGAGAAACAUGAAGUGAGCGUGCGGGUGAGCUGGAGAAAAGAGAGUUAUAGCUACCUGAAGGAGCAUGCAUGCGAGAGAGAUGGACGUAAAAGGAGUGAACAAAAAAGGGAUUCAAAUAUUUGAAUUCGAGAUGAUGAUACAUGUAAUCCAUACUCGAACCAAAAUUGAUCUAUCAAACAUGCAUACUCAUAUGAAUUCACGCACAUCUAUGUUAUUUAAUAUGUAGAUAUUACUGAUCCAUACAUUUUAGUAGAACAUAAUUUGGUUAAAUUUUUUCGAAUUCAACCUUAAGAUUUCGAGAUCGUUGUAUUUGUAAAUCAUAUUAUACAUAUAAAGGAGCAUAAUUCUUUGUUGUGCUUUUGAAAGUAUAUAUAAAAAAAUGAUGUAUAUAGAAUGUAAUUCCAAUUGAAAAUGGAUCCCGCCCGAAAAAAAAUAGAAUACAAACGGGAUUCGAAUUGAGUUGGCAUGGUAAACGUGCACUCUGCAAAAUUUGAACGAAGCGGGGAAAGUCGCAGUAACCGCCCGAAACCAAAAUCUGCGAGAUGGAAAUCACUACUGCCUAUCCCUGCCACACAAAGCGAGAUGGAUUUCUAUAGGUUUCGAUAGGGGUAGGUUUGUAAUUUCACCCAAACGUGACGUAACCGCCUCUCACCCGGAUUCAUACACGGUGGGCGCCAAAACACAGUGUGUCCUCGGCCGAAAUCGACUCCCUCCCCGAUUCAUAUUCGUACACGGUGGGCGCCAAAAACAAACUCUCGUCGGCAAAUAUUCGGUGUAUGCGAGAUUACCGUCCUAUCCCCAACCGACUAAUGUUGCUGUGAUGUAGUAGAAAUUUGAAACGGGGGCUAAGUUUGUAAAUUUCCUCGCAUUUGAGACAAGCGUGCCCUGAAUACAUGGUUCCCCCCUUCCUCUCUACCUCCCUUUUCCCCAUUCGUACUCCGUGGGCGCCAAAACACCCUCUCCACCCCACCCUCCUCCGUCCGCCGCCGUCCGCCACCCCAUCCACCGCCGUCCUCCUCCACCAUGUCGGAGCUGAUACCCCGACGCCGCCAUCCAUUACAAGAGAUCGACCUCUCUCAUCCACGGCUUUAGACCAGGAUCCUUGCAUCCCGUCCUCUCGCUUCAUCCCCGCCGUCGUCCAGCUUGCCGGCGCAACUCCUACGACCGUCUCGUCCACCGCGCCCCGCCGCCACCGUCUACCCUCCUAGAUCUGCUUCCACGCCACCGACAGCCAUCGCUACCGCAGCACCGUCAAAUUCUCAGCAGAUGUGUACACGGCGCCGCACCAGAGGCGGUACUCUUUCGUAUCUGCUCAACUUAUUUAUCGCAGCAAGAAAAUAGAUCGCCACUGCUUUACUCUGAUUUCUUGUCUUGGUUGCGAAGUUGCCUUUGUCCGGUUUGCACCUUCAGAUCCGCCAUGGCACGCUCAACACUAUACUCCCAAUGCUUAUGGUUUUCCCCUUUUAUAUUCCACACUAGUUAAAUCACAGUAGAGUAAAUUUCAAAUUUGGGUCAGUCGAUUUUUCAGAGCUCGCCGGAGUUCGCCGGUGCGAUCGAAGGGGCUCGGGUGGUUGUGGGGCCUCGCCGAACGAAGAAAACUUGACGCGGGUGGGGAUUGGGGCGGGGGUGGGGGUGGCGGAGGAACACAGGAGGUGGGGGCCGGUGGUCCGGCCGGGGGCCCGUGUGGUGUUCUGUAUGGGAAGAAUCAGAGACGAGGAAGAAGAAGGGUUAGGAGACGUAGGAUCUUCAUCCAACCGCCUGAAAUGGUCGAGAGACAGCUGGGAGUUGCAUUCUUAAUGUGCUCUGGUUCAUCAUGUGUGGGCACUGCGCAACCAACAUUUUAUUAUCCAAAAUCUGCUUGCUCUUCUUUACCAUGUUCCUCUUCCGUUCUUCUUUAAUAUGUACUCUCUCCGUUCCUAAAUACAAGUCUUUGUAUAGAUUCCACCAUGGACUACAUAUGGAGCAAAAUGAGUGAAUCUACACUCUAAAAUGUAUCUGGAUACAUCUGUAUGUGAUCCAUAGUGGAAAUCUCUACCAAGACUUAUAUUUUGGAACGGAGGGAGUAUGAUAGUAGUACAGUAUGUUCCUUGUACUGAAGAUGAGCAGGGACAUUUGCAGUGUAGAGGUCUAUAUGGUCGGUUGUGAUGGACACUUUGAGCCUCUUUGAUUCGUAGGAUCUUGUAAACAUAGGAAUAGGAUUUGUAGUGGCCUGCCCACUUUCAUCCUAUAAGAAUAGCAAGGAAAUGCGGGGAGCUGUGUCGCCUUUGAGAGUUACACUGAUAUUAACAGUACCGCACCUUCACUUGAAGAGAGCUAGUAUCCGAAGCCUUUCUAGCCGUACCGGCAAUACUAGCACAUAUAUUCCAGCAAGUUCCACUUUGCUGAUUUUACUCUGAUGCUUAAGGUUUUCCCGUUAUAUCUACACUAUGAUCUGUGUAGCUGCUUUGUGUCGCACUAGCAGCAGUCCACUCUUGAAGUAAACACUGCAAUGACUUACAAAAUUGGCACCAAGGCAUUGAGUGCCAUUCUGGAUGCAAUGAAACUCAUACGCUCCCCACCUGUUGAUUCUUGUUCAGAAUAUGAUCCUAAUGACUAUUCUAACCUCGAGGAGUCAAAGGCAGAUGGCCUGUCCUGUUCACCCAUCAAGGUGCCUGUUCUAAUUUGGCAAUGUUUUAUUGAUUGCGGGUAUCUUGCAUAUGUUGUCUUGCAUUUCUUCUACUUUGUUGCACCGCCAUCUGCUUAGUUUACUCAUCAUAUAUGUCGAGAUGCCAUGCCCAUCCAUUAUCAAUACAUAUUCCAUCUGUCAUCAUACCAUGUUUUUCCACUCAAAUGAUGUUCUUGUGCAUCAGACAUCAAAAAGGAAGAGGGUGAUUGCCGAACCUGAAGGAGCACCAGCAAAGUCCUUGAAAAACGUGGUGGUGCCAGAGAAAUCAGACAGCACCCCACUUAUAUUGGCUGUACAACCAGUGACACAAAAUGUAGGACCGACUCCAGCAGACUGUACCCAUACUUCACUGGCCACACCACUAGCCCCACCACACAGGACCUGCACUCCGGCAAAAGGUAUACCGAUUUCAUUUGCCAUAGCACCAGCUGUACCAUAGAAAAAUCCCACUCCAGCAAAAAGUACAGCAAGUCCACCGGCCGAAGACCUAUCCCAACUGCAGAGAUGGCCAAUUCCUGCAGAUUGGAACCCCAUUCCAUUUAUUCCCAGUUUAAAAGACAAUGCUUUCAAUGUUGUUAGGGACUACGUACAUAUAUUCCCAUCAUGGGAAGAUUAUUGUGAAGACAAACACCAUUUUCACAUCUUCCUGUCCAACUUACGUGUAAGUGCUAUUAUUCAUGGUUAUUAUUUUCCUGUUUUCUGCUGAUUGAACACAUCAAUGAUUUACAUUACAUUGUUGUAACUAGGCGAGGGUCAAUCUGGAUAGUCAUGACGAUCAAAGCUUGCUUGUGCUUUUCAAGGAAGCAUUGCAGCAGUAUCGGUGUUACCUGAGGAAAUCACACUUUGAUGGCAAGUCUAUAAACGAAUUUUGGUGAAGUCUCCUGUGCUAAAUUUAGAAGACAUUGAAUGGAAAAACCUUGUUAUGCACUGGUCUCGUUCCCAGGAUGAGGUACUGUCUAUGAAAUCACAUGACAAUUUGAACUUCUACUUUUCCGCAUGUGCCUUAUGAAUCUUUUUUGGAGGAAAUCUGCUCGAAGAAGAAUUCCGGUUUGACAAGAACGACAGGAUAUCGCAAAUAUGCUGCCCGCUGCUUUGCUCUUGUUAGUACCUGUUGUCCUGUAUCACUGUACUUGCAUAGAUACCUGGUUUAUUAUGUGACAGCAGUAUGCAUGAUAGCUUGCUUAUCAAUUGUUCGCUCCAAAUUAUCUGAUAUGUAUGAAUGGUUACAUUAGUGUAGAAUAUAUCCAAUGCCAAUGUUUUUUUAGCUCUGCAUUGUUCUUGUAAGUACAUGUUGUCCUUUAUCAGUGUACUUAUAAUGACAGGUAGUUGUUCAUGUACCAUCACUCUGCAGCUUAUUUUCCUUUGCCCUCCAUUUUCUACACAUCAGAUCUAUAUUUACUCUUACCAUAAGGUUGGUACUGAAGAAGUUUAGCUGUGCAUUGCUCUUGGCUGUACCUUUUGCCUGUAUUGCUGCACUUACAUUUAUAGCUACUUGGUUAUGUAGCAUCACUCUUCAUCUUAUCUUAAAUAUUCUCCAUUUUUUCGUAUAUUAUCACAUCUAUAUUUAUUCUUAACAAAAUGUAGAAUAAAGGCAAUGCUUUUGAAGAAGAUUCUGUGGUAAACUUCUUGAAUUGCCCCCCCCCCAUCAGCAUGGACAAGGCCUUUAUAGAGCCUGUCUUCACCAAUAAUGUAAGUUUGUCCAUCUCAAGCCUUCAAACUUUGUUGUAUAUAUUUGGUUAGGCAUGACUGCAACAACUGUUUAUUUUUUGUGUUUGCAUCAAAUUGCUUGUUUAAAGUUUAUUAUGUAGUUCAUAAACAAAAGUUUGUCCUUUCUCAAUUUAAGUUUUCAGUUGUACAACCAAGUUCCUUCUUCAUACCAUGUAAAUUAAACUAUACAGAGCAAGUGAUCUUCUUUUGCACUGCAUGUAUGCUUCUGUUCUUCAUCUGUAAUCCAGUGGUGUGGUGAACCUACCCACUACAGCACAAUGUCAUAUUCUACAAUGUCUUAACUAUGAACAAUGUCAUAUCAUUCUACUAUUAUUUAAACUGUCUCUUUAUUUGCCAAUCUGAAAUGGUAUAAAUUGACAACACACUAACCAUUGAUACUUAUGAGUUCUUGAUCUGUAAUCCAGUGGUGUCGUGAAGCUGCCAACUCCUUCGCAAUGUCAUUUCCUGCCAUGUCUUGACCUGAACAAUACCAUAUUGUGUCAAUGCAAUUUUAAACUGUGUCACUUUAUUCGUCGGUAAGAAAUGUGAUAAAUUGUCAGCACUGAUACUUUUAUGUGCAAAACCUGUCAUCUGUCUGCUUGUUUAUCUUUCAGAGUGAGGAAGAUAUAAGUGUUGAACAAGCGCAGUCUCAUCAUCUUGCUCAGCUGCUUGCGCUGCAGCUCCCCAGCAGGGCUAACCUUUCUUGAACUCUAUUAAAGUGCUGUCGGUUUUGUAUAUUAUUUUGUCGGCGUGUUUAUUUGCACUGGUGGCGAUCUUUGAUGCCCAGUGUAUGUAAUCUGCUGUCUGCUUGUGCUUUAUUAUCAUAGUGGCGAACUUUGAUGCCUAGUGGAUGUAAUAUGCCAUAAUUUCUUUAUUGUAUAGUCUAGGUUUUUUCUAAUUCACGAUGCUACAGUUAUUUUACUGUAUAUAUAUCCUGUCUUCGCAGUAAACCGGCCAAACCGUAAAAUUACGGUACAUAAUCGGGUCGUCAUGCAAUCACGAUGUAGGUUGGGCCUGAAACGUGCCGAACAGCUCACGGGCCGGCAGCAGCCCGAAAUGAACCCCGGCCCAUGAUUGUGCGAAUCAAAUCACGGGCUUUUAACAUGCCAAAAUUGUCUCGAUCCUUGUUUGGCCCAAUCAGAUAUCGGCUGCGAGCAGGCCGGAUGCAAACCGGGCCGUAGUUAGGCCCAACUAUAUGACGGGCUUUUAACAUGCCGAAAUUAACAUAGGGCCGAAAUGUUAAAUUGGCCCUUAACAGGCCAAAACUAAUAUCAGACCGAAUUACUAAGUGGGCCUUUAGCAAGUGGGCCCAAAAGCAUAGUGUCCAGUUGACGGGCCGAAUCUGACAUGGGCCAUAAUUGAGCCCAAAGCCUCUUAAAGGGCCGGACCUUAUCUGGGCCGUAAUUUGGCCCAGAACGUGGUAGGCUUUUAACGGGCCGGAUCUCAUAUGGGCCACUAUUAGGCCCGGAGCGUGGCAGGCCAUUAAUGGACUAGAUCAAAUAUGGGCCGGCAUUUGGCCCAAAACAUGGCAGCCAGUUAAUGGGCCGGCCUACUAGGGUCCUCAAAAUCUUGUGGGCCUACAGCUGGGUCGGCCCAUUAAUGUCGGCGAAAUCUCGUGGGCCUUUAGCUGGGCCGGCCCAUUAUGAUCCGCAAGAAUCUUGUGGGCCUUUACCUGGGCCAGCCCAUUAUGGCACACAAAAAUCUUGUGGGCCUUUACCUGGGCCGGCCCAUUAUGGCCCGCAAAAUCUAUUGGGCCUUUAGCUGGGCCAGCCCAUUAUGGUCCGCAAAAUCUCGUGGGCCUUUAGCUGGGUCGGCCCAUUAUGGUCCCAAAAUCUUGUGGGCCUUCAGUUGGGCCGGCCCAUUUAAACUUGAUGGGCCGGUCCACGUGUCAACAUAUUUAGGUGCGUCUCGCCCAUUGGAUGAGUGACACCUGUGCCAACGUGGACCUGACACGUGUCUCCUCCAGCCAAUGAUGAUUUUACACGUGGAAAAUCCCCAUUGGUCAGGGCUGUUAGCGGGUUACCGGAUCCAAAACCCGACCUGAUAGCUUAACAGCGUUCCGUUACGGUGGAUGCCACGUGUCGGUCACCCUUGACGAAAGCACUUCUGUGAUGCGCGAUUUAUCGUCAUGGAAGUGGACACUUCCGUGAUGAUAAUUUUGGUAAUGUCAUGGAACACUUCUACAACAGCACAGGUAUGACUAUCUUGAUUCUGUCAUAAAUUUGUCAUGGAUGUACAUGCAUGACAAAAAACGCGACCUACUGUGACAAACACGUAUCAUCACGGAAGUAUAUUUUUUUUGUAGUGAGGAGUGGCUCUCCCUACGUUCCCUCGCCCCCUCCUCUGCAUGAAGGGGCGGAAAGGCUGUCUCCAACAUCUCCGGCGGGCGGGGUUAAGUCUCCGCUCCCAGGUCAGGGGCUGGGUUGGGGGCUCGGCACGGGAUCUUCUGCAUCCUUCCCCACCGAAGCCGAGCCCUCUACGCCCUCCAGCGACCCGAGGCGCCGGAGCCUCUUCCGGGAAUGAUGGAUGAGGGUCUCCGUCUCCUCUUCCACUUCCCUGCCGGCAACAACAAGAACAAGAGGUUAGACGGCAAAAGCAUUCAAAUCUGCUUAGGAAGAUAACUACCACAAAGAAAAAUCCUCCUUACUCUUCCGCGAUGAGCAUGGAGGUCAAGUUGAACUCCACGGGAGGAGGGGACUCCCACCCUCUCUUUAGAGACGGAAGGGUAGAGCUCCCCGACAGCUUCGGUGCCUGCCGUGACAUCAAGGGCUUCGGGGAAGAUGAGCUCUGCGAAGAACUCGAGUCGGGGCAGGGGCUGGACUCCUCCUCCGUGGCCACCGGCCGUUUGGCGGAAGGUGCCUUAGCCUGAGCGAGGCGAGGGGAUUGGUGACACGCCACCUCGCCCUUGGUAGCCUUGAUGGAGAUCUUCUUCACCUUCUUGGUGGGUGGCACCGAGUUGGAGGUCGCCGCUCUCCGAGCCGCGGCACGCCUACAGGUACGCCGAUCUGGGUCCGGUGCGGGGGAUUGUGGUCCUUCCGCAAGCCAUUCCUCUUCAGGGCCGCUACCGCGCUCCCCUCCCUCUCCACCUCCUCUCCCUCCUGGAGCUCCUUUGCUGCCGUGGCUAGAGCGUUUAGCCCGGUGAAGUUACCCCCGACAAGCUCUUCCCCGGCAGUAUCUUUUGUGGCUUGCGCCUCGCUGCCGCCCUGGGAAGAGCUCCCGUUCCUAGCCUUCCCUUUGCCUUUCCCGGCCUUUGCGGCUUUCUCCAUUUCUGCGCGGCGGGCAUCUUUGUCCUCUGUGACUCUCUUCAGAAUAUACGCUACCUCCGCAGCAGAGGUGCGUUUAUACAUUCCAUCUUCGGCCCUGGUGGCCUUCUCCACCAAAGUACUCGGCCACUGGAGCUCUUCGUCAAGAGAAGGGAGCUGCCAAGUGCCCGAUACUCCUUCAGCGUUGCAAUCUGGCAUCCACUUCAGUAUUUGAUACCGGGCAGAGUUGAUGUUUAGGGGAACGACGGUUGCCGGGAGCUUGAACAACUCGAAGCGACCGAAUAGUUGGCCGCACAACCAAGCAUGGCCAUAAACUGACAAGUUAUUGGCCAGCCCCAGCAGCAGCCUCAUCCUAUCCGCAACGCCGCCAUACAGCCACUCGGGCCUGUCCCUUUCCUGCAGCGGUGAGAUGCGGCGAAGGAGGAAAUCUGCCCCCACAUGCUCGAUGGCUAACCCGGCAGCCGCCAGGUGGGUGAUCCUAUUAAUUGCCGUGCGCAACCUGUCCUCAGUAAGGCCCUUGGCGCUCCAAUCCUUGCCGCGCUCGACGCACUCCUGUCGCGCUUCGCAAAACUCGGGGGCUUCCUUGUCCUGGAUCCAACACCAGUCCCCUCUCCAUUCGUCCCACCUCUCGCGCUGGUAUCCAAGGAGAUAAUCCCAGAUCUUCCUUGCUACGCGCGGCAUCCAAGUGAUGAUCCCAGUGCGGUUAACUCUGCUCUCCACCCGCGGGACGAAGUAAUGCCGGAAUAGAUCCACAUUGGGCUUCACCCCGACGAAAUUCUCACACAAAUCCGCGAAGAUGGCCAUGGUCGCCAUUGCAUUUGGCGUGAAAUCGAGGAGGUGAAAUCCAUAGAUGUUCAUGAUUGCCUCAAAGAACUCAUAAAAGGGAGGGCACAGAUCGCAGAUGAAAUAAGCGGCAAAGAACCGAUAAGAAUCGGGGGGAUUCACCUCACCCGCUUCGUAGACCAUGGGCGCCCCGUGCCCUUUCUCAACAGGCCGCCCCCACAGAUACCCGUACUUCGCCUGAAGGACGGGGCCGCUCAAGUUGGACGGAACGAAGACGACGUCCUCACUCCGCUUCUUGUUCAGCUUCGCCGACCUUUUGUUCCCCUCGGCGGCGGUCUCCUUCACCGCAGUCGUCGACUUCUUCUUGUCCGCUGGUAUCUUCCCCAUUUCUGCGGCAACACGAGAAGGAUUCCUUGGAGAGGAUGGCGACGGAAGGAGAAGCGAGAAGGGGAACUCUCGCUUGGUGCUACCUCUUGAGCACUGCGUUGGUUUUCCCUUGAAGAGGAAAGGGUGAUGCAGCACAGUAGCGUAAGUAUUUCCCUCAGUUUUUGAGAACCAAGGUAUCAAUCCAGUAGGAGGCUACGCGCGAGUCCCUCGCACCUACACAAAACAAAUAAAUCCUCGCAACCAACGUGAUAAGGGGUUGUCAAUCCCUACACGGUCACUUACGAGAGUGAGAUCUGAUAGAUAUGAUAGGAUAAUAUUUUUGGUAUUUUUAUGAUAAAGAUGCAAAGUACAAUAAAAGCAAAGUAAAAAAGCAACAGAAAUAACUAAGUGUUGGAAGAAUAAUAUGAUGAAGAUAGACCCGGGGGCCAUAGGUUUCACUAGUGGCUUCUCUCAAGAGCAUAAGUAUUUUACGGUGGGUGAACAAAUUACUGUUGAGCAAUUGACAGAAUUGAGCAUAGUUAUAAGAAUAUCUAGGUAUGAUCAUGUAUAUAGGCAUCACGUCCAAGACAAGUAGACCGACUCUUGCCUGCAUCUACUACUAUUACUCCACACAUUGACCGCUAUCCAGCAUGCAUCUAGAGUAUUAAGUUCAUAAGAACAGAGUAACGCCUUAAGCAAGAUGACAUGAUGUAGAGGGAUAAAUUCAUGCAAUAUGAUAGAAAAAACCCCAUCUUGUUAUCCUCGAUGGCAACAAUACAAUACAUGCCUUGCUGCCCCUACUGUCACUGGGAAAGGACACCGCAAGAUUGAACCCAAAGCUAAGCACUUCUCCCAUUGCAAGAAAGAUCAAUCUAGUAGGCCAAACCAAACUGAUAAUUCGAAGAGACUUGCAAAGAUAACCAAUCAUACAUAAAAGAAUUCAGAAAAUUCAAAUAUUGUUCAUAGAUAAACUUGAUCAUAAACCCACAAUUCAUCGGUCUCAACAAACACACCGCAAAAGAAGAUUACAUCGAAUAGAUCUCCACGAGAGAGGGGGAGAACAUUGUAUUGAGAUCCAAAAAGAGAGAAGAAGCCAUCUAGCUACUAACUAUGGACCCGAAGGUCUGAGGUAAACUACUCACACUUCAUCGGAGAGGCUAUGGUGUUGAUGUAGAAGCCCUCCGUGAUGGAUGCCCCCUCCGGCGGAGCUCCGGAACAGGCCCCAAGAUGGGAUCUCGUGGGUACAGAAGGUUGCGGCGGUGGAAUUAGGUUUUUGGCUCCGUAUCUGAUCGUUUGGGGGUACGUAGGUAUAUAUAGGAGGAAGGAGUACGUCGGUGGAGCAACAUGGGGCCCACGAGGGUGGAGGGCGCGCCUAGGGGGGUAGGCGCGCACCUACCUCAUGGCUUCCUGCUUUGUUUCUUGACAUAUGGUCCAAGUCUUCUGGAUCAUGUUCGUUCCGAAAAUCACGUUCCCGAAGGUUUCAUUCCAUUUGGACUCCGUUUGAUAUUCUUUUUCUGCGAAACUCUGAAAUAGGCAAAAACAGCAAUUCUGGGCUGGGCCUCCGGUUAGUAGGUUAGUCCCAAAAAUAAUAUAAAAGUGAAUAAUAAAGCCCAAUAAUGUCCAAAACAGAAGAUAAUAUAGCAUGGAGCAAUCAAAAAUUAUAGAUACGUUGGAGACGUAUCACUUGGCUUGCGGAGGAAGAAGAUGGGGGAGCGGGGCGAGAGAUAGGUGAAUCGUGCCGCUCCGACUUACCCUGCUCUUAAGAGGGGGGAAAGUGGGACAGAGGCGCGACGCUUCAGAAAGUUACCGUUUUACCAUAACUGCAACCGUCCACGACCCCACUACGCACAGUAAUUGCGCAAAGAGGACGUUGGAUUGACUGGUCGCCGUAGCAAAACGGCGUGCGCAGCCCUCCCCUGCCACGUGUCCGCGCACUGUUUGGGGCUCAACCCAACGUGCCACGCGACACGUAUGGCUCACGCCCGGGGGCUUAUGUCGGGGAAAAUAUACAGGGGUAUGCAUUUUUUCCCCUGACUCAGUGCACGCACAAGCCAAGGCAAGGCAGAAUACAAGAAAUCAAGAGAUCCAGAGGAACCCGCACGCAGUCCAGAGAGACCAAGAUCGAGCAAGACAUCGGCAAGAGAAGGGCCUCCCUUGCCGGGCAGAUGAGCCCGGCAAGGGGCGAGGCCACCACCAGGAGCAAGCAAUCAAGGCUCCCCGGCAGAGCCUGCCGGGGCUCGCGGGGGCAGAACCACCCCACCACCCACUCAAACACGACUCACGUCGUCGAUAAGUGCGGUGCCAAGCCGCAAGGUGAUUAAGUGGCAGCCAUUCGCCACAUGGCAGCCAUUUCCUACAGAAGAAACCUGCAGAUGACACCCGUCCUGCAUGUGUCAAGGGAACAGAUGCGGAGCUGGCAAGAUAGCCCGACAAGCCUUGCCGGGCGACCAGUGAUGUGACACCAAGCGGCACAUUUAAUGCACCCCUGUCAGCCCGCAGAGUUAGGUAUGAUAGCACUAUUCACUAUCAUAUCAGUGGAUAAUGACCACUUUGCCACUGUGGUGACCCCUUAAUCUAUAAAAGGAGGCCCAUGGCACUCGUAGGGGGGGUUGGAAAGUUGAUGAACCCAAGCCACCAUACACGCGUAGUCGCUGCGGCCCCUAGGCAAACCCUGCCGGGAAAAUGUACUACGCGUCACCACACUCAUUCCACCAUCAAUCCACUAAAGCAGGAGUAGGGUCUUACGCCUUGCGGCGGCCCGAACCUGGGUAAAUUGCUUGUGUGCUCUCUGUCGUGCUGCCGCACGCUGAUCUGCUCUUUGUGCAAUGUGACGUCCCCCUGCUGAACCAGCAAGGGGUCACCCGGUCCCAUAGGUGGCCGCGGAUAUCCCGCGACACCACUGUAGUGCAGAGCAGAGUUAGCGCCAUUCAAGUCCAUUAUUGAAUGUGUGGAUAUUACCAAAUGAUGUAUGUCUCAUUUUCAUAUUAAAGUGUGGCUUUUAUUGCAAAAAAAACUUGGGGCAAAGCCGAGGAGAUGGAUUGCAAGGGGGAAGUGCAGAUGUUUCAAUAGAUUAAAUUUUGUAAGAAAAGUAGUGUGUAUACUCUCUCUGUGAUUUAACUUUGAUCACCAACUUAAUCUAUAAUAUAUAUGUUGUGUGUCAUAAAAUUAUACCAUUGGAGUUUUUUGUAAUACGAAUUUGAUGAUAAAUUUUGUGACAUGUAAGCGACAUUUUGUUGAUCAAAGUGCAUGAGUGAUGCGUGGCCGAUAGGUAAAUUGUGACAGUGAGAGUAGUAUUUAUUUGCCUAAGUUGGGUGGAGAAGAGACCUCUUUAGUGUAUCCUAGAGUGCAUGGCGAAAUUGAAGGCAAGUCAAUUUUUGUCUUUGUCAUUAUCACGGAGUAGAAGGCAUGAGUUCCCCAGAUUUAGUCAUGGUAAGUAUGUCCACCUCAAAUUUGAAUAGGAUUUUGUCUUAACAGUAGUCAUGAUUUUGUCUUAACAGUAAUACACAGUGAUGUUUGUUGCAAAGAAAUCAUAAACGGCAAGCGACAUGUUGUGAGUUAAAAUGAUUCUUUUAUCAGUGUAUCAUGGCAACGCACGGACAUGCAGAUGUAUGUACAUGGCAACAUUUAUUUCCGCUUGGUAUUCCAACGAGCAUAGACUGGUAAAUUAAUAUAUUUUAUUAUCAUAACAUUCAAAAUACAGGCAUUUAUUUUUGUUAUCACUAUAUUCAAGAUAAAAUUAAUUUAGGAAAUAGCAGGGAUGUGUCGGGCUAUAUAUUUUUUAUGCUCUGGUGGAACGGUAAAGAAUUGGUUUGUCUGGUUUGUAUGAUGAGUAAUCCCCAUUACAUAUUUGAAGAUCUUUGACGUGAGGUACUUGUGCUAACUACAUAUAUUGCUUGUAAACAACAUUUAUGAUAUUGUGCAAGAAUUUCUUAAGCACAUCAUGUAUAUCUUAAUUUGUAACAGAUUUUUAGUUGGAUAAUCGGUCUAUAUGUAUACAUCUUCAGAUUGCCUAUUUGUUAUCAAUUUACGUUGCAAAUAAAGUGUACCUCAAUUAUAACCCGAUUGUGUUCGUGCUAUCUUUUCUCUAACAUGUGAAAUUUAGCAUGCAUUAUGUUUAUAUAACUCCAGCAAAAUACUAUUUCAAAAGCCCGUGGCAACACACGGGCAUUCUAUUGGUAUAAAUAAAAACAAAGAAAACGUAACAAGAUGAUAAUAAAAUAAACAAAAAUACAACAAGAAAACGAAAAACCGAAGAAACCCAGUUUGAUCGAACGUACAACAAUUUUUUUAGGGUUUUUCUAGGACACAUCUAGAUGUGACAUAAUUAUAUUACAUCUAACCUUGUGUUCAUUGUGUUUAUGGUUUAAUUUUUUUUCCAGCUUUUGUUUUUUGUUCCGUGUUGCUGUGUUAUUUGUGGGAGUUUAGAUGUGACAUCCUUAGAAAACAUUUAGAGUUAGCAGCGACUACCGCUAAAUGGGCUAUGCCCGCUACUGUGUCGCCCGUAGGUGAUUCCUAAUUCUUUUUUUGAGACAAAAGGUGAUUCCUAAUUAGGAGCUAGCAGCUGUCGGUAGAGACCAAACGGGCCUGAUUCGUCUCCUGGCCUGGUGCUGGCACAGCCAAUUCCGCCUCCCCUUUUGGACCUUGGUGAUUCCUAUUGUGAUCCCGCCUCCUUUGGCGCCGCGGCGACUAUAUUUCCUCCCUUGGCGCCAGUUGAUUCAAACACAUAUUCGUAGUGUAUUUGAGAAGAUAGAGCGGGGUCUCCUACCCGAGCAACCACUUUUUGAAGCAGCAGCAGAAGGGGAACAGGGAGGGAGAGAGACAGAGAGGGGUUUCGUCGUACCAUGGGGCUGAUGGGGCUGAACCGGCUCAUGUCCACGCAGCGGAAGCGGAAGCAGAGGCGGAAUCGUUGCCGUAUCCAAGCCCUCGGUAAUCCCCGCGACAUAGCUUCUUCGGCCCCUCUGCUAUUAUUCGUCUAUUUGUGUGCCUUGCUGCUAUGAAAAAAAAUCUCCUUUUUUAGCCCUCUCCUCACUCUGGAUCUUACCAGCUGAUGGGAUCCAGUUUUAUUAUAGGGCACUGAUAGGCGCCGGCGCACCGGCCCAACUUUGGGCCGGUCAGGCCUGAGCCGUUCGAUCUGGCCUGCCGCAUUCGUCCGAUUCUCGCAUCUUCCCCUCGCUUCGUCUUUUCCUCUGGUCAACGCUCCCAAGAAAAACGUCCCCGUCCCAGCCAAACUUCCUUCCUGAAGUUGCGCGUGCGCUCCUUGACGAGCUUGCCGCUCCCCUCGACACUCCUUGCAACACCCCCGUCCCCACCCCCAUCCCUGCUUUGAAAAACUGGACGCGCCGGCUCCCCACGGCCGCAACACCGGCGGUCACGGGUCUAGCAAAACCGGUGGCCGACGAGUUACAAAACGGUGAGUUUUUUCAAAGCUGGAACCGGCGAUUUAAAAUGAUGCAACCAGCUGAAACGAAAGUUGCAACCGGCGAUUCAAAUAGCUACUAGCGGUGAUAAAAAAUGCAAACAAACUAAUCAGAAGCUGGAACCGGCGAUUCAAAAAGCUGGAACCGGCGAUUAUAAAAGUUGCAAUCGGCUGAUGAAAAAGCUACAACCGAUGAUUUGAAACUGGUACCGAAGAUCCAAAAAGCUACAACCGGCUGAUAAAAAAGCUACAACCGGUGAUUUGGGAAGCUGGAGCCGAUGAUUUCAAGAAAAGAUGCAACACAAGCGAUUUAAAUAAAAAAACUGAAACGCGAUUUAGAAGGAUGCAACCCGUUAAGCAGAUUGCUACUACCGGCAAUUAAAAAAGCUACAACCGUGUGGGCAAUUUGAUAGCCGAAUCCAUCCCUGGGGAGAGUGGAUCUCACCGCCCCCCGCCGCUCGCAAAUUCCGCCGGCAUGCGUGCGGCGUCGUCCCCGCCACGCGCAACACCACGUCUCCUGCUCCUACCGCGCGGCUCCUGACCCCCAGCAACAACCAGCGGCAGCGCACGCAGCCACCCCCUGUUGCAUCCAGAAGACAAAAAAGCUUGCAGGAGUGGAUUGGCAGCGCCACCGUAGCAGAUCAGCCCCUCGAAUUGAUGAAGCAGGUCAGCGGCGUGGAGCUACGGGAGAGGAGGAGGCCUUGGCGGAAGCAACGCAGUAGCUUGGAGCAGCCAUGCCCGUGAGAGAUUGAGAGUAAUGGUGGGGGAGAAACACGGAAGGAAAGGAUAAGGAGAGGAGAGAUAUUUUCUGAGUAGAGCGGCGCUGUGUAUCGUAUGAUUGUACGCCAACGUGCGGCUCACGAGCGACCGGCCGGGUGUUUCAGCCGGCGCGCCGUCCCCAAACAUUUACCUUUAUACUAUAGGAUUUGACGAAACUUGGGGGCAAUUGCGUCGCUUUGCUAAAAAAAAACUUGUUCUCAGUUGGAGUUUGUUUUUCAGAUUCGCACAAUUUUUGGUGCCUUGUACUAGAUUGUAGAUCUCGCUCGUGUUCCUGCAAAAGAAAAAUUGGAUAAAGGGUCCAACCAUUUUUUCCUAUAAAAAAGGCAACUUUUUUUUAGCCAUGUCCGCACCGGGGAUCUCAGUAGCUGAUGAUAUCCAGGUUUAUUGCAUUGAAGGAAAUUUGCGGGAUUUGGGGUGCAGUUGCGUCGUUUUGCUAACAUACUCGGAGCUGAUUUUCAGAUCGUCCCAAUUUGAGUCUUGUAGAUUGAACUCUCCUCGCUGGGAACUCAAGUUUCAGGUUUAUUAAAUUGAAGGAAAUUUAUGGAGCUUGGGGUGCAAUUCCAUCUAGGUUUACAUAGUUAUGGUUCGUUUAUAUUAACACCUACUCCCUCCGUUCCUAAAUAGUAUAAAGAUUCCAAUAGAGACUACAUAAAGAGCAAAAUGAGUGAAUCUACACUCUGAAUAUGUCUAUAAACAUCUGUAUGUAGUGCGUAUUGCAAUCUCUAGAAAGAUUUAUAUUUAGGAACGGAGGGAGUAAAUGAUAACAUAAAAUAGAACUUAUUUCUCCAUUAGUAGAGCUGACUAGUAACUUUGCUAAAGUACCUGUGCUCGGUUGGACUUUGAUUUUCAGAUUGUGAGUCUUGAAGAUUUUUGACCUCGUUCGUGUUCCUGCAGAGAAUCGGACAAAGGCUCCAACUUCACGUGUGCUUGGACUCGUUAAUAAUAACCAUAAAACUUAUGCGUUGCAGAUGGAUGGAGUGCUGCUUCAUCGGUAUCUAAAGCAGACAGCCCACUCUGCCGACAUGAUGUUAGUUCCCAUGGUGGCAAAGAAGCAAGAUAUCUGGAUCCAGUCCUUCCAGAGGCAUGUUCUGGUAUUGGUGCGAGGCUUCCUAUCAGUAGAAUAGCUGCAAGCUUUGCUUUGUUCUGCUGCAGUUAACUCCAGCAGAAAAACUGUUUAACAGAUUUUAUUACGGACUAGAUUUUUUGAACUUGUUUAUUAGUGACUAGAUCUACUAGAACUCUUUUCUGUGUGAGUUGUGUCAUUUGUUUUAUUUUGCCAUGAACUCUGAAUUUAACAUUGUUUUUCCUUGUGUUUAUAUGCCUACAAGAACAUUUUGCAACCUGUUCCCAAACUAGGCUGAAUCUUGCUGAUUAUGGCAUCCUUUCCCAGCUUUUACCUCUCUACUUUUGCACGCAGCAAGUUUGGUGUCGUAUAUAUUCAUUACUACAGAUGCAAGACGCUGCCUGUGCCGCCUGUGUUUCUCGCUCCUUCCUAGGCUACUGGAGAUGCUACCCCAAUCUCACCUUCACCAAUGAAACAAUGUGCCCUAAAGAAAAUCUAAAGACAGCGGGAUCAAAUGUUAUAAGAGACUACAACAACCAAAUCGACCGUGUUCUGACGAACCGCUCGAGCGCUGAUGGUGUGGCGAAACUCAAGCUUGACUACCAUGUUCCUCCUGAUGGCGCUGAAUCGUAUCAUCGUCUUGAUAGCUGGCUCCAGAUGGCUGUUACGCCGAGGACCAAAGAACUCGAGCUUCUAGUAUGGUCGAAAGAGGCGAGCUUUGAUUUCCCAUGCAUACUACUAUCUGACAUGUGUGGGGGCUCGAUUCAGAAGCUUUUGCUUUUCAAAUGCGCCUUGCGUCCCACAUCUCAACUUGGUUUGAGAAGCCUCAGAACACUGCAUCUGCGUGAUGUGCGUGUCACAGGGGAGGAAUUAGGGUGCCUUCUGUCCAGUUCCAUUGCUUUGGAGCACCUGAAGCUUGUAUACUGCGAUGAUAUAGUUCGCCUGGAGAUACCUUGCCUGUUGCAGAGGCUUAGCUUCCUGGAGGUGGCUGGAUGCAUGAAUCUUCAAGUGAUAGAGAACAAAGCUCCAAAUCUCUCCCAAUUUUAACUUGGAGCAGGUGAACGGGUGCAAGUCUCAUUUGGAGAGUCGAAAGUGAAGAAAGUGGAGUUGGUGCAGAGCCGUGCCAUCAGUUAUGCUACUGACAACCUUCCUUCACGUGUGCCGAAUCUCGAGACUCUUACCAUAUGUUCUACUUGUGAGGUAUGGUCUUACUCUUAAGUUGGCAAACAUCCAUGUAAAGGUAGCCAAGUGUUGGAAUAGUUGACCUGGGACAUCUUUAUGCAGAUAGUCAAUUCUCCAAUGGCAUCCGGCAAAUUCCUCCACCUCAAGUUCUUGAGUAUUCUUCUUAUGAGUGGAUCUAAUUUUGACAAGGACUACGAUUAUUUAUCGUUGGUUCCUGUUUUCCAAGCAUCUCCUUCCCUGGAGACAUUUCGCUUGUUUGUAAGUUCGCCGUUCACCCUUUCCUCUAAAAAGGGGGAAAAAGCCACUGCAUCCUGCAAUGACUAUCUGCUAACCAUGUUUGGAUCAUCAAUUUAAAUACCUUGGCUUUUGAUCUUCAGGUAUGGGAACACUCCAUGUAUCACUGGUUUGAGGGAGAUCCUGCCUCUCUUAGGCGACUGCCACAACACUGCCAUGGGAACCUCAAGAGUGUGAAGAUCAUUGGUUUCUUCCCCCAAAAGAGAAUGAUUGAGCUGGCAUGCCAUCUUCUCGAGAAUGCAACAUCACUUGAGUCCCUUACAGUGGAUGCUAGUCCUGCUAAUUACCGGUGUUCUGGCAAGGGCAGGAAAUGCUGUCCCCUGAAAGCUACAGCUAUAGUGAAGGCACGUAAAUCAAUCUUGGCUGUGAAAAAAUACAUCAAGGGGAAUGUUCCCUCUACAGUCAAGUUAAAUGUUCCGAAGCCUUGCCAACGAUGCCAUCGCUUUUAGUAAUUCAGGUGUCAAAUCACUGUAGCUAUCCGGUACUAUUGAAUGGUGAUAUGUUUUAGUUGUCUUGUGUAAGGAUGGCAAUUUUACCCAUGGGUACAGGUACCCGCGGAUACCGUACCCGCAUGGGUAGGGUAUGGGCACAAUUUUAUACCCACGGGUAGUACCCAUACCCUACCUAUUAAGCCGUGGGUAGGGCACGGGUAUAGCCUUUUACCCAUGGAUAUACUCAUAUCCUACCCGUUUAUACUAAAAUGUGAACCUUACCCGUGAUAACUAUGUCAAAGUUGUGUCAUGAGCUUGUGAACCUAUGUUAAAGUUGUCACCAAUUGUCAAUUUGAAUUGAUAUAAUUGUCAUGUACUCAACUAUCUAUUCUUGAGUUGAGAUCAAUGUUUUUGUGUCAAAUGUGUUAUAAAUGAAUGUAAAAUUAUGAAUAACUUGUGUGCCAUUUGGUCUACCCGUUGGGUACCCAAUAGGUAUGGGUGCCCGUCGGGUAUGGGUACGGGUAAAGUUUCAUACCCAUGGGUACGGGUAUGGAUAUAAUUUUGUACCCAUUGGCUACACAGGUAUGGGUAUGGUAUUGCUCUACCCGCCCCAUACCCUGCCCAUUGCCAUCCUUAGUCUUGUGCUAUGUUACAUUCAAGUCACCAGAGCUGCUUAGGAGUCUGUGAUAUUACCUUCCUGAUAACUUUGUUUACCAGACUGUCCAAUGUACUUAAUAUUACUGCUAUCCAUUAAAUAUUGUUGUGAACUUGUAUUGUAUACAUUUAUAUUUGCCAUACUUUCUAUAUCUUCGAAUGGUAAUAGUGUAAUACACACUUCAUCUUUGCCUUGACCUGUAUGCUACUGCAAGUGUGAACAUUUGUAGCAGUCACGUUUCUGCCUGACUGGACAUACAAGAGAAGUAAACAAGACAGAUGAAGUGAUGCAAAUAAGUGUUAAACAUAUGCAUCAAGGUAGAGCACCGUCCUUUCUAAAAAAAGGUAAAACAUCUUUGUUUGUAUAUAUAUAUCAGUUUAAAUGUGCAAAGGCCCUAGGGUUCCCCAGACGCCACCCUUUUGGCGUGCCUCGGCAAAAGGAACACUUCUCCCCACCUUUCAUUAUUAAUCUUCUCAUGGAGAAUUAUGUGCUGGACUGAAAAAUGGGAGUUCUGAACCUGCUAUACUGCAGUCGACACCUGCUUCGGUUUGCUGUACCGAACUGUAGUCUUGCAUUGUGUUUCUGAAAGUUCUGGUGCCAAGACACUGGUUGAUUUGAUGUACCGAACUAUAUUCUGCCCUGCGAUUUCUUAAAGUUCUAAUAAUGCCAAGACCAAUGCAAUGUAUGAUGUAGCAGUUCAUACUAGGCUUAUAAGAUGCUGACAUUUGGAGCUAAUUUGAAUUCCAUGUGUACAUGGCCUGCUAUCUCGUAUGUUGCACUUCUGAAACUGUUUAACUGUUUUUGAUUUCCUAUGGUGGCAAACAAGCCAGAUAUCCGGGCCCAGACCUUCCAGAGGUAUGUUCUCAGCAGAAUAGCUAAAUAGAAAAUUGUUACAACAUUCCUGUUUAUGUCAUUCUUGUUCCUAACCUUGGCUGAAUCUUGCUGAUUAUAACAUCCUAUCCCAGCUUUUACCUCUCUAUUUCUUAUGAUGUUCUUCUCUACUUGUGCACGCGUGCAGGAAAUUUGGUGUCGUAUACAUUUCCUACUGCCAAUGCAAGUCGCUGCCCGUGCCGCCUGUGUUUCUCGCUCCUUCCUACACUCCUGGAGAUGCCAUCCCAAUCUCACCUUCACCAACGAAACGAUGUGCCCCAAAGAAGAUUUAAAAGGAGCGGGAUUGUGACGCCCGGAUAAUUAUGCUAUAGUAAUCCCACGUUAAUGAUGCCACGUCACCAUGGUUACUGUUGUUAAUCUCGUGUUAGUUCAAAAUCGAUUCGAAAUUCAAACUUAAAAUAAAGUCAAACGGUAAAGAUUUUCAAAUAUUAAAACUGAAAUGUUGGGGUGUUGCCAAAUAAUGCAUAGGUAAUUAUUGUGGAGAAACCACACUUUUAUAAAAUGUUUAAAGGCUCUAAAGUAAUUAAAACAGCAGCUAUGACAAUUAAUUAAAUGCCUUUAAAAAAUAAUAAUAAUGCAACCUAUUUAAUUAGGUGUCAAACUUUUUGGGGCAGUAGAAUAAAUUAUAACAUUAAUUUAGGAGUUGUAUUUAUAUUUUAUAAAACAGGAAUUAAAAGAAUAAAAUAGAAAAGAAAAUAUAUAAAGAAAAGAAAACAGAAAAAAAAGAGAACGCAACCCCCCCCAAUUGGGCCUCGGCCCAGCAGGCUAUCAGGCCGCCAGGCCGGCCCAACCGCGCCCUCAACUAACCUCCCUUGGGUGCCCGAAACCCUAGCGACACCCCACUCCCCCCCUCACGCGAUCCCCUCUCCCCACNNNNNNNNNNNNNNNNNNNNNNNNNNNNNNNNNNNNNNNNNNNNNNNNNNNNNNNNNNNNNNNNNNNNNNNNNNNNNNNNNNNNNNNNNNNNNNNNNNNNNNNNNNNNNNNNNNNNNNNNNNNNNNNNNNNNNNNNNNNNNNNNNNNNNNNNNNNNNNNNNNNNNNNNNNNNNNNNNNNNNNNNNNNNNNNNNNNNNNNNNNNNNNNNNNNNNNNNNNNNNNNNNNNNNNNNNNNNNNNNNNNNNNNNNNNNNNNNNNNNNNNNNNNNNNNNNNNNNNNNNNNNNNNNNNNNNNNNNNNNNNNNNNNNNNNNNNNNNNNNNNNNNNNNNNNNNNNNNNNNNNNNNNNNNNNNNNNNNNNNNNNNNNNNNNNNNNNNNNNNNNNNNNNNNNNNNNNNNNNNNNNNNNNNNNNNNNNNNNNNNNNNNNNNNNNNNNNNNNNNNNNNNNNNNNNNNNNNNNNNNNNNNNNNNNNNNNNNNNNNNNNNNNNNNNNNNNNNNNNNNNNNNNNNNNNNNNNNNNNNNNNNNNNNNNNNNNNNNNNNNNNNNNNNNNNNNNNNNNNNNNNNNNNNNNNNNNNNNNNNNNNNNNNNNNNNNNNNNNNNNNNNNNNNNNNNNNNNNNNNNNNNNNNNNNNNNNNNNNNNNNNNNNNNNNNNNNNNNNNNNNNNNNNNNNNNNNNNNNNNNNNNNNNNNNNNNNNNNNNNNNNNNNNNNNNNNNNNNNNNNNNNNNNNNNNNNNNNNNNNNNNNNNNNNNNNNNNNNNNNNNNNNNNNNNNNNNNNNCUCAGCGCCGCUGCCGCCCUCACGCGCCGGCUCCGCCCCACUGCCCCGCGGCGACACUCGAGGCCGCUAACGGCCACGCCCGCGCGCCCUGUCGGGCUGCGCCCGCCCCGUAGCACGCGCCCGUUAGCCCGAUUGGCCACAUGGGCCUAUGACAGUGGGCCCACGCCCUGAGAACGAAAAAAAAUUAAAACAAAUAAUAAAAAUAAAUUUAAUUAAUUAAUUAACUAAAUUAAAUCUUGUUUAAAUUAAUCUAAUUUAAUUAAUUAGUUUAAUUAAUAGUUAAUUAAUUAGUUAACCCUAAUUACCCUAAACAGUCUAUGACAUGUGGGACCCACGUGUCAGAUGACUACUGACGUCAGCGUGAUGUCAUGCUAAUGUCAUCGCAACACUGUUUCGGAUAAUGUAUAUAUUAAAUAAUUAAAUAAAUUCCAGAAAUUAAUAAAUUCUUUUAAAAUCAAUAUAAAAUAAACCGUUGCUCAGAUGAAAAAACUUUGUACAUGAAAAUUGCUCAAAACGACGAGACGAAUCCGAAUACGCAGUCCGUUCGUCCGCCACGCGUCCCUACUAUAGUGAACCUGCAACAUUUCACCUCCGGUCCAUCUGUCCGAAAAUGUGAAACACCGGGGAUACUUUCCCGGAUGUUUCACCCCUUCGCCGGUAUCACCUAUUCCUACGUUAGGUCACCCCUAGCACAACGUAUCGCCGCGUCUUGCUUUGUGUUACAUUUGAUUGCUCUAUUAUUUAUUGUGUUCCCCCUCCGUUACUUCUUUCCGGUAGACUCCCAGACCGCUGCCGAUGUUCGUGUGUUCGACUACAUCAAAGACGACCCCUCCUUCUUGCCGGAGCAACCAGGCAAGCCCCCCCUUUUGAUCACCAGAUAUCGCCUAUUCUUCUCUAUACUGCUUGCAUUAGAGUAGUGUAGCAUGUUACUGCUUUCGGUUAAUCCUAUACUGAUGCAUAGCCUGUCCUUGUUGCUACAGUUGUUACCCUUACCUGCUAUCCUACUACUUAGUAUAGGAUGCUAGUGUUCCAUUAGUGGCCCUACACUCUUGUCCGUCUGCCAUGCUAUACUACUGGGCCGUGAUCACUUCGGGAGGUGAUCACGGGUAUAUACUAUAUACAAUUAUACAUGACACAUGUGGUGACUAAAGUCGGGUCGGCUCGUUGAGUACCCGCAAGUGAUUCUGAUGUGGGGCUGAAAGGACAGGUGGCUCCAUCCCGGUAGAGGUGGCCUGGGUUCCUGACGGCCCUCGACUGUUACUUUGUGGCGGAGCGACAGGGCAGGUUGAGACCACCUAGGAGAGAGGUGGGUCUGGCCCUGGUCGGCGUUCGCGGAUACUUAACACGCUUAACGAGAUCUUGGUAUUUGAUCUGAGUCUGGCCAUUUGGCCUAUACGCACUAACUAGCUACGCGGGAACAGUUAUGGGCACUCGACAUCGUGGUAUCAGCCGAAGCUCUUCUUGACGCCAGCGACGGAGCGGCGCGUGCCGGAUUGGACUGGAACGCCUGCUAGGCUAGGUCUGCUUCCGGCCGCCCUCGCAACGUGCAGGUGUGCAAUGGGCGAUGGGCCCAGACCCCUGCGCGCAUAGGAUUUAGACCGGCGUGCUGACCUCUCGGUUGAGCCUAGGUGGGGCUGCGACGUGUUGAUCUUCCGAGGCCGGGCAUGACCCAAAAAAGUGUGUCCGGCCAAAUGGGAUCGAGCGUGUUGGGUUAUGUGGUGCACCCCUGCAGGGAAGUUUAUCUAUUCGAAUAGCCGUGUCCCUCGGUAAAAGGACGACCCGGAGUUGUACCUUGACCUUAUGACAACUAGAACUGGAUACUUAAUAAAACACACCCUUCCAAGUGCCAGAUACAACCCGGUGAUCGCUCUCUAACAGGGCGAUGAGGAGGGGAUCGCCUGGUAGGAUUAUGCUAUGCGAUGCUACUUGGUGAACUUACCAUCUACUCUCUUCUACAUGCUGCAAGAUGGAGGUGGCCAGAAGCGUAGUCUUCGACAGGACUAGCUAUCCCCCCUUAUUCUGGCAUUCUGCCGUUCAGUCCAUUGAUAUGGCCCUUUACACAUAUACCCAUGCAUAUGUAGUGUAGCUCCUUGCUUGCGAGUACUUUGGAUGAGUACUCACGGUUGCUUUUCUCCCUCUUUUCCCCUUUCUAUACCUGAUUGUUGCAACCAGAUGCUGGAGUCCAGGAGCUAGAGAUCCCGAGGAUGAUUCUACAUGGAGUUCGGCUUCGAGGAGUAGUUAGGAGGUCCCAGGCAGGAGGCCUUGCCUUUUCGAUCGUUGCUACUUUUGUGCUAGCCUUCUUAAGGCAAACUUGUUUAACUUAUGUCUGUACUCAGAUAUUGUUGCUUCCGCUGACUCGUCUAUGAUCGAGCAAUUGUAUUUGAGCCCUCGAGGCCCCUGGCUUGUAUUAUGAUGCAUGUAUGACUUAUUUAUGUUGUAGAGUUGUGUUGUGAUAUCUUCCCGUGAGUCCCUGAUCUUGAUCGUACACAUUUGCGUGCAUGAUUAGUGUACGAUCAAAUUGGUGGCGUCACAACUUGGUAUCAGAGCCGACUGCCUGUAGGAAUCCCCCUUUCCAACUCCUUGGCCGAAGUCGAGUCUAUUCAUUGGAAAAGUUUUUUACUAACAUGGUUGUGUGUCUUACGGGCCCACGUCGCCAUUGGGUGGUACUAGGAUCUUUUACUCCUCGAACUUUACUCUGGGACUCUGAUCUCUCUCCUAUUCGGGUUAAAUGAAUUUUGCUAAAUCUAACAUUAGGAUCUCGUUAUCACUUUCACCCGGAGAGCCCCUUAUUACUGAUGAUCGUCUGCUGCACGUGAAGACCCUGAAGAUACUCUCCGCUGAUAACCCGAGAACUUGUGUUCAUCGCUUUUGCAAUUCCCUUUCAUCGAUAUACUCCUAUGGAUAACCACGUAUACUCGCCAUUCAUACAAUGUUUCCCAGUUGAUCUUGUUAUUACAAGAUACCCCGAAAUUCUCUCUGUUGUUCCGAGAAUCCUUUGAGCUUACUACCUUGCUGUUCUUUGUCACCUGAAUACCCCUGCGGAUAAUCCUCGCACUUACCGAGUAUCCGCUCAUCCCCAGUUGAUUCAAGUAUUUCACAAAAGUGUUCAAAAUAUCAUUCGAUCUUCCGAAAAUCUUCAGGAGCCUUUUUGCUCUUGAAAUUCUUGCUUACUUGCAUUAUGAUUAAUCUUAAGUCUCGUAAUCUUAUUGGCAUCUCUUGUCAUUAUCAUUUUGAGUCCGUAGAUUCAAUUUGUUGCGAAUGCUCGCAAUCCUCAAUCAGAUCCUAGAAUUCUUCCUUCUAGCUCAAACGUCAUUUUAAACAUGAGCUGGUAUCGACCAAUCAAAUUGCCAUCGAUUGUACCCCUAAGGCUAUUCAACUUAUCCAUCCUUAAUCAGAGCGUUUGCUUCUGAUCCCUUGAUUUGGAAAUCAUAAUUCCUUUGCAUUUGAGCUUUGAGUUAGCCAAUUGUUUCUAUAAUCUGAUCCCCUUGCAUUCUUUCUUCCUCUAGUUGAGUAUCGAUGCUCACAUCUGAUCCCUUGUGGACCACCAAAUCCUUUGUUAGAUUAUUAUCCGACAGUGCCCUCAUAUUUAAUCACCUUGUGAGUUCUUUCCCUGAUACAUAAUGCCUUUAGUAAAUUGUAUCCUCUCGUUUUGACACCCAUGCUCUACUAUCGAGCUUGAGUUAUUUACCCCUGAAGCUUGUGGUAUAUGUUUCCACGAUGCCCCAAUGGGUUGAACCUAUGCCUUUCAUAAUAUGUGUGAACUCGAAAGUUUUCAUGAGUCAUACUCUUCUGGUAUUUUGCCAGAUAAAAAUUUUCAACACUGCAACUUCAUCAAACGCGAGAAGUGAAUGGAAGGUUAUGCAUUGAAGAAGUGGGAGUCGACCUUGAACUUUGCGUUCAUGCCCAUGGACACGAUGUAGAUCUUAUCAUUAAAGCUUUUCUUAAAUUAAUUAUUCCCUUGGUAUAAGUUCAUCUUAUAUCUGGGAUCUGGCCUUUUGCAAUCGUGGUUCCGACCACGUUCUCCUUUAAACACCAUUUCUCGUGCAAGUUUAAGCACUUGACUUCUACAGAGCAAAACCCAAUCUAACCUCUACUUUGAUCUGUCGUCGAGUAUUACCCCCUGGUAUCUCGAGAUUAUCACGAGCAACAUAACUUCUUAUGAGUUCUUCAUCAACUAAUAUUCUUGCCGAUUCCAUUUUUCCAACGGGUUUUGAGUUGUUAGAACCCCUCAAGGACAUCGACAACUGAAUCGAGUCCGCACUGCGAUUCAACAACUCUUGGUAACCUUCAUUACUUACGAGUUUGAACUCGAUCACGUCAUUCCUAGCCUACUCGGCUACAUCAUUAUCGUGCUGAUUUUAACUGUGCUACCUGGUCCUUAAUCACGGAGCACAGCCUUCGACGAUGAGCUAAUCUUACGUCGAUCUUCCUCGUCAUAUCACUUCUCCUUGAACAGCAAACUUGAUUUCGAGUUUGUGUCCUACCCGUGGUUCCAAUAACCUUUCGCUUUCAUCAUUCCUUUGACUUGAUGUCAUCGUCGAUCAGUUACAUCUUCUUGAAAACCUCUCGACAAAUUUGUCGUGAUCAUUGUCAACAAUUUGACUUCUUCCAAGUUGUGUGUCGAAAUUCAGGAUGAGAAAUACCAUCCUUGCCCCUCGAUGAAUUGUGUUAUCAUCGACAACAUUCUUGCCUCCCCCCAACACAAACUUGUUCAUAUUUUGUGUUGUAUCUUGAUUUCCCUGCUAUCCAACUUAUGUUAAGUUCUACCACAGAGUAUUACCAUCUUUGAUGUCAAGACUGUUGUGAGGAUUGCUCCACCUCUUAAGAAUUCUUGCUAUAAUGAUACUUCUCACCAUCACCAUUCUUUCUUGGUCCUCGUGUUGAUUCCAACCGGGGUACCCACAAGUGGUUUGUGAUGUGUAAAUUCUAAACUUCUAGCAACCCUAUUGCUUUGAAGUUAUUGGUCUAUAGUUUCAUUCUACGUCUAUGGCUUAUUGAAUUAUCAUUCGAACAUUGAUUGUGCUGCCUAGCCCAUAUUUCGGGUGCACCAUCAACCAAUGUUCAAUCGUGUAUGUUUCCUCGAGCAUACCUCAUUAUAUCAUUUGGUCUGACAAAAGCUAUCUCCUUGUACACAUAAUUGUGGAAAUCCAUCUUUUGGAAAUCUCAAUGGAAUGUCGCUGAGUCCAUCAGCCACCUCCUAACCCUCUCCUUGGUUUAAUGAUGAACUCUUGUUUCGGAACUUGCUUUCAUAGUUCAUUUCCCGAGAAUCUUACAAUGUCAUCCCAUCAAAUUGUGCCGCUCCUUUUCUUCUCAGGCAUCCUAAGCCUGAGGUAUCGUGACACCAAUCAGAUCUGAAUCUCUGUCAGAUGUGAUGGUUGGAACAUAUUUCCAAGAGUUAUAAUGUUGGUCUUUAUAUGACCCGGUAAGGUUAUGUCAUGCAUAGCGCACCUGGCCGGAGGACCUAUUAUUAUAAGUUUUCCUUUUUAGCAAGGUUAGCUAUUCUUCCAUGAGGAAAUUGUAAGACUUAUUCUAUAAGUUGUUCCUGAUGGAUCCUUUUUGUUUCCAAAUUCUGAUCUUCGCCUGUUGACCAUGUCAAUGCUAUCUCGGAGCAUGUCUAUGGUACUCCGAUUUUCAACAGGAACAUUUGAAGCCCAAAGCUAAUUGUUUCCUGCUCAAUUAUCCAGACACCGUUGUAUGGGUAAUGUCAUGAAAUUUCUCUCCCCUUACCUAAAGGGUUUUCUACAUUAUAUCCUGUCGUGGAUAUCAUGCUCUGCUUGACCUUGGGAAGGUUAUACCCCUGAAAUAUGUGUUUAAACACAUUUUCCUUUCCAUUGUUCUGUUUACUCUGAUAAUCAUAUUUUCCUUUCCAUUGUUUUGUUUAACCUUUCUUGUAAUCUGACUUAGCUGAGCAGAGAUAAUUCCCUGCUUAGUUGAGCACCUCGUUGUACCACUCUCUCAGUAGACCCUGUUACUUUUGUUGAGGACAUUUCGGUAGCCACCGAUGGAUGAGAACUUGCCUAUUGGUCCGCCUCGUUUCAACGAGCAGGAAAAUGGUUCUCUUCGUCCCUCGCCCUUGGUACCAACGUGUUGCCGACAUAACUGACAGGGUACUCUCUGACAUGCCUUGCUAUCAUGACCGUGCAAGAUGUCACUACUCCUAUAAAAAAACCACAUGGUGGGCCCAUAACCCACAGUUCCAUAGGAUCGAAACCUGACUCUCUUGUACACCCCCUGUUCCCAUGGUUAUUUCUCACGUUUGGCUUCGUAUGUAAUUCACGUGCCACCUUCGGUGAGAUCAUCAAUUUUGGUAUCAGACACAAUACUUAUUCCCGUUGCUCUGAACCCUUCAGGCAUCGAACGAUUGCCUACCCGCUCAAAACUUCCCCACGAUACCUCCUUACUUUGCUCUCGAUAUUCUCCUAAAUUUCCAUUCGAGAGUUACUUUCCGCCACCUUCCCCGAUGCUAUCAACUAGAUAGUCAACCGUUCAGAGGUCUGUUAUUCCGAAGUUACCCCUUGUCCUUCGUAAGUACGAUGGAGUUCCCGAAGAAAGGAUGCCAGCUUCAUCAUGAUGACCUGAAGCAGGAAAAUGAAGACGUCAAUGUAAUGUAUCGACCACUUCGAGAAGAGCAACCAACACCGAGAAGACCCGUUAGAAUUUCGUAACAAAAUCCCUUCCCCCUUACUCCCAUCUUAAAUCUCGGGACGAGAUUUCUUGUAGUAGAGGAGAAUUGUGACGCCCGGAUAAUUAUGCUACAGUAAUCCCACGUUAAUGAUGCCACGUCACCAUGGUUACUGUUGUUAAUCUCGUGUUAGUUCAAAAUCGAUUCGAAAUUCAAACUUAAAAUAAAGUCAAAUGGUAAAGAUUUUCAAAUAUUAAAACUAAAAUGUUGGGGUGUUGCCAAAUAAUGCAUAGGUAAUUAUUGUGGAGAAACCACACUUUUAUAAAAUGUUUAAAGGCUCUAAAGUAAUUAAAACAACAGCUAUGACAAUUAAUUAAAUGCCUUUUAAAAAUAAUAAUAAUGCAAACUAUUUUAAUUAGGUGUCAAACUUUUUGGGGCAGUAGAAUAAAUUAUAACAUUAAUUUAGGAGUUGUAUUUAUAUUUUAUAAAACAGGAAUUAAAAGAAUAAAAUAGAAAAGAAAAUAUAUAAAGAAAAGAAAACAGAAAAAAAAGAGAAAGCAACCCCCCCCCAAUUGGGCCUCGGCCCAGCAGGCUACCAGGCCGCAAGGCCGACCCAACCGCGCCCUCUACUAACCUCCCCUGGGUGCCCGAAACCCUAGCGACACCCCACUCCCCCCCUCACGCGAUCCCCUCUCCCCACGAUCUCCCCCACGCCUCUUCCCCCCUCCCAUUCUGGAUCGGGGCUCGACCCCGACUGCCCCCGUCGCCGCGUCGGNNNNNNNNNNNNNNNNNNNNNNNNNNNNNNNNNNNNNNNNNNNNNNNNNNNNNNNNNNNNNNNNNNNNNNNNNNNNNNNNNNNNNNNNNNNNNNNNNNNNNNNNNNNNNNNNNNNNNNNNNNNNNNNNNNNNNNNNNNNNNNNNNNNNNNNNNNNNNNNNNNNNNNNNNNNNNNNNNNNNNNNNNNNNNNNNNNNNNNNNNNNNNNNNNNNNNNNNNNNNNNNNNNNNNNNNNNNNNNNNNNNNNNNNNNNNNNNNNNNNNNNNNNNNNNNNNNNNNNNNNNNNNNNNNNNNNNNNNNNNNNNNNNNNNNNNNNNNNNNNNNNNNNNNNNNNNNNNNNNNNNNNNNNNNNNNNNNNNNNNNNNNNNNNNNNNNNNNNNNNNNNNNNNNNNNNNNNNNNNNNNNNNNNNNNNNNNNNNNNNNNNNNNNNNNNNNNNNNNNNNNNNNNNNNNNNNNNNNNNNNNNNNNNNNNNNNNNNNNNNNNNNNNNNNNNNNNNNNNNNNNNNNNNNCCUCCCCGAAGACCGCCACUGCCCCCUGGCGCCGCCCCGGCUUCGCCGCUCGCGGUCGCCGGACCCCAGCGCCUUCGCCACCUCGUCGGCGUCGCCUCCUCGCCUCUCCAUCGCCGGCCACCCCGAGCUUCCCCGAGCCCGCUGCCCUGUGCCCUACGUUCCCCUCGUGAGCGCCCCCCCUUUUUCCCCUUUUCCCCGUCACCGGAUCCGGCCCACGCUCGCGCCUCCCCGCUAGCCCAGCCAGGCCCCGCGCCGUCCCGCUCAGGCCAUGGCGUCACCUCCCCGCGCAUUGUGCUUGCCGGCCGCAUCCUGGCCGUGCCCGUCGUUGCUAGCCAGCGCUGUCCACGCGCGCGACCCCGCGCCCGGCGCUGCUCACUGCUCCACGCGUCGCCGCCUGCUGCAGCUCCACCCGCGCCUGCCCACCUCCUCCUCUCAGCGCCGCUGCCACCCUCACGCGCCGGCCCCGCCCCGUAGCACGCGCCCGUUAGCCCGAUUGGCCACAUGGGCCUAUGACAGUGGGCCCACGCCCUGAGAACGAAAAAAAUUUAAAACAAAUAAUAAAAAUAAAUUUAAUUAAUUAAUUAAUUAACUAAAUUAAUUAAGUUAAUUAAUCUUGUUUAAAUUAAUCUAAUUUAAUUAAUUAGUUUAAUUAAUAGUUAAUUAAUUAGUUAACCCCAAUUACCCUAAUCAGUCUAUGACAUGUGGGACCCACGUGUCAGAUGACUGCUGACAUCAGCAUGAUGUCAUGCUGAUGUCAUCGCAACACUGUUUCGGACAAUGUAUAUAUUAAAUAAUUAAAUAAAUUCCAGAAAUUAAUAAAUUUUUUAAAAUCAAUAUAAAAUAAACCGUUGCUGAGAUGAAAAAACUUUGUACAUGAAAGUUGCUCAGAACGACGAGACGAAUCCGAAUACGUAGUCCGUUCGUCCGCCACGCGUCCCUAGCAUAGUGAACCUGCAACAUUUCACCUCCGGUUCAUCUGUCCGAAAACAUGAAACACCUGGGAUACUUUCCCGGAUGUUUCACCCCUUCGCCGGUAUCACCUAUUCCUACAUUAGGUCACCCCUAGCACAACGUAUCGCCGCGUCUUGCUUUGUGUUACAUUUGAUUGCUCUGUUAUUUAUUGUGUUCCCCCUCCGUUACUUCUUUCCGGUAGACUCCCAGACCGCUGCCGAUGUUCGUGUGUUCGACUACAUCGAAGACGACCCCUCCUUCUUGCCGGACCAACCAGGCAAGCCCCCCUUUUGAUCACCAGAUAUCGCCUAUUCUUCUCUAUACUGCUUGCAUUAGAGUAGUGUAGCAUGUUACUGCUUUCGGUUAAUCCUAUACUGAUGCAUAGCCUGUCCUUGUUGCUACAGUUGUUACCCUUACCUGCUAUCCUACUGCUUAGUAUAGGAUGCUAGUGUUCCAUCAGUGGCCCUACACUCUUGUCCGUCUGCCAUGCUAUACUACUGGGCCGUGAUCACUUCGGGAGGUGAUCACGGGUAUAUACUAUAUACAAUCAUACAUGACACAUGUGGUGACUAAAGUCGGGUCGGCUCGUUGAGUACCCGCAAGUGAUUCUGAUGAGGGGGCUGAAAGGACAGGUGGCUCCAUCCCGGUAGAGGUGGGCCUAGGUUCCUGACGGCCCCCGACUGUUACUUUGUGGCGGAGCGACAGGGCAGGUUGAGACCACCUAGGAGAGAGGUGGGUCUGGCCCUGGUCGGCGUUCGCGGAUACUUAACACGCUUAACGAGAUCUUGGUAUUUGAUCUGAGUCUGGCCAUUUGGCCUAUACGCACUAACCAGCUACGCGGGAACAGUUAUGGGCACUCGACGUCGUGGUAUCAGCCGAAGCUCUUCUUGACGUCAGCGACGGAGCGGCGCGUGCCGGAUUGGACUGGAACGCCUGCUAGGCUAGGUCUGCUUCCGGCCGCCCUCGCAACGUGCAGGUGUGCAAUGGGCGAUGGGCCCAGACCCCUGCGCGCAUAAGAUUUAGACCUCUUGGUUGAGCCUAGGUGGGGCUGCGACGUGUUGAUCUUCCGAGGCCGGGCAUGACCCAGAAAAGUGUGUCCGGCCAAAUGGGAUCGAGCGUGUUGGGUUAUGUGGUGCACCCCAGCAGGGAAGUUUAUCUAUUCGAAUAGCCGUGUCCCUCGGUAAAAGGACGACCCGGAGUUGUACCUUGACCUUAUGACAACUAGAACUGGAUACUUAAUAAAACACACCCUUCCAAGUGCCAGAUACAACCCGGUGAUCGCUCUUUAAUAGGGCGACGAGGAGGGGAUCGCCAGGUAGGAUUAUGCUAUGCGAUGCUACUUGGUGAACUUACCAUCUACUCUCUUCUACAUGCUGCAAGAUGGAGGUGGCCAGAAGCGUAGUCUUCGACGGGACUAGCUAUCCCCCCUUAUUCUGGCAUUCUGCCGUUCAGUCCACUGAUAUGGCCCUUUACACAUAUACCCAUGCAUAUGUAGUGUAGCUCCUUGCUUGCGAGUACUUUGGAUGAGUACUCACGGUCGCUUUUCUCCCUCUUUUCCCCUUUCUAUACCUGAUUGUCGUAACCAGAUGCUAGAGUCCAGGAGCUAGAUGUCCCGUGGAUGAUUCUACACGGAGUUCGGCUUCGAGGAGUAGUUAGGAGGUCCCAGGCAGGAGGCCUUGCCUUUUCGAUCAUUGCUACUUUUGUGCUAGCCUUCUUAUGGCAAACUUGUUUAACUUAUGUCUGUACUCAGAUAUUGUUGCUUCCGCUGACUCAUCUAUGAUCGAGCAAUUUUAUUCGAGCCCUCGAGGCCCCUGGCUUGUAUUAUGAUGCUUGUAUGACUUAUUUAUGUUGUAGCGUUGUGUUGUGAUAUCUUCCCGUGAGUCCCUGAUCUUGAUCGUACACAUUUGUGUGCAUGAUUAGUGUACGGUCAAAUCGGGGGCAUCACAGGGAUCGAACGCUAUUAUAAGAGACUACAACAACAAAAUCGACCAUGUUCUGAGGAACUGCUCGUGUGCUGAUGCCGUGACGAAACUCAAGCUUGACUACCACGUUCCUCCUGAUGAUGCUGAAUCGUAUCAUUGUCUUGAUAGCUGGCUCCGGAUGGCUGUUACACCGACGACCAAAGAACUCGAGCUUCUAGUAUGGUCGAAAGAGGCGAGCUUUGAUUUCCCAUGCACACUACUAUCUGACAGGUCUGGGGGCUCGAUUCAGAAGCUUCUCCUUUUCAGAUGUGCCUUACGUCCCACAUUUCAACUUGGUUUGAGAAGCUUGAAAACACUGCAUCUGCACGAUGUGCGUGUUACGGGGGAGGAGUUAGGGUGCCUUCUGUCCAGUUCCACUGCUUUGGAGCAGCUGAAGCUCGUAUAUUGCGAUGAUAUAGUUCGGCUGGAGAUACCUUGCCUGCUGCAGCGGCUCAGCUUCCUGGAGGUGGCUGGAUGCAUGAGUCUUCAAGUGAUAGAGAACAGAGCUCCAAAUCUCUCCAGAUUUUACCUUGAAGCGGGUGAACGGGUGCAAGUCUCAUUUGGAGAGUCGAAAGUGAAGAAAGUGCAGUUGGUGCAGAGUUGUGCCAUCAGUUAUGCUAUUGACAACCUUCCUUCCCGUGCGCCGAAUCUUGAGACUCUUACCAUAUAUUCUACUUGUGAGGUAUGCUCUUACUCUUAAGUUGGCAAACGUACAUAUUACAGUAGCCGAAUGUCGGAAUAAUUAACCUGAGACAUCUUUGUGCAGAGAAUCAAUGCACCAAUGGUGGCAUCUAGCAAAUUCCUCCACCUCAAGUUCUUGAGUAUUCUUCUUAUGAGUGGAUCUAACUUUGACAAAGACUACGAUUAUUUAUCGUUGGUUCCUUUUUUCCAAGCAUCUCCUGCCCUGGAGACGUUUUGCUUGUUUGUAAGUUCGCCGUUCACCCUUUCCUCAAAAAAGGGGGAAAAGUCACUGCAUCCUACAAUGAUUAUAUGAUAACCAUGUUUGGAUCAUCAAUUUAAAAAUACCUUGGCUUUUGAUCUUCAGGUAGCGGAGCACUCCAUGUAUCACUUGUUUAAGGGAGAUCGUGCCUCUCUGAGGGGACUGCCACAAAACUGCCAUGGGAACCUCAGUAAACCGGCCAGGAAAUGCUGUCCCCAUGUUAAUGAUGAAAUUUGGCUUGCUAGUUUUACAAAUUUGAUAGCUGUUGGAAUCGGAGUUCAGCUAAAAGUGCAGAUUAGAAAUAUGUUCAGUGCAGAGAAUAAAUACAGUAAUACUUCCAUGAUGGAGUUCUUGCUUAGACAGCAGAGAGGCAAGGAAGAAAUCUGGUCUGGAGAAUAUUUGAGAUAGAAAAGGUUCUGCAUGAGGUAGUUGUUCGGCUGAAGCAAGCCCAAAUAUAGGCCAGUGCGUACUAGUAUAGGGCUGGGCUGCUGUCCCAUGUGUUUUGGGUGCUGGUCGGGCUAAUUAGGGAUUAGGAAUAUUAUAUUUGACCUGCUUGCAGAGGAAGCAAAACAGGGAUUACCUUCUGUAUGUGCAAAAGGAGUCCUACUCCGGUUCAGCCAAAGACCAGGGCGUGCCCUUAUAUAUAUGGGGUACUUGGCCGAUUGGAAAAAGGACCAAUCGAUCCUUUUGCAACCUUACGUUACGUUUUCUCCCACGUUCUUUUCUUUCCAGCACCUAGCUUGUAGCUUCUGCCUAGCCCUAGCAACCCUAGGGUUUGGUUGAUCUUUGCCGUUUUGCAUUGAAAAACGGUCGGUUUACAUCCAUGAAAGUGAGGAUUCUGUGGUGCUGCGUGGAUCAAUUUCGCACAGCAACACAAUUGGCGACUUCGCUGGGGAAGAAGAAGAGGAACACAAUGAGCAUCGACCCCAAGGACAGGAGUGAUCUCAACCCCAACAACAUCAACGCCGUCACACUUGAGGAUCAUCCUGAGGAUGAACGGCAGAAACUUGAACAUGAGCUUGAGGAAGAGAGGGUGGAAAAGCUGAAGCAGAAGUUGGCUGGCUUCCAAAGGACAAGAAACGACAUCAUCUAGAAGGUAGCUACACCAAGUCAUCCUGCUGGGGUAAAGUAAAACUGCUUGUACAGAAGAGAUUGCACAUUUUUAAUUGGUGCAUCUGUGACUAGUAAAUAUGGCAAACAAAUGACAGAUAUGGCACGUACAAUUACUGAAUCUGUAGCUAACAAAUUUGAUGAGUUCAGAGAGCAAUUUAAUAAGGACAUUCAGAUCAGCUUGCCUCGUCAAAUUCGUUCAAUGGUAUCACAUGCCAAUGAUGAACGUUAUGAGAAACAGCCGGUGCAUCCAGAAAAUAGUAGGUUCACUAAUUUACCUAACCCUAUGCAUACACCCGUUGCAGUACCCAAUGUUGUGCAGCCCCACAUCCCGUUAAGCAAUAACCAAAGUGGCCAGAAUAACCAAAGUGGCCAGAAUUACAUUAGCAAUUCGGCCAAUAAUUUUGUACCUUUCAGUAGCAAUAACCGAAGUGUUGGCUUUAAUUCCAAUCUGCAGCAACCCUACUAUCAAACAGUAGCAUAUAGCACACCACCCUUGCCACCUAUUGGUACUGGGGUUCCUUACGGGCCGGUGCCAGAUGCGUGUUUUAAUGGUUCUCUGCAGCAAAUGUAUCAUGCUCAAACUUCUUUGUCAGAGUUACCGCCACGUACCUAUGGUGCAUCUAUGCCAUAAGCUAGUUCUCCACAUCCUGCUGAAAAUUGUAAGGAUCAACUUGCUAACAUACUUAGGGAAUUUGGCUUGGAACCUAAGGCUAGAGCACGUGCAUAUCAAAAACCCUACCCUGAAUAUUUCGACACAACACCUUAUCCUCGUAGGUUUAGAAUUCCAGAUUUUGUUAAGUUCACAGGAGAAGAUGGUAGAUCAACCUUUGAGCAUGUAGGAUUUUUUUAGCACAAUGCAGUGAAGUUGGUACAUCAGAUAUUUUUAGAGUGAAAUUAUUUCCUUUGUCUUUAUCUGGUACUGCAUUUACUUGGUUUACAUUGCUUGCUCCUAACUCCAUUGCAACAUGGGCCCAAUUGGAGCAGAAAUUUCAUGAGUACUUUUAUGGUGGUGAAACUGAACUUAGACUUUCAGAUUUGACAAUGGUUAAGCAAAACCACAAUGAAUCUGUUUAUAAUUAUAUUAAAAGAUUUAGAGAUGUCAAAAACCGAUGCUUCAGUUUGACCAUAACCGAAAAAGAUUUAGCUGAUCUUGCCUUUUCGGGUUUGCUUGCUCAUAUUAGAGAUAAAUUGGAAGGGCAAGAAUUUUCAGAUGUUAACCAAGUUUUGCAAAAGGCUUGGGCGCAGGAAAACCGUGCUAAAGAAGUUAAACCAUACAACCGGUUUAGAGAUAAUAAGAGCAAAGACAAGGAAAAACCUACGGUUAAUGUGGUAGAACAUGAUAGUGAUUCGGCUAGUGAAGAUGAUGUUGAUAUAUGUUUGGCCGAAUGGGUUCGAGCACCUAAGUCAAAACCUUUCGCAUGUGCUGCCUUGAAACCCACACCAGCUAAAAGAGAGGAAAUCAAAUAUACUUUUGAUGUUAGUAAGUGUGACAAGAUUUUUGACAUGUUGUUGCAAGGGAAGUUAAUUAGAAUAAAAGAAGGGCAUGUGAUUCCAUCUCAAGAAGAACUGGGUAGAAGAGCUUAUUGUAAAUGGCAUAACUCUUUUUCUCAUGCUACUAACGAUUGUAAUGUGUUUCGACGACAGGUGCAAUCGGCCAUUAAUGACGGACGAUUGAUAUUUACAGAAUGUACUAAGAUGAAGCUCGAUAGUGAUCCUUUUCCUAUCAAUGUGGUUGAGUUUGAGAAUAAGAAAAUACUUAUUCGGUCGGAUCAGACCGAAUCCGCAAGAGAGAAAAAUGUUGUUGAUGAUAAUGCUCCUCCAAGGAUGAUCAAACCAAAAAAAAUCCAGAAGUAGGAGUGUGGAAAGUCAAUGGAAGAAGGAGACAAGCUUCGAGACCAAAGCCGACAGUUAACAUGUUGUUGGAGAAAUACACUUCACUCAAGGCCACCAAUGUGUUUAACCGGCUUGGAGGUAAUAAGCGUCCUAGAUCUCCUUCUGGACCUACGGUCAUGAGCAAUGGCAGAGAAAUUCAUAUGACCAGCGGCCAUAUUUCGCAAUGGAGCCAGCAUAUUGGGGCUGUGCACCUCCUAUGUAUCCGCAAAUUCCUCCAUGGGGUUUUAAUCCUUGGGCGCCAUAUCCUAUAGGGCCAGCAGGUUAUUUUCAACCAGGAUGGAUCCCGCCUAGGCCUAUGUUCAGACCAAACAUGCAUGAGAAAAGGGCUCGAUUUAAUCAUGAAGCAAGAUCACGUGAUGCUAUUGUGGUUCGAGGUAAAGAUGGUUCACACAAAGGGGCUGAAGAUAGCUCAUCCAGCAAAAGAUUUGCGCAGAGCAGAUUGCCUAGAUACAAUGCGGAUGGCAAGGUUCACAGGUGGCCAGAGGUUUGCAUGGGUACCGGUCAGAUCUAAGGGUGAUGUAAAAAAUUCAGUUGUACAUGAUGAAUUUAAGUCUGGUUGUGCUAUUACGAACCAACCUGGGUUGCGUGCUGCUCAUAAUGUUGAUAAUGGUAAGCUCAAAUCAGCUGCAGGUGUUGCCCCUGAUCUAGAAACAAUCAUGAUUGGAGGUUUCAAAUUUGGUUCAGUUCAGAAAAGAGUUCCAGGUUCAGAAAAGAUUAGUAAUGGUGCAUUGGAGCAGCAGGGGCCUUAUACAUCGCAGCAAGAGGAAAUUCCAGCAAAAGAAAGCAACUCACAUGCUGAUUUGGGGCCCGAUAUGCAGAAAGAUGGGACCGCUAGCACAACUAAUCAAUACAGAAUUGUUUCGGCCAAAGACAGAAUGUUUGCUCCCCAAGCAGCAGCACAUCAGUACAGACCGAGGAACGCUUGGGGGGGGCAGCAGAAUUAGGUCAGUGGCACCAGGAACUAAACCCAAGCUUCGAUGGUGCCCGACAGGGCUCACACAUACUCAGAAAAGAAGGGUGCAACAGCUGCGGGCAUUGGAAAUUAGAGAGGAACUAGCUGAGAAGAAGCGCGACGAGUGGUUCAAUAAAGAUAAACCAAUGGUGUCCUCGAAUAUGACUUGGAAAGAGAAGCACAUCGCAAGGAAGGCAAUAGUGUUGAUGACAUGGUUAUGGCUGGAAACUCUGAGGAUAAACAGGAUAUGCCUUCAGAUGUGGACAUUAAUAUGGUAUUUGAGUUGCCCGCUGAAUUUCAUGCGCCUAAGGCUGAAGAGGCUGAAGUUGCAGAACUUGUUCUUGGCCCAAAAAGUGUUACAUUUGAGAAACCAGAGAAGCAUGGACAGCACCUAAAGCCUUUGUUUAUCAAGGGUCACAUUGAUGGUAAACCUAUUGGUCGCAUGCUUGUUGACGGCGGUGCCAGUGUUAAUAUCAUGCCUUUUCCGGUUUUUUCUAAGUUGGGCUGAAAAGAGGAAGAACUGAUGAAAACCAAAAUGGGACUUAGUGGGUUCUCAGGAGACUUGUCUGAAGCUAAAGGUGUUAUUUCUAUGGAGCUCACGGUUGGUAGCAAAACAUUGCCGACUGCUUUCUUUGUUGUUAAUGUCAAAGGCUGAUAUAAUAUUCUUUUGGGGCGCGAUUGGAUUCAUGCAAAUUGUUGCAUCCCUUCUACUUUGCAUCAAUGUUUGAUUCAAAGGGUUGAUGAUGAUGUUGAAGUGCCUGAGGCGGAUAAUUCAGCCCGCAUUGCUUUGGCUGAGGCUUCGGUUGGUUGGCAACACGGUGAGAUGCGAUGCUUGACGGGUAGAGAUUUAUCAGAUUAUGAUUAUAUUAGUAUUGGUAGAGAUGGUUUUGUUCCUGUACAUGCACAGUCGGUUAGUGUAGCUCGGCUUAAUGACUUAUCCUUGUGAACAAUGAAUAAGGAAGAUAGUGUUAAAUGGAUGCAAAGGCGUGUUGAGGAGUAUCGUUCAGGAAAGAACGAUAUGCAUGAAGCUAUUGAGGAUUUCGAUGACAUGGAGAAGCUUGGACAAGGAUUCUCAUCGGCUGACCCACUUGAGGAAGUUGAUAUUGGUGAUGGAAGUGUCCCUAGACCUACAUUUAUUAAUGCUAAUAUGGGGCCGAUCAGAGAGGAAAGGUAUGUGCAUUACCUAGGGAAUUUGUUGAUUGCUUUGCUUGGAAUUAUACUGAGAUGCCCGGUUUGAGUAGGGACUUAGUUGAGCACAGAUUGCCUAAAUUUUCAAAAAAAAACACAGAUUGCCUAUUAAAUGCGGUUUUAGGCCGCAUAAAUAGCCCUUAGGCGAUUCAAUCCUAGUAUAUAUGACCGCAUCAAAGAUGAAAUUGAUCGGUUGUUAAAAGCUCGGUUUAUUCGGCCAUGUAGAUAUGCGGAAUGGAUUUCUAAUAUUGUUCCUGUUGAAAAGAAAAAUACUGAUAAGAUUAGAAUAUGUAUCCUAUGCCAAUAGCCGACAUGUUGAUUAACGAUGCUUCUGGACAUAAAGUAAUCAAUUUUUUAGAUGGUAAUGCUGGUUAUAAUCAGAUAUUUAUGGCCGAAGAAGAUAUGUUUAAGACUGUUUUUCGAUGCCCUGGUUUUGUUAGUUUAUUUGAGUGGACUGUUAUGACUUUUGGAUUAUAGAAUGCCGGAGCUACAUACCAGCGUGCUAUGAAUCUAAUUUUUCAUGAUCUUCUAGGCAUCGUAUUAGAAAUAUAUAUUGAUGAUGUAGUUAUUAAAUUGGAUGGGUUUGAUCAUCAUUUAGCGAUUUGUGAUUAGCUUUUGAAAGAAUGCGUCAGUAUGGGCUGAAAAUGAAUCCACUCAAAUGUGCUUUCGGUGUAUCGGCUGGUAAGUUCUUAGGUUUUAUAAUUCAUGAGCAUGGCAUAGAGAUUGAUCCUAAGAAGGUAGAGGCAAUCCGAAAAUUGGAGGAGCCCACAUGUAAAAGGGAUGUGCAGAAAUUGUUAAGAAAAAUCAAUUACUUGAGACGAUUCAUAUCUAACCUUGCGGGAAAAAUUGAAUCGUUUGUUCCUUUACUUCGGUUAAAACAUGAAGCCGAAUUCACCUGGGGGGGGGCAGAACAACGAGAGGCUUUUAAUAAUAUAAAACGGUAUUUGUCAAGUCCUCCGGUGCCUCGAGCACCCAAGUCUGGUGUGCCGUUCAGGUUAUACAUUGCCACACAAGACAAGGUGAUCGGUGCAGUUUUAGCACAAGACAAUGGCGGGAAGGAGUACAUCAUUGCAUACUUGAGCCACCGCUUGCUUGACGCUGAGAGUCGGUACAUGUUUAUUGAAAAAUUAUGUUUAUCUUUAUAUUAUGCGUGUACAAAAUUCCGGCCAUAUUUACUUUAUAGUACAUGUGUAGUAGCUUGCCAAGCCGACGUGAUUAAAUAUAUGCUGCUGCUGCCGGUUCUUAGUGAUAGGAUUGGAAAAUGGGCUUAUGCACUAAUAGAAUAUGACUUGGCAUAUGAAUCGUUGUGUGCUAUGAAAGGUCAAGUCAUCGCUGGUUUUAUUGUUGAUCAUAGGAUUAAGGAUGAAGAAGAUAUUAAUUAUGUUAGUGUGUGCCCGUGGAAGUUUUAUUUUGAUGGAUCGGUUUGUAGGGAGGGAGAAGACAUCGGUAAUGUUUUAAUUUCACCAAACAAUGUCGUUUAUGAAACAUCGGUCCGUUUGGAAUAUCCUUGUACAAAUAACCAAGCUGAAUAUGAAGCUUUGUUGUUUGGUUUACAAAAUUUAGUAGAUAUGGGUGUUGAAAGAUCGUGGAUGUCNNNNNNNNNNNNNNNNNNNNNNNNNNNNNNNNNNNNNNNNNNNNNNNNNNNNNNNNNNNNNNNNNNNNNNNNNNNNNNNNNNNNNNNNNNNNNNNNNNNNNNNNNNNNNNNNNNNNNNNNNNNNNNNNNNNNNNNNNNNNNNNNNNNNNNNNNNNNNNNNNNNNNNNNNNNNNNNNNNNNNNNNNNNNNNNNNNNNNNNNNNNNNNNNNNNNNNNNNNNNNNNNNNNNNNNNNNNNNNNNNNNNNNNNNNNNNNNNNNNNNNNNNNNNNNNNNNNNNNNNNNNNNNNNNNNNNNNNNNNNNNNNNNNNNNNNNNNNNNNNNNNNNNNNNNNNNNNNNNNAUAUGACAAGAAACAAUAUGGCUAUCACAAAGUAAAGUGCAUAAGUAAAGGGCUCGGGUAAGAGAUAACCGAGGCACGCGGAGACGACGAUGUAUCCCGAAGUUCACACCCUUGCGGAUGCUAAUCUCCGUUUGGAGCGGUGUGGAGGCACAAUGCUCCCCAAGAAGCCACUAGGGCCACCGUAAUCUCCUCACGCCCUCGCACAAUGCAAGAUGCCGUGAUUCCACUAAGGGACCCUUGAGGGCGGUCACCGAACCCGUACAAAUGGCAACCCUUGGGGGCGGUCACCGAACCCGUACACUUUGGCAACCCUUGGGGGCGGUCACCGGAACCCGUCAAAUUGCUCGGGGCGAUCUCCACAACCUAAUUGGAGACCCCGACGCUUGCCUGGAGCUUUACACCACAAUGAUUGAGCUCCGAACACCACCAACCGUCUAGGGCGCCCAAGCACCCAAGAGGAACAAGCUCAAGGGUACCAAGCCCCCAAGAGUAAUAAGCUUCUCAACUUGUAACUUCCACGUAUCACCAUGGAGAACUCAAAUCGAUGCACCAAAUGCAAUUGCAAGGGCACACGGAGUGCCCAAGUCCUUCUCUCUCAAAUCCCAUCGAAGCAACUAAUGCUAGGGAGGAAAAUGAGAGGAAGAACAAGAAGGAGAACACCAAGAACUCCAAGAUCUAGAUCCAAGGGGUUCCCCUCACAUAGAGGAGAAAGUGAUUGGUGGAAAUGUGGAUCUAGAUCUCCUCUCUCUUUUCCCUCAAAAACUAGCAAGAAUCCAUGGAGGGAUUGAGAGUUAGCAAGCUCGAAGAAGGUCAACAAUGGGGGAAGAACACGAGCUCAAAGGAUAAGGUUCAUUGGGAAGAAGACCCCCUUUUAUAGGAGGGGGAAAAUCCAACCGUUAUGCUCACAGCCCGCACCGAGCGGUACUACCGCUAGGGCGGCAGAAGCCCAAUGAAACAACACUGCAAACGGGCAACAGGGCGGUACUACUGCUAGAGCGGUACUACCGCCUGCCCUUGCGGAACUACCGCGCGACCACGGAAGUAAAAAUAACUGCCACGCCUACAACCGCUGGAGCUAGCUACGAGAAAAAGGCGGCACGGUACUACUGCUCACAGGGAGCGGUACUACCACGCAAGGGCGGAUGUAAAAAAUUACAUCCGCGCCUACUACCGCACGCAAUCAGCGACAGGAUGUGAGGAAGCGGUACUACCGCUCACCAGGAGCGGUACUACGGCGUAGGACGCGGAAGUAAAAAAUUACUUUCGCGCCUACUUCCGUGCGCGCCAGCGUUCUGGGCUAGAGGCAGCGGUACUACCGCUCACAGGAGCGGUACUACCGCUGGCCCCUGCGGUACUACCGCUCCCUUGAGCAGUACUACCGCACGCCACAGAGGCUUUAGCACUUGGAUGCCUUCAAAACGCAGCUAAAGACAACAGAUGGAACCAAUAAAACCAGAACUGUCAUACCUUCUGCAAAAGAGCUCCGAAUUGAGCAAACUCAAGCUUGUUGGAUACAAGACAACGAGUGGCAUCAAAACAGCGAGCCUAGUAAGAAGAGGCAGGGGAGGUAUGCCUAACACGUAGAGGAGUGAAACCUCCAACAGAGAAGAACUGGCAUAACCUCCAACAUCGAAAACAUCAUAGAAGAUGCAAGUGAACUCCGUUUUCGAUGAACUCGAGCUUGUCAACAAGAUGACCAAAAGCUCCAAAACUCUCAAAGAUAAGCAAACAAGAACCAAGAAAGAUGAUGCAAGGAUGCAAUGGUUUGAGCUCUCUACGAAUGAUACGAUCAAGCUACUCAUCGAGAGCCCCCCUUGAUAGUACGACAAUCGAUCCUAUAACCCGGUCUCCCAACUACCAUCAUGAGACCGGUAAAAUAGAAAACCUAUUAAGGGCAAACCUUUGCCUUGCACAUGGUCCACUUGAGCUAGAUGAAGACGAUCUUGACUCCCUCAAGUUGGACCACCUUUCUUGAUUGCGUUGGCUUGAUGAAGACUAGUUGAUUGCUACCCCAUACUCCACUAUGGGUGAGCCACUCUUCCGCACAUCUUCACAAGUCCAUUGUCACCACAAUGGACGACAAGCUUCAAGCAUUUGAUCUCUUCGUGAUGCUUCCUUGAACUUGCACACCGCAACCUAACCCCACAAAGAACUCUCACGAAGAUCAUGGGCUAGUACACAAAGCGUAAUUGACAAUGCUUACCAUACCAUGGGAUCGCUUGAUCCCUCUCGGUACAUCUUCUACGCUUUGUGUGUUGAUCAACUUGAUUCACUCUUUUACUUAGUCUUGAUCAACCUCUCACAAGACCAAUCUUUAGGUAAUUCCUUGAAUAGCACCUUGGUCAUCACAAACUCUCCUUGAAACCAACAAAUGUACUCCAAGAAAAGCCUAUGGACAAAACCUUCAAAUAUAACUCAAGGCAACCAUUAGUCCAUAGAGAUUGUCAUCAAUUACCAAAACCAAACAUGGGGGACCGCAUGUUCUUUCAGGUGUAAAGGAUAUAGAGGCUUUUGGAGAUUCACUUUUGGUAGUCCGGCAAAUUGGUGGUGUUUUGAUGGAUUAUUAAACAAUUAUUUAGACCGAUGUUUAGAUAAUUAAGUCUUUGAAUAGUUUCACUAUCAGUCAUAUACCUAGGGAAGAGAAUUCUAGAGCUAAUUGCUUAGCGCAGCAAGCAUCCGGAUACCAAAUCAGUAGGGGAAAGUUUUUCAUAUUAGAGAAACCAAUGCUAGAUGCUGUUAAUAGUAAUGCUGAUCUGUUGGCUAUUAAUUUGCUAAAGGAUGCAGCAGGUCCUUGUUCAAUCCAAUAGCAAAUAGUACAUGGCAAAGAAGAUUCGGUGCAGGAGUCACAAAUAACUGAAUCAGCAACUAAUUUAGAACCAGGUGAUUUGAGAAGUCCUCUGAUUAAUCAUCUAAGGGAUCCUGGGCAAACAAGAGAUAGAAAAAUUCGGCGACAAGCUUUAAAAUAUACUUUGCUAGAUAGUGAGUUGUAUCGCCGAACGAUAGAUGGAUUACUUUUAAAGUGCUUAGGUCCUGAUCAGUCAAGAGUAGCUAUGGGUGAAGUACAUGAAGGGCUAUGCAGAACACAUCAGUCGGCUCAUAAGAUGCAAUGGUUAUUGAAAAGAGCAUGUUUUUAUUGGCCGAUGAUGUUAGGAGACUGUUUUCGCUAUUAUAAAGGGUGUGAAGAAUGCCAGAAAUUUGGAAAUGUUCAAUUGGCAUCUGCAGCUAUGAUGCAUCCCAUUAUUAAGCCAUGGCCGUUUAGAGGAUGGGGUUUAGAUUUUAUUGGUCAAAUAUAUCCUGCUUCAUCUAAAGGUCAUCGGUUCGUCCUAGUAGCUACAGAUUAUUUUACCAAAUGGACUGAAGCAAUUCCUUUAAGAAUAUUGACCCAUAAGGAAGUGAUUAAUUUUGUUUUGGAGCAUAUUAUUCGCAGAUUCGGUAUUCCUCAAACUUUGACUACUGAUCAAGGUUCUUCUUUUAUGUCUCAUCAAUUUGAUGAGUUUGCCGAAUCUUUUAGAAUUAAAUUGUUAAAUUUGUCGCCUUAUUAUGCUCAAGCUAACAACAGGCCGAAUCUAGCAAUAUAACUUUAAUUAAGCUUAUAAAGAAGUAAAUUAAGGAGCAUCCAAGAAAGUGGCAUGAAGUGCUUUCGGAGGCUUUAUGGGCUCAUCGGAUAUCUAAGCAUGGAGCAACUCAAGUGACACCAUAUGAGUUAGUGUUUGGACAGGAAGCAGUGUUACCUGUAGAGGUUAAUUUGCAAGCUCUUAGAGUAGCCAGACAAAAUGGUUUCUCGGCUAUAGACUAUAAUAACUAGGUGACUUCCCCGCGCGUUGCUGCGGGAUUUUGAAGAUUAAUUUUGGAUACAUUCUAUAUGCAUGAAAUGAUCUAAAUAGAAAGCUAUUAUUUUCGGAAGUAAUUCUAUGUGAAUAAAGAAUAUGCAUGUACGUUGGACUAUUGAAGAUGGAACAAUUAAAUUGGGGUAUGCAUGUACUACAAAAUAGUUCUAGUGGAUGAUGAUGUGGCAUAUUUGGUGAUGUGGAGGGCUGCAUGUUGAGAGAAUUAGACUUAGUGGGGAUCAACUAUUUAUGUAUUAUAGAUUUGAUGCUGGACAGAAUUGAUGAUGUUCCAGAAGAAAUAUUAAGAGCCUUACAGGAAAUUGAAAAAGAAAAGUUAAGAGUAGCUAAGGCUUAUAACAAAAGGGUGAGGGAAAAUCGUUUAAAAUAGGAGACUUGGUGCGGAAAACGAUUUUGCCUGUUGGAACUAGGAACAAUAAAUUCGGCGAGUGGUCGCCAAGUUGGGAAGGCCCAUAUAGAAUUGUUGAAAUUGUUCUUGGGAAUUCAUAGUUUGUAAAAUCUUUGCAGGGGGAGAAAUUACCUAAAGCUCUCAAUGGAAAAUAUUUAAAGAAGUAUUAUCCUAGUAUGUGUCAGGAGGCUUGAUGGCAUGACGGCCGAUAUUAUUUAAGAUAUCAUCCUAAGCAAAAUAUGGCCGAUGUGUUAUUUGGACAUCGCUCCGAGCAAUGAUAUUACCGAUGAAGCAAUUGACAUCAUCCAAAGGUAUCGCUAUAGUGUUUUUGGUAGAUGCAAUCAUACCAAAAACAGGGGUGUUAAUGAUGAAAUUUGGCUUGCCAGUUUUACAAAUUUGAUAGCUGUUGGAAUCGGAGUUCAGCUAAAAGUGCAGAUCCAAAAUAUGUUCAGUGCAGAGGAUAAAUACAGUAAUACUUCCAUGAUGGAGUUCUUGCUUAGACAGGAGAGGGGCAAGGAAGAAAUCUGGUCUGGAGAAUAUUUCAGAUAGAAAAGGUUCUGCAUGAGGUAGUUGUUCGGCUGAAGCAAGCCCAAAUAUAGGCUAGUACGUACUAGUAUAAGGCUGGGCUAUUGUCCCAUGUGUUUUGGGUGCUGGCCGGGCUAAUUAGGGAUUAGAAAUAUUAUAUUUGACCUGCUUGCAGAGGAAGCAAAACAGGGAUUACCAUCUGUACGUGCAAAAGGAGUCCUACUCCGAUUCAGCCAAAGACUAGGGCGUGCCCUUAUAUAUAUGGGGUACUUGGCCGAUUGGAAAAAGGACCAAUCGAUCCUUUUGCAACCUUACGUUACUUUUUCUCCUACGUUGUUUUCUUUCCAGCACCUAGCUCGUAGCUUCUGCCCAGCCCUAGCAACCCUAAGGUUUGGCUGAUCUUUGCCGUUUUGCAUUGAAAAACGGUCGGUUUACCUCCACGAAAGUGAGGAUUCUGUGGUGCUGUGUGGAUCAAUUUUGUGCAGCAACACCCCGAAAAGCUACAGCUAUAGUGAAGGCACGUAAAUCAAUAUUGGUUGUGAAAAAAUACAUCAAGGGGAAUGUUCCCUCUACAGUCAAGUUAAAUGUUCCGAAGCCUUGCCAACGAUGCCAUCGCUUUUAAUAAUUCAGGUGUCAAAUCACUGUAGCUAUCUGAUAUAUUGAAUGGUGAUAUAUUUUAGUUGUCUUGUGCUAUGUUACAUUCAAGUCACCAGAGCUGUUUAGGAGUCUGUGAUAUUACCUUCCUGAUAACUUUGUUUACCAGACUGUGCAAUGUACUUAAUAUUACUGCUGUCCAUUAAAUAUUGUUGUGAACUUGUAUUGUAUAAAUUUAUAUUUGCCAUACUUUCUAUAUAUUCGAAUGGUAAUAGUGUAAUACACACUUCAUCUUUGCCUUGACCUGUAUGCUACUGCAAGUGUGAACAUUUGUAGCAGUCACGUUUCUGCCUGACUCGACAUACAAGAAAAGUAAACAAGACAGAUGAAGUGAUGCCAACAAGUCGUUAACAUAUGCAUCAAGGUAGAGCACCGUCCUUUCUAAAAAAGAGUAAAGCAUCUUUCUUUGUACUUAUAUCAGUUUAAAUGUGCAAAUGCCCUAGGGUUCCCCAGGCGCCAUCCUUUUGGCGUGCCUCGGCAAAAGGGACACUUCUCCCCACUUUUCAUUAUUAACCUUCUCAUGGAGAAUUAUGUGUUGGACUGAAAAAUGGGAGUUCUGAACCUGCUAUACUGCACUCGACACCUGCUUCGCUUUGCUGUACCGAACUGUAUUCUUGCAUUGUAUUUCUGAAAGUUGUGAUGCCAAGACACAGGUGGAUUUGUAGUACCGAACUGUAUUUCUUAAAGUUCUAAUGCCAAGAGCAAUGCAAUGUAUGAUGCAGCAGUUCAUACUAGGCUUGUAAGAUGCUAACAUUUGGAACUAAUUUGAAUUCCAUGUGUACAUGGCCUGCUACCUCGUACAUUGCACUUCUGAAACUGUUUAGAAUGUUUUUGAUUUACCAGAUAUUAUCAGAACCAAACAUCUUAGGCAUCUGUGAUGCUCAGUAAUAUUGGUGUUUUAUAAUUGAUUUACAAGUGAAAUACACACUUGCAGUAUUGCAGGUAAAGAGUCUCGCUCGAUCACAUCCCAUCUAAAAUCACAUAAACAUUCUUUGGUUUCUUUGUUUCUUUCUCGGUUUUCACCGGGUAUUUUUCCGUUUUUUUGGUUUUUUAUUUCCUUUUUGGUUUUCUUCAUUCUGGCUUCAUUUUGGUUUUCGUUGUUUUCACUAUUUCUGCAUUGGUUUUCAUCGUUUUUAUUUUUAUUUUCUUUGUUUUAUUUGUUUAUUUUUUUGGCUUUCGUUGGUUUUCUUUGUUUCUUUGUCGGUUUUCAUCACUUAAUUUUUUUCCAACAUAUGUCUACUUUUUUCAAUGUACAUGUAAAAUAUUUUUGUUGAUAAAUGAUGAACCUUUUUCAAAUAAAUGAUGUACAUUUUUUUUUCUUAAAUACAAGUUUUGAACACUUUUCUUAAUACAUGGUCAACAUUUUUCAAAUAUACGGCGAACAUUUUUAAUUGCAAUAACCAUUUUGCGCACACAAUACAUAUUUUCCGCAUAUACAUCUGGAAUAUUUUUAUAUACAUGGUUAAUAUUUUGUAACAGAAUUAAUAUUUUGUAAAUACAGAAUUAACAUUCAGGGAGCCGGGUAUACAUCUUUGCUAUAAGCGAGAUAUAGCCCUGGAGCAAAAGAACCGGAGCGCUAAAUCCUGUGAGCUAUAGCAUUUUUUCUUUUCGCGGCCUGGGCCCAAAUCGAAAUCGCGCCCGGUCUAGUGCCUCCUAACCCUACCCCCAUCCCGAAAUUUUGCUCAGAAAAGAAAGAACCCAUCCCGAAAUCCACCAGGACGAUGGCAAUGCCGAUGGCGACUGGCAUCGGCGGCUACGCAGGGACGGCGAUGGCAGCCUGACGCGCCCCCCUUCUCCCGGCGACCCACCUUAUCCGGCGACGCCCUUCUCCCCGGGACGCCGCUUCUUCUCCGACGCCCUCUCUCCCGGACAACUUCGACAAGGAUCGCACAGUUCACGGCCAAGGAUGGCGCCGUCAUCCUCCGACAGACAACCAAAGCACCGAGCUACCGGCCGCCACUCCUGGCCCGGCCUCCACAUCCUCCAUGCCCACCAUGAGCCAGCAGGCUCAAUCGCCAGGCAAGUUCUCUGUCGGACUCGGAUCUCACUUUGUUUGCUUGCGCUUGAACCCGUUUGUUCCUUAUCGCUGUCUGUACUAAUCAUAAAACCGAUGUGUUGCAGAUGGAUGGAAUGCUGCUUCAUCGGUAUCUGAAAGAGACAGCCCACCCUGCCGACAGGAUGAUGGUUCCAUUGGCAGGAAAGAAGCAAGAUAUCUGGAUCCAGUCCUUCCAGAGGUAUGAUCUUGUAUUGCCGCGAGGCUUCUAUCAGUAGAAUAGCUGCAAGCUUUGCUUUGUUCUGUUGCAGUUAAUUCCAGCACAAAAACUAUUACAAUUUUUUACGUAUUUCUUCUUACUUGGGUAGGGACUAGAACUACUAGGACACUUAUCUGUGCGAGCUGUGUUGUUAUCUUGUCGUGAACUCCGAAUUUAGCAUUGUCUUUCCUUGUGUUUAUGCCUACAAUAACAUUUUGCAACUUGUUCCUAACCUUGGCUGGCUGGAUCUUGCUGAUUAUGGCAUCCUUUCCCUGCUUUCACCUCUAAUUCUCAUGGUGCUUCUCUGCUUUUGCACGCAUGACAUGUGGUGUCGUAUAUAUUCCUUACUACAGAUGCAAGAUGCUGCCCAGGCCGCCUAUGUUUCUUGCUGCUCCCUGGGCUACUGGAGAUACCAUCCCAAUCUCACCUUCACCAAUGAAACGAUGUGCCUCAAAGAAAAUUUGAAGACGCCAGGAUCAAACGCUAUUAUAAGAGACUACAACAACAAAAUCGACCGUGUUCUGACGAACCGCUUGGGCGCUGCCGCCGUGACGAAACUCAGGCUUGACUACCAUGUUCCUUGUGAUGGCGCUGAAUCGUACCAUCGUCUUGAUAGCUGGCUUCAGAUGGCUGUUACGCCGAUGAUCGAAGAACUCGAGCAUCUAGUAUGGUCGAAAGAGGCGAGGUUUGAUUUCCCGCGCUUCGGCACACCCCCCAAACGUAUAAGGGGUAGGGCGGUCAUUUCACAUGCCGUAUUAAAUACCCGCCCACCGUACGCGCGCACGUCGCCGUACGGCGCUGUCGCAUACGCCUGCCCGUCCGCGCCCAUGCCCGGUGUACGCCCGCCCGCCCCGCUGCGUACGCCCGUGUGGUUCGAGUGAAAAAACUGAUCAGGCGAAUCCUAUCUUCACGUCGCCUCAGCCGCCGCCUCUCGCGCCGCCGCCGCCAUCUCCGGCAGUACCUGGCCGACGGAAAAAUACCGACACGUUCUGCGCUACUGGACGCCGACAACCGCCUAGGUGGGACAGACGCCGCCGCCGUCGUCAGCUCGGCGUGCGGUUCGCCGUCAUGUUGUGCGUGACCAGACGCCGACAACCGCCUCGGUCGGGCACACGCCGCCGCCGCGGUCAGCUCGGCGUUGUUCGUCGUCGAGCCUCCGGCGAAUCUCAACACUAUUGUCAUGUCUGAUGAAGGCAACGAGGUACGCGAGCCGCUUGAUUUAAAUAGGGAUUUUAGUUGCGAAGAUGUUUCGUGCUCGAUGUUUGAAUGGAUCUUUGAUUAUAUAUAAACGUGUAUAGAUGGAGGCGGAAAUCGGAUAUGACGGUGAUGAUGGCGGUAGCGAGGACGGAUCAUUGUCAUUGGAUGAAGACGAACAUGACGGGAAUUAUAUGAGUUUGGAUGAGUCUUACAGUGGCAAUGUAAGUGGUUUGCAUGUUGUCAAGCAUAUUAAAUACAAGCAUCCUCAAUGAUAAUAACAUGUACUUGUUUGACUUUGCACAGGUAGGAGGGGAUUAUGACAAUGAGGAUAUGGAUGUAGAUGAUUCAUAUGCUGAAAGCGGUGCUACCUCUUGAGCACUGCGUUGGUUUUUCCCUUGAAGAGGAAUGGGUGAUGCACCAAAGUAGCGUAAGUAUUUCCCUCAGUUUUUGAGAACCAAGGUAUCAAUCCAGUAGGAGGCUACGCUCGAGUCUCACACACCUACACAAAACAAAUAAGAACCUCGCAACCAACGCGAUAAAGGGGUUGUCAAUCCCUUCACGGUCACUUACGAGAGUGAGAUCUCAUAGAUAUGAUAAGAUAAUAUUUUUGGUAUUUUUAUGAUAAAGAGAAAUAAAGAUGCAAAGUAAAAUAAUAGGCAAUAGAAAUAGCUAAGUGUUGGAAGAUUAAUAUGAUGGAGAAUAGACCCGGGGGGCCAUAGGUUUCACUAGUGGCUUCUCUCAAGAGCAUAAGUAUUACGGUGGGUGAACAAAUUACUGUCGAGCAAUUGAUAGAAUUGAGCAUAGUUAUGAGAAUAUCUAGGUAUGAUCAUGUAUAUAGGCAUCACGUCCGUGACAAGUAGACCGACUCCUGCCUGCAUCUACUACUAUUACUCCACACAUCGACCGCUAUCCAGCAUGCAUCUAGAGUAUUGAGUUCAUAAGAACGGAGUAACGCUUUAAGUAUGAUGGCAUGAUGUAGAGGGAUAAACUCAUGCAAUAUGAUAUAAACCCCAUCUUGUUAUCCUCGAUGGCAACAAUACAAUACGUGCCUUGCUGCCCCUGCUGUCACUGGGAAAGGACACCACAAGAUUGAACCCAAAGCUAAGCACUUCUCCCAUUGCAAGAAAGAUCAAUCUAGUAGGCCAAACCAAACUGAUAAUUCGAAGAGACUUGGAAAGAUAACCAAUCAUACAUAAAAGAAUUCAGAGAAGAUUCAAAUAUUGUUCAUAGAUAAUCUUGAUCAUAAACCCACAAUUCAUCGGUCCCGACAAACACACCGCAAAAGAAGAUUACAUCGAAUAGAUCUCCACGAGAAUCGAAGAGAAUUUUGUAUUGAGAUCCAAAGAGAGAGAAGAGCCAUCUAGCUAAUAACUAUGGACCCGAAGGUCUGAGGUAAACUACUCACACAUCAUCGGAGAGGCUAUGGUGUUGAUGUAGAAGCCCUCCGUGAUCAAUGCCCCCUCUGGCAGGACGCCGGAAAAGGCCCCAAGAUGGGAUCUCACGGGUACAGAAGGUUGCGGCGGUGGAAUUAGGUUUUCGUGGAUGCCUCUGAUGGUUUGGGGUACGUAGGUAUAUAUAGGAGGAAGAAGUAUGUCGGUGGAGCAACGUGGGCCCCACGAGGGUGGAGGGCGCGCCUGGGGGGGGUAGGCGCGCCCCCUGCCUCGUGCUCUCCUCAUUGAUUGCUUGAUGUAGACUCCAAGUCCUCUGGAUCACGUUUGUUCCGAAAAUCACGUUCCCGAAGGUUUCAUUCCGUUUGGACUCCGUUUGAUAUUCUUUUUCUGCGAAACUCUGAAAUAGGCAAAAAACAACAAUUUGGGUUGGGCCUCCGGUUAAUAGGUUAGUCCCAAAAAUAAUAUAAAAGUGUAUAAAUAAUCCCAUUAAACAACCAAAACAGAAUAUAUAAUAGCAUGGAACAAUCAAAAAUUAUAGAUACGUUGGAGACGUAUCAAGCAUCCCCAAGCUUAAUUCCUGCUCGUCCUCGAGUAGGUAAAUGAUAAAAACAGAAUUUUUGAUGUGGAAGGCUUCUUGGCAUACUUCUUAAUGUAAUCCUUUUUUAUUGUGGCAUGAAUAUUUAGGUCCGAAAUAUUCAAGAUAAAAGUUUAAUGUUGACAUAAAAACAAUAAUACUUCAAACAUGCUAACCAAGCAAUUAUGUCUUAUCAAAAUAACAUAUCCAAAGAAAGCUUAUCCGUACAAAAUCAUAUAGUUAGGCUAUGUUUCAAUAUUGUCACACAAACGUUCUCAUCAUGCAUAACCCCGAUGACAAGCCGAGCAAUUGGUUCAUACUUUUAACACGCUUCAGCCUUUUCAACUCUUACGCAAUACAUGAGCGCAAGCCAUGGAUAUAGCACUAUGGGUGGAGUAAAGUAUAAAGAUGGGGGUUAUGAGAGAAGACAAAAAGGUAGAAAGUCUCACAUUGGCGCGGCUAAUCAAUAGGCUAUGGAGAUGCCCAUCGAUUGAUGUCAAUGAGAGGAGUAGGGAUUGCCAUGCAACGGAUGCACUAGAGCUAUAAAUACGUGAAAGCUCAACAAAAGAAACUAAGUGGGUGUGCAUCCAACUUGCUUGCUCACGAUGACCUAGGGCAUUUUGAGGAAGCCCAUCAUUGGAAUAUACAAGCCAAGUUCUAUAAUGAAAAAUUCCCACUAGUAUAUGAAAGCGACAACAUAGGAGACUCUCUAUCAUAAAAAUCAUGGUGCUACUUUGAAGCACAAGUGUGGAAAAGGAUAGUAGCAUUGUCACUUCUAUCUUUUUCUCGCAUUUUUUUGUUUGGGCCUUCUCCUUUUUUUCUUUGGCCUCUUUUUUUUAGUCUGGAAUCUCAUCCCGACUUGUGGGGGAAUCAUAGUCUCCAUCAUCCUUUCCUCACAUGGGACAAUGCUCUAAUAAUGAUGAUCAUCACACUUUUAUUACUUACAACUCAAUACUUAGAACAGUUAUGACUCUAUGUGAAUGCCUCCGGCGGUGUACCGGGAUAUGCGAUGAAUCAAGAGUGACAUGUAUGAAAAAAUUAUGAAUAGUGGCUUUGCCACAAAAUACGAUGUCAACUACAUGAUCAUGCAAAGCAAUAUGACAAUGAUGAAGUGUGUCAUAAUAAACGGAAUGGUGGAAAGUUGCAUGGCAAUAUAUCUCGGAAUGGCUAUGGAAAUGCCAUAAUAGGUAGGUAUGGUGGCUGUUUUGAGGAAGAUAUAAGGAGGUUUAUGUGUGAUAGAGCGUAUCGUCGGGGUUUGGAUGCACCAGCGAAGUUUGCACCAACUCUCAAUGUGAGAAAGGGCAAUGCUCGGUACCGUAGAGGCUAGAAAAUUGUGGAAGGUUGAGAGUGCGUAUAAUCCAUGGACUCACAUUAGUCAUAAAGAACUUAUAUACUUGUUGCAAAAGUUUAUUAGCCCUCGAAGCAAAGUACUACUACGCAUGCCCCUAGAGGGAUAGAUUGGUAGGAAAAGACCAUUGCUCGUCCCUGACCGCCACUCAUAAGGAAAGCAAUAAAAGAACACCUAUGUGUCAAAAUUGUUACACAACUUUUACCAUACGUGCAUGCUACGGGACUUGCCAAGUUUAACAAGAGUAUUUCUCAAUUUCACAAUUACUCAACUGGCACACUCUAAUAUUACCACCUUUAUAUCUCAAAACACUUAUCAAGUAUCUAACUUCUCAUGAUAUUUAAUGAACUCAAUAUAGAAGAUUAAUUUCACGAUUAAAGCAAAUUACCAUGCUGUUUAAGACUCUCAAAAUAAUAUAAGUGAAGCAUGAGAGUUCAACAAUUUCUAUAAAAUAUAACCACCGCCGUGCUCUAAAAGAUAUAAGUGAAGCACUAGAGCAAAACUAUAUAGCUCAAAGAAUAUAAGUGAAGCACAUAGAGUAUUCUAACAAAUUCCGAAUCAUGUGUGUCUCUCUCAAAAGGUGUGUACAUCAAGGAUGAUUGUGGCAAACUAACAAAUAAAGACUCAAAUCAUACAAGACGCUCCAAGCAAAACACAUAUCAUCUGGUGAAUAAAAAUAUAGCUCCAAGUAAAUUUACCGAUGGAUGAGGACGAAAGAGGGGAUGCCUUCCGCGGCAUCCCCAAGCUUUGGCUUUUUGGUGUCCUUGGAUUAUCUUGGGGUGCCAUGGGAAUCCCCAAUCUUAGGCUCUUGCCACUCCUUGUUCCAUACUCCAUCAAAUCUUUACCCAAAACUUGAAAACUUCACAACACAAAACUUAACAAAAAAUCUCGUGAGCUCCGUUAGUGAAAGAAAACAAAACACCACUUCAAGGUACUGUAUUGAACUCAUUAUUUAUUUAUAUUGGUGUUAAACCUACUGUAUUCCAACUUCUCUAUGGUUUAUAAACUAUUUUACUAGCCAUAGAUUCAUCAAAAUAAGCAAACAACACACGAAAAACAGAAUCUGUCAAAAACAGAACAGUCUGUAGUAAUCUGUAACUAACGCAAACUUAUGGAACUCUAAAAAUUCAGCCAAUAUAGGACGACCUAAAUAAUUUGUUUAUUUAUCUGCUGCAAUUGGAAUCAAUAUUAUAUCACAUUCUGGUAAUUUUUAACAAUUGUUUUCGUGAACAGAAAGUUUCUGAAAUUUUCAGCAAGAUCAAAUAACUAUCAUCCAAGAAGAUCCUAUAGGUUUAACUUGGCACAAACACUAAUUAAAACUUAAAAACAAAUCUAACCAGAGGCUAGAUCAGAUAUUUAUUCCUAAACAUAAGCAAAAAGCAAAAAAACUAAAAAUAAAAUUGGGUUGCCUCCCAACAAGCGCUAUCGUUUAACGCCCCUAGCUAGGCAUAAAAACACGGAUAGAUCUAGGUAUUGCCAUCUUUGGUAGGCAAUCCAUAGGUAGCUCUCAUAAUAAAUUCAUAAGGUAAUUUUAUUUUCUUUCUAGGGAAGUGUUCCAUGCCUUUCCUUAACGGAAAUUGGAAUCUAAUAUUCCCUUCCUUCAUAUCAAUAAUUGCACCAAUCUUUCUAAGGAAAGGUCUACCAAGAAUAAUAGGACAUGAAGGAUUGCAAUCUAUAUCAAGAAUAAUAAAAUCUAUGGGCACAUAAUUCCUAUUUGCAACAAUAAGAACAUCAUUAAUUCUUCCCAUAGGUUUCUGGAUAGUGGAAUCCGCAAGGUGUAAGUUUAAAGAGCAAUCAUCAAAUUCGCGGAAACCUAUCAAACCACACAAAGUUUUUGGAAUCGUGGAAACACUAGCACCCAAAUUACACAAAGCAUAGAAUUCAUGAUCUUUAAUUUUAAUUUUAAUAGUAGGUUCCCACUCAUCAUAAAGUUUUCUAGGGAUAGAAACUUCCAACUCAAGUUUUUCUUCAUAAGAUUGCAUCGAAGCAUCAAUGAUAUGUUUAGUAAAAGCUUUAUUUUGACUAUAAGCAUGUGGAGAAUUUAGCACGGAUUGCAACAAGGAAAUACAAUCUAUCAAUGAGAAAUUAUCAUAAUUAAAUUCCUUGGAAUCCAAAAUAGUGGGUUCAUUGCUAUCUAAAGUUUUAACCUCUUCAAUCCCACUUUUAUCAAUUUUUGCAUCAAGAUCUAAAAACUCAGAAUUUUUUGAACGCCUUCUAGGUAAAGGCGGAUCAUCUCCAGUCCCAUCAUUAAGAUUCAUAUUGCAAAACAAAGAUUUAAUAGGGGACUCAUCAAUAACUUUUAGAUCUUCAUCUCUAUUCUCACAAAAAAAUUCCAGCUUAGCGGCCAUCUUAUUAACUAAGGUGGCCUGCUUAUCCGAAACUUCAGCUAUUAACUUUUCGAGAUGAGCAAUCUGAGAUUUCAAACCAUAAAAUUCUUUAGACAUAUCAUCGAGCUCUUUAUUCGUAUAACCCGUAAAGCUUUUUUGUUCCUUAAGCUCGUUCCUAAGGAAAUUAUUAUGCUCAAAUUGUAAAGUCAUAAAACUCUGGACGUUGCUUUCGAUCUCUUCUAACCUUUUAAGGUGAAGAUCACCAAAUCUAGGUAGAGCCAUCGUGACAAGCAAGCAAUCCAACAUACGAGCAAACAAGAAGCGAGCGAAAAAGAGGCGAACGGAAAAGAGAGGGCGAAUAAAAUGGCAAGCGUGAAGUGGGGGAGAGGAAAACGAGAGGCAAAUGGCAAAUAAUGUAAUGUGAGGGAUAAGAGUUUGUGAUGGGUACUUGGUAUGUUGACUUUUGCGUAGACUCCCCGGCAACGGCGCCAGAAAUCACUCUUGCUACCUCUUGAGCACUGCGUUGGUUUUUCCCUUGAAGAGGAAAGGGUGAUGCAGUAAAGUAGCAUAAGUAUUUCCCUUAGUUUUUGAGAACCAAGGUAUCAAUCCAGUAGGAGGCUACGCUCGAGUCCCACGCACCUACACAAAACAAAUAAGAACCUCGCAACCAACGCGAUAAAGGGGUUGUCAAUCCCUUCACGGUCACUUACGAGAGUGAGAUCUCAUAGGUAUGAUAAGAUAAUAUUUUUGGUAUUUUUAUGAUAAAGAGAAAUAAAGAUGCAAAGUAAAAUAAAAGGCAAUAGAAAUAGCUAAGUGUUGGAAGAUUAAUAUGAUGGAGAAUAGACCCGGGGGCCAUAGGUUUCACUAGUGGCUUCUCUCAAGAGCAUAAGUAUUACGGUGGGUGAACAAAUUACUGUCAAGCAAUUGAUAGAAUUGAGCAUAGUUAUGAGAAUAUCUAGGUAUGAUCAUGUAUAUAGGCAUCACGUCCGUGACAAGUAGACCGACUCCUGCCUGCAUCUACUACUAUUACUCCACACAUCGACCGCUAUCCAGCAUGCAUCUAGAGUAUUGAGUUCAUAAGAACGGAGUAACGCUUUAAGUAUGAUGGCAUGAUGUAGAGGGAUAAACUCAUGCAAUAUGAUAUAAACCCCAUCUUGUUAUCCUCGAUGGCAACAAUACAAUACGUGCGUUGCUGCCCCUGCUGUCACUGGGAAAGGACACCACAAGAUUGAACCCAAAGCUAAGCACUUCUCCCAUUGCAAGAAAGAUCAAUCUACUAGGCCAAACCAAACUGAUAAUUCGAAGAGACUUGGAAAGAUAACCAAUCAUACAUAAAAGAAUUCAGAGAAGAUUCAAAUAUUGUUCAUAGAUAAUCUUGAUCAUAAACCCACAAUUCAUCGGUCCCGACAAACACACCGCAAAAGAAGAUUACAUCGAAUAGAUCUCCACGAGAAUCGAAGAGAAUUUUGUAUUGAGAUCCAAAGAGAGAGAAGAAGCCAUCUAGCUAAUAACUAUGGACCCGAAGGUCUGAGGUAAACUACUCACACAUCAUCGGAGAGGCUAUGGUGUUGAUGUAGAAGCCCUCCGUGAUCAAUGCCCCCUCUGGCAGGAUGCCAGAAAAGGCCCCAAGAUGGGAUCUCACGGGUACAGAAGGUUGCGGCGGUGGAAUUAGGUUUUCGUGGAUGCCUCUGAUGGUUUGGGGGUACGUAGGUAUAUAUAGGAGGAAGAAGUACGUCGGUGGAGCAACAUGGGCCCCACNNNNNNNNNNNNNNNNNNNNNNNNNNNNNNNNNNNNNNNNNNNNNNNNNNNNNNNNNNNNNNNNNNNNNNNNNNNNNNNNNNNNNNNNNNNNNNNNNNNNNNNNNNNNNNNNNNNNNNNNNNNNNNNNNNNNNNNNNNNNNNNNNNNNNNNNNNNNNNNNNNNNNNNNNNNNNNNNNNNNNNNNNNNNNNNNNNNNNNNNNNNNNNNNNNNNNNNNNCGUAGACUCCAAGUCCUCUGGAUCACGUUUGUUUCAAAAAUCACGUUCCCGAAGGUUUCAUUCCGUUUGGACUCCGUUUGAUAUUCUUUUUCUGCGGAACUCUGAAAUAGGCAAAAAACAACAAUUUGGGUUGGGCCUCCGGUUAAUAGGUUAGUCCCAAAAAUAAUAUAAAAGUGUAUAAAUAAUCCCAUUAAACAACCAAAACAGAAUAUAUAAUAGCAUGGAACAAUCAAAAAUUAUAGAUACGUUGGAGACGUAUCAAGCGGUAGCCAUGUAAGUUUAAAAUUAUGCAAUUUAGUUUAAAGUGACAUGAAAAACACAUCAAAUCUUACGAAUCAUAUUUAAAAUUUGCGCAGAUGGAAGUGGAAGGGUACUAUGAGUGGAAUUUCUUCAAUGAUGCCAAUGACGAAAACGAUAUCGAUGCAUCUUAUAAUGACAGCUCGAGCAAAAUAAGUAGUGCAAAGUAAUACAUAUGAUAGUCCUCAUACAACUACUUACUGACAUAUAAGGUUGUUUCUAUUUUUUUCAGGGAGAGGUUGGUGGCCCGUGCGAAAACGAUGAUGAUGCCAAUGGUGAUGAGUGCAAUUUUGACACUGGGUACGAUGAAUACCAGCAAGAAUCACUGGACAAGCAUUGGGUGGUGAUGUCCACGACGUUCAGGACAGACGGGGAGGCAUAUGAUUUCUAUAACGACUAUGCGAAAAAGCGUGGCUUCAGCAUUAGGAGGGACAACUUGAAAUACGCGAAGGAAUGAAUUCUUCAGCAGAUUCCUCGGUAGGAAUGACAUCCUCAGCAGCCUUGAACUUGAUAGUUUCCUCAGGUGUUGGUUCAUCUAUCACAGAAGGUAGGUGCUCUCUUUGCGAGCCAUUAGUUUCAUCGAACCGCACAUCUACAGUUUCAACAACCUUGUUAAGAACGUUGUUGAAGACUCUGUAGGUGUGCGAGUCAUUUCCCUAACAAAGCAUGAAACCUUCAUGUGCUUUCGGUGCAAAUUUUGAGUUGUGAUGAGGAUCUCUAAUCCAGCAUUUAGCACCGAAGACUUUGAAAUAACUCACAUUGGGUUUCUUGUCAGUGAGGAGUUCAUAGGCAGUCUUCUUGAAGAAUUUGUGAAGAUAUACUCUGUUGAUGAUGUGGCACGCAGUAUCAAUUGCAUCAAUCCAAAAACGACGAGGCGUUUUGUAUUCAUCAAGCAUAGUGCGAGCCAUCUCAGCAAGAGUCCUGUUCUUGCGCUCCACGACGCCAUUCUGCUGAGGAGUAUAAGGAGCAGAUAACUCAUUAGUAAUACCAAGUUCAUCAAUAUAGUCAUCAAGACCAGAAUUCUUGAACUCAGUUCCAUUGUCACUUCUGAUGUGCUUGAUCUUCACACCAAAGUUGGUUGAAGCCCUCGAGGAAAAUCGUUCGAAGACUUCCUGCACUUCAGGUUUGUAAGUAACAAUGUGUACCCAUGUGUAACGAGAGUAAUCAUCAACAAUAACAAAGCCAUAUUGAGAUGCAUCAUUUGAAACUGCAGAAUAAUGAUUAGGACCAAAGAGAUCCAUGUGAAGCAAUUCAAAUGGUCGAGUGGUGGUCAUGAUAGUCUUCGCUGGAUGCUUGGCCUUGGUCAUCUUUCCAGCUUCACAGGCUCCGCAUAAGUGAUCCUUGAGGAAUUUGACAUUCUCAAUGCCAAUGACAUGCUUCUUCUUUGCAAGUGUGUGCAAAUUCCUCAUGCCUGCAUGACCAAGUCAUCGAUACCAUAGCCAGCCUUCUGAAGCUUUUGCAAGUAGGCACACGGCUAGUUGUGGUCCUGUAGAGAAAUCAACAAUAUACAAGUCUCCCCUCCUAAAGCCUUCGAAGACUUUGGAAUUAUCAGCUUCCAUGAUCACAACACAACGAUACUUGCCAAAGACAACAAAGCAUAUCAAGAUCGCAAAGCAUUGAGACAGACAUGAGGUUGUAUCCUAAGGACUCGACAAGCAUGACUUUGUCCAUGUGUCGAUCCUUUGAGAUCGCAACCUUACCUAGACCCAAUACCUGACUUUUGCCUUUGUCAGCGAAGAUGAUAUGCUUCAGAUGCGAUGGAGAUAAGGGAGCAUCCAUCAAUAGAUUCUUGUCACCAGUCAUGUGAUUUGUACAUCCACUAUCGAGGACCCACUCAUUGGCUUUGGGUUGAUCAUCCUGCAGAUGAAUUAGUGCAGCUUACGAACUCAUAAACUUCAUCAGUGAAGAAUAUGACAUCACAAUUCAUCAGAUCAAUUUCAUCAAGUAAUAGAACAGAUAAAGCAAUAUGAGGACGUGAGAAAUGAUAGUUCAUUUCUUCAUGAUUAGCCUGCGUCCUUUCAGGCAUUCUCGGGUCUCCAGCAAAUUCUUCAGACGUUUAUGCACGUCUGGAGACCUGACCUUGCAGAGGAGAUUAGUUCCUUUUCUUCACCACGCACAUCUGCAGGGGUGGCAAAGAGUUCAUCACUCUGCGAGCUCCAUAUGAGAAAGGUGGCAUAGACGCCAGUCCAUUUCGUUUCACAUAAGAGGAGUUAGGAUAAGCAUAUGAAUAAGCAGAGAAAUUCUUCGAGGACUUAUGAAAAUAAUUAUUAGAAGAAUAAUGCUCAUAUUCAUAGCCCUUAGUUCUUCCCUGCGAAAAGAGGUGUUAGCACGAUGAUGUUCAUAUGAGGACUUUGAUCCUUUUGAGGAAUUUGAUCCACGUGAGGAAUUUGGUCCGUAUGAGGACUUGGAUCCAUAUGAAGAAUUUUGUCCAUAUGAAGAAUUUGAUCCGGGGUUCCUAUUCUUCACAGGUGGUGUGAUGAGGACAUUCACCUGAAGACUUUCGAGGCAUCUUUUGCGAACCCAGAUUUUCUUCACAGGGGAACCGUUCCUGCAGUUAGUGCCAACAUAUCUAGCAAAUACUUUACCAUUCUGAUUUUUGACCAGUUUAUAGUUGGAGUCAAAUGACUCAUCAGAAGAAUGAGGAGAUUCACAUGUAAAGCCAGAAAAGUUGGAUGGAUCAACUGGAGGUCCCUUUGCAGCAACCCAUGAGGUUUUGGGUUACUGCUCAGGCUUCCAAUAUGUACCAUCAGCGUUGAGUUUCCUCUCAAAGGCAAUACCCUCUUUCCUAGGGUUCCUAUUGAGGAUCUGCUUUUUAAGCACGUCACAAAGAGUCUGAUGCCCUUUGAGGAUUUUGUACAUGCCUGUCAUUUACAAUUCCUUCAGCCCUGCAUCAUCAGUGAUACUAGCAAUGUCCUCAGAUGAGGAAUUAGUGAUAGCAGAGACAAUUGAAGAAUUUGUAGCAUUAGAAGCAUUUGAACAUUCAGGUGAAGAAUUAGCUGAUUCACGUUCAAUGCAUUUCAAGCAUGGAGGAACAAAUUCUUCCUGAGCAGCGCUGAUUUGUUGAGCAAGUAAUGAAUCGCGCUCCUUCUGAAGAUCUUCAUAACUCACCCUUAGCUUUUCAAGAUCUUGCUUUCUUUGAAGAAAUUCAUAAGAAAGCUUCUCAUGAUCAGAUAAGAGAGUGUUAUGAUGACCUUCAAGGUUGUCAAACCUAGACUGAAGUCUCUGAAGAUUUUCAGUUAAGGUUUUAGUGCGAUCCAUUUCUUCACCCAACAUAUCAUCACUUUUGUCUAGCAUGUUUUGAACCUUUUCAAAAGCCUUUUGUUGUUUCACAGCAACCUUAGCAAGUUUUGAGUAGCCGGGCUUGAGGUUUUCAUCAGAUUCAUUCUCACUUGAUUCAGAGGAGGUAUAUUUGAGUACCUUGGCACCCUUUGCCAUGAAGCAAUAGGUGGGAGCGUAGUCAUCAUUGUCUUCAUCAGCCUUGUUGAUGGAGCCAUUUUCUUCAGAGUUGAAGAUAGACUUGCUGACGAAUGCAGUAGCGAGAGCUAGACUCGCCACACCAGACUCGGACUCCUCAGAUGCCUCCUCUUCCUCAUGUUCCCCAGAUUCAGCCUCAGAGUCCAUUUCCUUGCCAAUGAAUGCCCAAGCCUUCUUGGAGCUGCUCUUCUUGUGACAUGAAGACUUCGAGGAUUUUGAUGAUGAAGAUUUCGAUGAUUUCUUCUUCUUCUUCGCGUCAUCAGAACUGUAAUCCUUGUAUUUCUUCUUCUUUCAUUCCUUUUCCCACUGAGGACAAUCUUGAAUGUAGUGACCAGGUUUCUUGCACUUGUGGCAUAGCCUCUUCUUGUAGUCAUUGGAUGAGGAAUCAUUGCUCCUUGAGGAUUUUCCAAAGAGACCACGUCUUGAGAACCUUUGGAAUUUCUUCACGGGCAGUGCUAGCUCCUGGCUCAGUUCUUCAGGAUCACUAAGGCUACUACCAGAAUCUUCACCUUCAGGUUCAGAAACGACCUUGGCCUUCAGGGCACGUGAUCUGCCAUAGCUAGAACCAUAGAGAUCUCUCUUCUCAACAAGCUGGAACUCAUGAGUAUUUAGCCUCUCGAGGAUAUCAGUGGGAUCAAGUGACUUGUAAUCAGCACGUUCUUGUAUCAUCAAUGCUAGAGUAUCAAAUGAUGAAUCAAGCACUAGUAGAAAAAGGGGCUUUCGUUUGGGCCUGGCCAGCCCAUUAGUCCCGGUUCUUCCACGAACCGGGACCAAUGGAGGCAUUUGUCCCGGUUCGUGAGCCCAGGGGGGCGGCCGGGGCCUCGUGGGCAUUGGUCCUGGUUCAUCUGGGCCCAUUUAUCCUGGCUAUUGGCACGAACCGGAACCAAUGGGCCUCGCUCCUGGCCCACAACCGUUGGUCCCCGUUCGUGGCAGGAACCGGGACAGAAGGAUGGCCUUUAGUCCCGGGUCGUGCCACGAACCGGGACAAAUGAUUUGCCUAUAUAUACCCCCUCGCCGGCGAGCAGAGCACUCCACAGUGCUCUGUUUUUUGCUGGCCGGUGAGGGGGAGGGCAUUGGGUGCUCUAGCUCACCUCCUAUGCACAUGAGGUGUUCGAUGAAAUGCCCAAGCCACACUAGUUAAGCUUUCUCCUCUCGAAGCUCGACCUCCGAGCUCCAUUUUUCCCGAGAUUUGUCUAGGUUUAUAUUAGCGGUCCGUCACGCCCCAUCCCCGUCUUCACCGUCGUCGAUCUCGUCGCCGGGACCACCAUGGUGAGCCUCUUGUUCUUAUCUUUUUUCUGAAAGAAAAAAAAUCUUACUUUAGAUAGAUACUUGUCUAAUUUUCUUACUUUUGACACACAUAAUUAUAUAUAAUGCACGCAGAUGAACCGGCAAUGGAUGUACGGUGACAGACACACCUCCGAGUACAUUAAGGGCGUGCAUAAUUUUCUCGAAGUGGUUGAGGCAAACAAGCAGAAUGGUUUUAUGUGUUGUCCAUGCCCUAAUUGUGGGAAUACGAGGUCUUACCCUGACAAGAAAACCCUUCACACCCACAUGCUUUAUAAGGGUUUCAUGCCACACUAUAAUGUUUGGACGAAGCACGGAGAAAUAGGGGUUAUGAUGGAAGACAGCGAAGAAGAAGAGGACGAUGACAACUAUGUGCCCCCUGAAUACGGUGGUGCUGCAACGGGGGAAGCUGAAGAUCAAGAGGAAGCUGAAGAUCAAGGGGAACCAGACGAUGUGCCCGAUGAUGAUCUCCGCCGGGUCAUUGUUGAUGCAAGGGAAAAGUGCGAAAGUGAAAAGGAGAAGUUGAAGUUCGAUCGCAUGUUAGAGGACCACAAAAAAGGGUUGUACCCCAAUUGCGAAGAUGGCAACACAAAGCUCGGUACCGUACUGGAAUUGCUGCAGUGGAAGGCAGAGAAUGUUGUGCCUGACAAAGGAUUUGAGAAGCUACUGAAAAUAUUGAAGAAGAAGCUUCCAAAGGAUAACGAAUUGCCCGACAGUACGUACGCAGCAAAGAAGGUCGUAUGCCCUCUAGGAUUGGAGGUGGAGAAGAUACAUGCAUGCCCUAAUGACUGCAUCCUCUACCGCGGUGCGUACAAGGAUUUGAACGCAUGCCCGGUAUGCGGUGCAUUGUGGUAUAAGAUCAGACGAGAUGACCCUAGGUGAUGUUGAGGGCGAGCCCCGCAGGAAGAGGGUUCCUGCGAAGGUGAUGUGGUAUGAUCCUAUAAUACCACGGUUGAAACGACUGUUCAGAAACAAAGAGCAUGCCAAGUUGAUGCGAUGGCACAGUGAGGACCGUAAGAAAGACGGGAAGUUGAGAGCACCCGCUGACGGGUCGCAGUGGAGAAAAAUCGAGAGGAAGUUCUGGGCUGAGUUUGCAAGUGACCCAAGGAACGUAUGGUUUGCUUUAAGCGCGGAUGGCAUUAAUCCUUUCGGGGAACAGAGCAGCAAUCACAGCACCUGGCCCGUGACUCUAUGUAUGUAUAACCUUCCUCCUUGGAUGUGCAUGAAGCGGAAGUUCAUUAUGAUGCCAAUUCUCAUCCAAUGCCCUAAGCAACCCGGCAACGACAUUGAUGUGUACCUAAGGCCAUUAGUUGAAGAACUCUUACAGCUGUGGAAUGGAACAGGUGUACGUGCGUGGGAUGAGCACAUGGGGGAAGAAUUUGACCUAAAGGCGUUGCUGUUCGUGACCAUCAAUGAUUGGCCCGCUCUUAGUAACCUUUCAGGACAGAAAAACAAGGGAUACCACGCAUGCACGCACUGUUUAGCUGACACCGAAAGUAUAUACCUGGACAGAUGCAUGAAGAAUGUGUACCUGGGCCAUCGUCGAUUUCUCCCGACCAACCAUCAAUGUCGAAAGAAAGGCAAGCAUUUCAAAGGCGAGGUAGAUCACCGUAAGAAGCCUGUAGGAGAUAUGCCCUAGAGGCAAUAAUAAAUGAUAUUAUUUAUCUCCGAGUUCAUAAUUAUGUUUAUGUUCCAUGCUAUAACUGCAAUGAUUCUCGAGUCUGCAAUAUCCACGAGGCUCGGAGGAAGACUCAUAUGCACGUGUGGAAUAAUAAACGGUAAGAAGUAUUCCUAGUCUGGCCUCUAAGACUAGCUCAAGUGUUGCAUGAUGAUUCUGUUUUCCUGGUCAUGGGCAUGUCUAUGCCAGCAACUUUGAGGGCACAAUGUUAAGAGAACAUUUGUGUUGAAUCGACCCGGAUUGAUGUUAUGCUAUGAGAUUCAUUCUUCACAAGUUUAUUGGUACAUAACACAGAGAUGGUUAAUGUUUGCAUGAUUCCUUAGACCAUGAGAGUAUCGAGUUUCUUCAUGCUUGCUUCAUGAACUUUGGGGUUUGUUAAACGUCAUCCGUAAAUGGGUGGCUAUUACGGCGGCUUACGGGUUCAUGGAAAAGUGUGUCAAGUAACUUGAUAGCUCAAGAUUGGGAUUUGCUCCUCCGACGAUGGAGAGAUAUCUCUGGGCCCUCUCGGUGUUACGGUAUCCAUCAUCGUCUGGCCAGACACUUUGUGAUUUGAUCACGGGGAUGCCGGAACACGAUAACGAGAAAAGAGAGCAAUACCGGUAACGAGGUAACUAGCAUAGUGGACAAGUUGUUGAUCCACGGGAAUGCCAACAUGUCUCACCUCGGGUAUUUUUAACAUAUCGCGAAGCAACAGGAAUAGCACACGGCAACUGGAGGUUCACUCGAAUAUUUAUUCGUGUGGGUAUAGGGGUCAAUAUGGGUGUCCACGGCUCCGAUGUUGAUCAUUGAUCGGAAGGGGUUCCGGGUCAUGUCUAUACUUCACCGAACCUAUAGGGUCACACGCUUAAGGGUCAUCUAUCUGCUGAAUACUAGACAGGGAGUCUGAAAGAAAAACACCGAAAAAGUUUCGGACACCGAAAAGUUUCGGACAGCGGAAUCGUACCGCAGAGAGAGGUCAUCGGAUAAGUUUCGGUGAUACCGAAAAGUUGUUUCGGGAUACACCAUUAAGUCAAAUUGGUUUCGGCACAUGCCUGAUAAUUCUUGGAGGAUGCCAGAAUCAUUCUGGAAGCUUUUUGGAAUUUUCUGAGAUAAAAACCGGAAAUGUUCCGGAGCUGCCGGAGCCACUUCAGAUGCGUUUCGCAGAUGAAAAUCACUAAAACCGGAAUUGUUUCGGAACGCGUUGAAAAUCAUUUUAGUGGGUACUGGAAAUGUUCUUAGCCCACAUAAAUAUUUUCAGUUCGAUCAGACGCUGAAAAAUGUCGUCGUGAAUAGUGAAAAUCAGCUUUAUGGUUACUUUAUGGAAAGCCACCUUUUGGGGCUUUGCUCCAAAAGAUCUUGGGGAUGACAUGGAUGGAUAGGAGCCAUUAUUUGGGCCCCUCAUGGGGGUGUGGCCGGCCACAUGGGGUAUCCCCCCUUGGGGACCCUCUUGUUCCUUGGUUUCACUCCUAGGUCCUUGUGGAAGGACUUCAUUCAUGUGCAUUUUGGGUUUUUUGUGAAACUACCCUACCCCCUUGGGAUUUCCUAUAAAUAGAGGUGGAGGGGCAGCCCUCCACACUCAUCCCUUGCUCUCAUACACAUGCCAUGCAUUAUCUGGCUUCUUCUCUCCCUCCCACGAAAAGAGUUUCGUAGAGCCGUAAGGCUGUCUGGUUUCCGGCAGGAACUAGUUCUGGACGGCGAAGCCCUGCCGGAUAGAUGACACCGUAUGUGUGCAACUCUGUAGAGAGAUCGUAGUUUCGGUCUUAGUUCGUGAGUGCCUCCCGAAGGGCUGUCCGUGUGACCGUCCGAGUUUCGAAGGUCCUCCCGAAGGGCUGUCCGAGUGACCGUUCGAGUUUCGAAGGUCCUCCCGAAGGGCUGUCCGCGACACCGUCCGGGGGGCUGUUCGACCGCCUCCCGGAGGGCUGUCUGAGGAGCAGAUGAGGGUAUACAUCCUCGCGGUUGGGAGGUUGUAAAUCCUAGCUGCGGGGAUCUGCACCGCCGAUCGUCAUCGACUCUACUUCCCGCUGCGCUACGAGUCGGUAACGAAAAAGAUCAAACCAUGUAUGCAGUCUCCAUAGUGGUCCUGGGCUGGUGCGUAGGUCGGAAAAAUUUUGUUUUCUGCUGCGUUCCCCUACAAAGCCCGCCAUGCGUACCGGUGAUCACGUACUUGCUAUGGUCUCUAAUUUACAUGUAAUAUUUGAAAAGGGUCCCGGUGGACUAGCUGUUCCAAAUGACGCUGAGGGACGCGCACCCAUGUGGAAGAAGAAAUCUAUAUUUUGGGACCUACCCUACUGGAAAGAGCUAGAGGUACGCUCUUCAAUCAACGUGAUGCACGUGACGAAGAACCUUUGCGUGAACCUAUUAGGCUUCUUGGGCGUGUAUGGGAAGACAAAAUAUACACCUGAGGCAAGGGAGGACCUGCAACGUUUGCACGAAAAAGACGGCAUGCCUCCAAAGCAGUACGAAGGUCCUGCCAGCUACGCUCUUACCAAAGAAGAGAAGGAAAUCUUUUUUGAAUGCCUGCUCAGUAUGAAGGUCCCGACUGGCUUCUCGUCGAAUAUAAAGGGAAUAAUAAAUAUUUCAGAGAAAAAGUUCCAGAACCUAAAGUCUCAUGACUGCCACGUGAUUAUGACGCAACUACUUCCGGUUGCAUUGAGGGGGCUUCUACCGGAAAACGUCCGGUUAGCCAUUGUGAAGCUAUGUGCAUUCCUCAAUGCAAUCUCUCAGAAGGUGAUCGAUCCAGAAAUCAUACCAAGGCUAAGGAGUGAUGUGGCGCAGUGUCUUGUCAGUUUCGAGCUGGUGUCCCCACCAUCCUUCUUCAAUAUCAUGACGCACGUCCUAGUUCAUCUAGUCGACGAGAUUGUCAUUCUGGGCCCCGUAUUUCUACACAAUAUGUUCCCCUUUGAGAGGUUCACGGGAGUCCUAAAGAAAUAUGUCUGUAACCGUGCUAGGCCAGAAGGAAGCAUCUCCAUGGGCCAUCAAACAGAGGAUGUCAUUGGGUUUUGUGUUGACUUCAUUCCUGGCCUUAAGAAGAUAGGUCUCCCUAAAUCGCGGUAUGAUGGGAGACUGACUGAAAAAGGCACGCUAGGAGCGGACUCAAUAAUAUGCAGGGACGGGCAUUCUUGGUCUCAAGCACACUACACAGUUCUACAGAACUCUACCUUGGUGACCCCGUAUGUCGAUGAACACAAGAACAGUCUGCGCUCCAAACACCCAGAGCAGUGUGACGACUGGAUUACAUGUGAACACAUCAGGACUUUCAGCAGUUGGUUGGAAACACGUCUCAGAGGUGACAACACUGUUUGUGAUGAGCUGUACUCGUUGUCCAGGGGACCAUCUUGGACUGUAUUGACUUACAAAGGAUACGAGAUAAAUGGGAAUACAUUUUACACGAUCGCCCAAGAUCAAAAGAGCACCAACCAAAACAGCGGUGUCCGCUUUGAUGCAGCAACCGAGAGGGGAAAGGACACAUAUUAUGGUUACAUAAUGGACAUAUGGGAACUUGACUACGGACAUGAUUUUAAGGUCCCUUUGUUUAAGUGCAAAUGGGUCAAUCUGUCAGAAGGCAGGGUAUAGGUAGACCCAUAGUACGGAAUGACAAAAGUGGAUCUGAACAAUCUUGGGUACACUGACGAACCGUUCGUCCUAGCCAAUGAUGUGGCACAGGUUAUCUAUGUGAAGGACAUGUCUACCAAACCGAGAAAAAGAAAAGAUAAGGAAGCGAAUACAUCAUACGAUGAGCCAAAGCGCCACAUAGUUCUUUCAGGAAAAAGGAACAUCGUGGGAGUGGAGGGCAAGACAGACAUGUCUGAAGAUUAUGGAAAGUUUCAUGAAAUUCCUCCCUUCAAAGUCAAGGCUGACCCAAGCAUCCUGAUAAACGAUGAAGAUUAUCCAUGGUUACGGCGCAAUAAGCAAAGCACACAAGCGAAAAAAAGUGAAGACUUUCUCUCCACAACUAUUAUGAUGAUACCAUGCCAACUUUCAACCUUUUCGUAGUUCAUUUGAAAUGCCUGUUGUAACAGACGAGUUUCCGUAUGAAAUCCUGAUACUUCGAAACAGAUUGUCCGUAUUGUACAUGAAGUGCAUCCAGUUUUUGCCGUAACCCUCUCUACUUUCUUGCACAUGCUAUGUGGGUGAAAUGAUGAUACCAUGCCAACUUUCAACCUUUUCAGAGUUCAUUUGUAGUGCUUUUCAAUUUCAGGGUCUUAUAGCUCAAAAUAAUCAGUAAAUGCAUGGAAAAUAAAAAAUAUCAUAAAAUAAAAUAAAUAAGUAAUUAGAAACAGAAUAAAAUAUAUAAGUAGAAACAAAAUAAAAUAAACUUUAAUAACAUAAAGAAAAUUUAUGAAACUAAAAUUAUCAACGUAUUUUCUGUUCAAAACAUUAUAAGCAACCUCUAGUAUUAUUGAAACUAAAAAUUAUAUAAAAUUGAUGCAACUAGAAUUAUCAAAGUUUUUCUGUUCAAAAUCAUUAAAAGCAAAAAGAAUUUUCAUAAAGAAUUUUUUUGUUAGAAACUUUAAUAGCAAAAAGAAUGAUCAUAAAAUAAAAUAAAUAAGUAUUUUGUUGUAAGUAGAAACAAAAUAAAAUAAAUAAAGCAAAAAAGAAAAGAAAUAAACUAGGAAAAAAUAAAAAAAAAAUGCCACCUACUGGGCCACAAUGGCAUGAAUACGACUAGAAACCCAUCCAUGGGCUAGGAUUCAGGCCCGCAGAAGGCCCAGCAGGCCCACAGGCAUAGCACUGCGAGAUUAGGCCCAGAGGCCUGCAAUUCAGAGGAGUUCAAUGGAGAUGGCGGGGCAGGGCUUAUAAACAGGUCCUGCCGCUCCUCGGCUAGCAAGGUGGGACUAAACAUCCCACCGCACCGCGGCUUUGGCAGGCGCAGGCCUUUGGUCCCGGUUGGUAGCACCAACUGGCACUAAAAGGGGCAUUGGUCCCGAUUGGCGCCACGAACCGGUACCAAAGCCACCCUUCAGUCCCGGUUGGUGCCAUCAACCGGGACCAAAAGCCUGUGCAUCCCGCCCUUUGGGCUGCUGAAAAGAGGCCUUUGGUCCCGGUUGGUGCCACCAACCGGGACUAAAGGGUGGCUUUGGUCCCGGUUGUUGCCAUGAACCGGGACUAAAGCAUUUCCUAUAUAAGCCAGCACUUGGCAUUUUUUCAGAUUUCAUCGCCAGUUGCCGCCCGACGGCACCGACCUCCUCAAUGCCGCCAGGCUGCCCCGCCGCCGUCGCCGUCGUCCGUGCCCCCGAGCCCACGCCGACGCCGUCCGCCGCCCCCGAGCCCACGCCGUCGCCGGUCGCGCCCCUGCNNNNNNNNNNNNNNNNNNNNNNNNNNNNNNNNNNNNNNNNNNNNNNNNNNNNNNNNNNNNNNNNNNNNNNNNNNNNNNNNNNNNNNNNNNNNNNNNNNNNNNNNNNNNNNNNNNNNNNNNNNNNNNNNNNNNNNNNNNNNNNNNNNNNNNNNNNNNNNNNNNNNNNNNNNNNNNNNNNNNNNNNNNNNNNNNNNNNNNNNNNNNNNNNNNNNNNNNNNNNNNNNNNNNNNNNNNNNNNNNNNNNNNNNNNNNNNNNNNNNNNNNNNNNNNNNNNNNNNNNNNNNNNNNNNNNNNNNNNNNNNNNNNNNNNNNNNNNNNNNNNNNNNNNNNNNNNNNNNNNNNNNNNNNNNNNNNNNNNNNNNNNNNNNNNNNNNNNNNNNNNNNNNNNNNNNNNNNNNNNNNNNNNNNNNNNNNNNNNNNNNNNNNNNNNNNNNNNNNNNNNNNNNNNNNNNNNNNNNNNNNNNNNNNCCUGACGCUGCCUCCUCGUCGUCGUCGCCGUCGCCGCGCACCCUGUGAGCGCCGCCCCGAUCCCCUCCUCCUCCUCCUCCUCCUCCCUGUAAUGGCCGCCGCCGCUGCCACCGCGCCCCCUAGCUAUUAUGUGUAGUUUAGAUUUGUAAUUUAGUUGUAUUAAUUUGGAUGUGUAGUUAGAUGUGUAGUUAAUUUAGUUGUUCUAAUUUAGAUGUAUUAAUUUCGAUGUGUAGUUUAGAUUUUUUUGGUGAUAUUAUUAUUGAAUAUGCAAAUGUUUGUAUGUUCAUAUGCAAAGAAUAUGUCAAUUUUUUCAUAGAAUUUUUAUGUUUUUUUCUGUUGUAAUUUUGUUCAUAGAAUUUUAAUGAUUUUUUUCUGUUGUAAUUUUGUUCAUAGAAUUUUUAUGAUUUUUUUGUUCAUAGAAUUUUCUUUGUCAAUUUAUGUAUAUGUUCAUAUUGUGUAGGAAUCUGAAAAUUGUGUAUGAUCAAAGUAAUUUAUGUAUGUUCAUAUUUAGAAGAAAAAGAAGGAGAGAAAAAAGGAAAAUAAGAAGAGGAAGAAGGAGAAGAAGAAGAAGAAUAAGAAGAAGAGGAGAGGAAGAAGAGGAGAAAUAAAUAAGAAGAUGAAAAAGAAGAAAAAAAAAGAGGAGAAGAAGAAGAAAUAGAGGAGAAGAAGAUUAUUCUAUUUUUUCUUCUUCUCCCUCUAUUCCUUCUUCUUCUCCUCUCUUUUUUUCUUCUUCUUCCUCUUCUUAUUUUUUUAUUGGGUAUGUCGUUGUCGAUAUACCCCCCUCCCCGAUAACUUUUAGUAGGUACUACUUAGAAAGUGUUUAAUAGAAUUAGUUAGAAAAAUAAUAGAACUAGUUAAACUAGUUUAUUUUUAGUAAGUACUACUUUAUUCUAUUUAUAGUAAGUGCUUAGUAGUUGAACUAGUUGAUUUAAUAAAACUAGUUUAUUUUACUAUAUAGAAGUAGUUUUUUUUAGCAAGAAAAUUAAUAGAACUAGUUUAUUUUUUUAGUUAAAGCAAUUAUUCCCUCAUCGACGUCGAUGAUGCCUAUCCCGCAUCCUCGUCAUCGACUCGGCGGAGGAGGCCGGCUUGAUCAGAGGGGCCAUGUCCGGGACUGGGCUCCACCGGGCUGGUUUUGGGAGGUGCUACGUUCCGGGGGGCAUAGGUUGGUGAGGAGCCAGCCCGUCGUUGACCCGAUCCUUGUUUGGUGGCGGUCGCGUGGGCUAGUGACGGUGCCGAGGCUUCCGGACACCGCGGAGGUGGUACGUCAUCGUGUCAGCGAGGAGGACGAGCACGUCCUUCGCUACAUGGUUGCGUUGGAGGGCAGGUUCGACAAUACCUGGCAGGUUCUUCAGGGAUCUCACUGGAGCUAUGAUCCUGUGAUGGUUCCUUCCCUUUGGGUGUCCACAGCCCGCGCCGAUACCCGUCGGGCACUACGGUUCUAGCUGUACUAGCGAUGGUAUAUGUAUGAUAGUAUUCGAGGUGUAUUAGUGAUAAUAUUCGACGAUGUACGGACGGAAGAGAUGAUGUAGUUUUGCUUAUAAUUGAAUUCAUGCUAAUUUGAAUACUACUUUAUUUUACGAUUUGGUUUUCCUUAUUGAAUGCUCAAAUUGGAAAACUACUCCUACUUUGAAUGCUAAAAUUGGAGAGCACUAUGCAAGGCGUAUGCAUAUGAUUAGUUGAUAGCUUAUAGGGUUUUUGUUGUCGCAGAAAUCUAGGAGCCCCCUUCCAUCAUCCCCGCCGUCGUCCCCAUCACCGACCCCCUCCGACCUCGAGGUGAGACCAGCCAAAUCCUUUUUUAGAAAGAUAAUUAAACGAUAUUUCGGGUUGACUUUAAGUCUGUCGAGUCUCCACCAUAUAUAUAUGAGAGGACGAAGAAUCCCGACUGUUGUCGUGGGGGUCGCUUCUCCUUCAUUCCCGUGUGCUAGACAUUUUGGUGUAAUGCACUCGGGGACGAAUGGAGGAGCGACCAUCACCAAGGAUCGAAUGUAUACACCACGUGAGCUGAUAGUUUUCAAGAAAAGACUCGACAGACCGAUAGUCAACCCGUGAUGAAUAAUAAUGAUCUAAUUUAGUUUUUGUAGUACAUAUAUUUAAUUGUACAAGUUUAAUCUUUGAAUUAUGAACGUACGAAAUGUCGUCAUCGGACGACGAAAGUCUCCCGGGGGAGUGCGGCUGGUGCCACGAUGAUCGAGGUUUGUGCGACAGGCCUCACCUGGACGAUGAUCGGCGCUUCAACAUUAAGCUCGAGGAGACCUUCGAUGUUGAAAUGGUACGCAACGGCGGCAAGUGUUUUUUUCGUAAUUAAGCAUGACUUCAACUAUUUCAACGUGUAAUUUUCAUCUUUUACAAUUCGAGUAUAGCUUAUCCCAUGCCAUGCAAGACGCAAUGUCUUGGAGAGGAUGGAUUUUGAAGACCAUGAAAAUUUUGAAACAAAGAAAAUUCACCUAAGGACCCAUCAUGAUGUGGAUUUUGAAGUAAAUCUGUAUAAUGCUGAGAGCGUAACCCAUUUUGGUUGCAAAAAUUGGGAAGCAUUUUGCAAGAUGUAUGGUUUUGAUGAGGGUAUGCUUGUCACCAUGGAUCUUGGUGAUCCUGACAUCGACCAAGACAAUAUGGACAUUUGGGUCCUUGUUGAUACGCCUCCAGUUCUACCGCUAUGUGAGUUUCUCAAACAUAGUUAAUUAUUAACUAAUUUAUAUUGUUUAUUUCAAAAUAGUUGACAGCUUAUUUCCAUUGACAGCUUAUUUUUAUUGUUCAGACAACGUGCGGAACAUGGUAGACAAAACCCACUACACCGAUGGCUCCGAGUUAACUUAUCAGGAGAAAAAUCAUCUGGUCAGAUUUUGUACUGAUCUUGAGAAUUACAAUAUCUACAAUCAAACUCCUCAACAUUAUGGUCAAUACGUGCCACUAGUGCACGUGUUGAACUACGGUAACUACCAUGGAGAUACCUUGGUAAGAUUUUUUUACUAUUACGACAUCCGUGCAUCUUUUGCAUACUUCUAAAACUAGUACAUCAUUGCUAACUAUGAAGUUAUUACUAUGUUUUUCAACAGAGAAUCCCAGAGGACUGUGUGCCUCAUUUGAUGUAUCAGAAUGGCAGCCUUCGUGUUUUGAACAUAUAUCCAGGUCAUCCUACGAAUCUUAACUGUCCAUACCGGAUUUCUAAAAGAAGUGGAGACAUGCGAAUCAGAGAAUGGAAAAAAUGUAUGGACAGUCGUAAGGAGGUUCUUGGAAGCAAAAGGAAGCGCCGCACAAGAAUUGGAGACAGGAUGAUCUCCAUUCUCCAUAAUGGAGAGUCAGGGUCUAUAUUGUUUUAUGCUAUUUUACCUUAAAUAGGAUAUUUAGGUCCUGCAUAAUACUGAUGAUCAUGUGCUAAGAACAAUUAAGUAGGGUUGGUUCGAUGACUAUCAGGAUGAUGAUCGUAUGACUUGUUAUUAAUAACGAGUAGAAGUUGUAUGAUGAUGAUUAGUAGGACUUGUUAUUAUGAUGAUGCAUGAUGCGAGCAUGAAGAGUUAUUAUAUAUCUGUGGGUGAAAUAAACAUGGAUUGGAUUGAAGUGAAGCCAAUAUGCAUGUGGUGCAUGUCGAAAGUAGUACAAUCCAAACUUGAUCAAGUUAGGAUUAGUAUUACUUUCGACAUGCACCACAUGUUGCCUCACUUCAAUCUAAGUCAUGUUUAGAAAUAGCAGUAUAGCAGUAGCACGGAGAUAAGAGAGGACACACCUCUCUAUUAGCUACCUAUAACAACCUAAAUUAACCCCCAAAACCCCAAAACCACCUUCUUUAAAAAAAAACCAGCCCCUGAAAUGCUGACACGUGGAAGCUUAUUGGUCCCGGUUGGUGCUACCAACCGGGACCAAAGGCCCUCCUGCUUGGGCUCGCCGGAGCGGCCACAUGGAGGCCCAUCUGUCCCGGUUGGUAUAAGAACCGGGACUAAAGGCCUAGGGCAUUAGUAACGACCCUUUAGUCCCGGUUCCACAACCGGGACAGAUGGGCCUUAUGAACCGGGACAAAUGGCCCUUUUUCUACUAGUGAAGCGAUCUCAGCAAUUUCUUCACCACCUCAUGGUCGGUGAUGUCAGUGGCACCAAGCGCUUGAAGCUCAUUUGAGAUGUCAGUGAGGCGAUCGAAGGUUUGUUGAACAUUUUGAGUCUUUUGAAGCGGUUGAAGAGAUUGCGAAGAACAUCAACUCGAGAGUCACGCUGUGUUGAGACUCCUUCAUUGACAUUGGACAGCCUAUCCCAGAUAAGCUUAGCAGUUUCCAAAGCACUCACUCUUCCAUACUGUCCUUUGCUCAGAUGGCCACAUAUGAUAUUCUUCGCUUGAGAAUCGAGUUGCUUGAAUCUCUUCACAUCAGCAGCAUUCAGAGAAGGUGUGACUGAGGGAACACCAUUUUCCACAACAUACCAGAGAUCGUUAUCAAUUGCCUCAAGAUGCAUUCGCAUCUUAUUCUUCCAGUAGGGAUAGUCCGUCCCAUCGAAGGUAGGACACCCAGCAGAGACCUUGAUCAUACCUGCGGUCGACAUAACUAAAACUCCAGGCGGUUAAACCAAAAUCACACAGAACAAGGGAGUACCUUGCUCUGAUACCAAUUGAAAGUGCGUUAUAUCGACUAGAGGGGGGUGAAUAGGCGAUUUUUAUGAAUUCUUCACUGAGGAAUUUGCGGGUGAGGAAAUUCCUUAGCGAAGAACUACUUGCAGCGGAAUAAGUACUCAGAAGUAAACAUAACAGAAUACAAGCAUGGUCAUCAUGAUGAAAUGAAGACAAGCACAGAGUACAGAAAGCGUAAACACAUGAUAACACAGGGUGAAGACAAAUAGACUGAAGAAAUUGAACUGAGGAAAUUGAGAAAGUCUUCAGUCAGAGUCUUCAAACACAGAUAUGAACAAGUGCACAAUCACAGUUAUGAGGAAAUGAAAGAGUUGAGGAAAUAGAACCAGUAAGCUUGGUGAAGACAAUGAUUUGAUAGACCAGUUCCAACUGCUGUCUCAGUUGUACAUCUGGUUGGAGCGGCAAGGUAUUUAAACCUGAGGACACACAGUCUCGGACACACAGUCCUCACCGUAUUCUCCUUGAGCUAAGGUCACACAGACCUCGCCCAAUCACUCGUGGUAAGUCUUCAGGAGACUUCCAAACCUUCACAGACUUGGUCACUCGGCGAUCCACAAUUCCUUUUGGAUGCUCUAGACCAUGGCGCCUAACCGUCUGGAAGAAGCACAGUCUUCAAAGGUAACAAGCGUCGGAUCCACGCAGGAUCAAUCUCUUCAGUGAUGCUCAAUCACUUUGGGUUUGUAGGUGUUUGGGUUUGGGUUUUCCUCACUCGACGAUUUUCGCUCAAAGUCCUCGGAGGAUGGGAUGCUCUCAAAUGACAAGUGUCAGUUUCUCUCGGAGCAGCCAACCAGCUAGUGGUUGUAGGGGGCGGCUAUUUAUAGCCUAGGGAGCAGCCCGACAUGAUAAGACAUAAAUGCCCUUCAAUGAUAUGACCGUUAGGUGGGUAGAUAUUUUGGGACAGCUGGCACAAGGCACAGCAACGGUCGGAAAUUUGAGUAUCAAAUUCCUCAGGGCUAUCAUGUUCCUCACUGUGUAGGCAAUCCGCACUGUCAAAUUCCUAACUCCUCAGUCAGAACAAAUUCCUCAGAGACUAGAAGAACUUCGUCUCUGUCACUGAAGAAUAUGACUGAACUGUAUGAGAUUUUCAAUGGCUUCACCCGAAGGGAUUGGUAGGUGUAGGAUUUUGAGUUGAGCAUCACAUGGAAAUUUUUCCUUAUUAUUUCCUCGACCCCCUUUAACAGUACGGUGUUUCCUAUGACUCAAGAAAGAGAAAAUGAAGCUACGAAAACAAAAGUCUUCAUGCUUCAUGUUCCUCGAAUGAAUACCAAGUCUUCAAGGUCACACCAAUUUCUUUACUUUCAAAGUCUUCAGAAAGUCUUCAGAAAUCUAAAGUCUUCAGUCGAGAACUUCAUUUUUAGGGAUCGACUUUCUCUGUAAAUAUCAAAGUCCUCAUAGACUUAUAGACCUGUGUACACUCAUAAACACAUUAGUCCAUUAACCUAUAAGUCUUCAAUACACCAAAAUCACUAAGGGGCACUAGAUGCACUUACAGUAAUUGGUGUUUACUUAUGUCAUAUUUGUUGGCACUAUACUCGUUGUUCUUAAUAUGAUAUGCGACAUACACAUUUUACUUUAUAAUAUAUAUUUCCUGGCGCUAUAAGCAUUGUUUUUAGUACGAUAUGUGAUGUACACAUUAUUUUUGUAGAAAUAUAUGAUUUUGUGUAUAAAACAUGCAUGUUGGGCGAUCGGAGGCGUUGUACAGCCGCCGGUUGCUUUAUUAAAAAAACGUUAACAGCCGCUGGGCCGCGAGAGGCGCCAGCGGGUGCAAAGGGGCGCUACGUACGAGGAUGAUUCAGGUGCCGCCGCAGAUGGCGAUCCCGAGGCAGACGCCACCCUCUGGCGCAGAGGGGCGCAAGUGGGCCAAGGGCGAAUCAACCUCGGGGGCGGCACAUGCCAACCCUGGAGCGACGCGCGGCGCUGGCUGGCUGGCCAGAUGACGCGGCCCACGUGGCCCAUCUCGCGCCGAACACGUGUCGCCGUCUAAGCCGCACGAGGCGAGCACGUGAGGCGCGGCGCGGGCGACGAUCGCCUCUGAUACGUGAUCAUCAUAUAUCAACUGAGUAUUUUAAAGCCUCAACCUCGUACAUUCGCGCGAACACUCAUUCAACACAAAAUAUAAAAUAAAUUUUAAAAUAUCAAAUGAUUAAAAUGUACCUUAAAUAAAUUUGUCAGGCUACAUAAUCUGGACAUGUGAAAAAUAUUUGGAACUCACAUAGAAAAUAAAGCAUCCACACACAAUCCUCAAUCAUGAACACAUAAUGUUUCGAAAACCACGUAGAAUUCUCAUAUGAGAUUUUUAUUUUUGUUUCCUUUUCGCAAGUCGAAUUACUUUGUUCCUCACUUCUGUAAGCUUAUUUUCUGGGGACAAAAUAAUUCCAGCUAUCAUUCUUUCUCUCGAACUAUCAAUAGAUUCCUGAAAAAGAGUAAAAAUAAUUUUAAUUUCAUCACUUAUAUAUAAUAUGAUGUAAUAAUUUUUCAUACUAAAACUGUACCCACCUGAGAAAUAGCACUUAUAAAUUUUUCUCCGUCCCAGUAUUGAAAAUUGCGAAGGAGGAACAACCCACAUGAGUUCCUGUGUUUGAAAAUCAUAAGUGCAAUUUUCAAAGCACGUUAAGUAAGAUAGCACUGAAUCAAUUAAUGUAUUUCGAAAGCACGUGUAACAUGUAACUCACUCAUCUUCUUGUUGAGGCAUGUCGUACGGGACUAUAGGCCAUGCGGACACAUCCGGGAACGACAUAAUUACACUAUCAUUUGCAUCUUGGAUAGCUCCUGCAAGUUGCUCUCUCUGGAAAAAAAUACAAACACGUUGACUACAUACGGUAAACAAAUUAUAUGGUUAAUUGUACACACAUGAAUACGAAACUUACAAAAUUUUCAACGAAUUUCCUGGUAGCUUCAGAGAUAUUUUCUUCCCCCCUCAAAGAAUCAAGAAUUUGGAACUCUUUCUUUCCCGUGUGCAUAACACAUGUAAUCCAGUGGUUUUUAUCCUAUUUAAAGCAAAAUAAGCCUAUUUCCCAAUUUAAAUAUUGUUACUAAGCUCGCCUUUCACAUAUGAUAGUAAUGAAAAAACAAUUCUGCAAUACAAACGAUACCUUCAGUUUUGCAAAAUAUUCUGUCAUGCAUCUAUUGAGAGGUUCAUUUGCAUGUGCUAAACCUUCUGGAUCGUCUACCGACUUCCCUUGUCUUACUAUCUUUGGGCGAGUGUUCAAUAACCAGUAAGACCUAUGUGUGGGUACAAGAUACCUGUCCUUGGCGAUACUGGAAUCCUUUAUGUACGUCGCAUAAGCAUCAAUUACCUGAAAUAGAUGACUAAAUUUAACAUGGAUGCAAUAUACUUAGCACAUGAAAUAAGCAUGACAAUAGAAGUACACACAUCAUCGGAUAACCAUGCAUGGUUAAGUAUCUGGCAAACUCUUGCCGCAGAAAGUCCUUCAUCUUUACCGUUGUUGAAUAUUUCAUGGUUCUUAUGUUUUGGUGAGUGCUCGUACGCUUUCACAUACUGCACAGCUGCACGCACCAUAUCAUCCACAGAAUUAUCAAACUGAGGGCUUGUUUAAUUAAACAGUUCUACAACACAAGUCAAUAAAGUUAUAGUACAAAUUUUUAAUAUAUAAUUACAAAUAAAUAUUCAUACCAUGUUUAACUUACUCGCUUUCGGGGAACGUUUCACACGUUUUUUGGAGUCUUUUUAACAUAAGGAGAUUUCUGGUACUUUGACACAGUCCGCUUUCGCUUCCCUGGAAUCACCUCCUUCUUCUCUUCUAUCUCGCUAUUACCAUCUGACAUGCCCCGUGACACUUCUUGCUCAUUUUGUUCCACUUCCCAUCUUGUUGCUUCUAUUUCAUCGGUUUUUAGAGAUGAUGUUUCUUUUGUUUCCGACUGCUCUGGGACAUCUAUAGGAUCAUCCUUCUCACCUUUAUAGCUACUCAAGUGACCAGUACUGAGUUUGAACGAAUCCCCUCCUUCAAAAUCCAAAUCAUAAUGCCCACUGCCAUUUCGGCCAUUAGGUGUGUGUAUGUCAUCAUACUGAAAUUCUUUUUUAGGAUACUUGUUUUCAUACCCGGACUCACUAUUCUGUCCAAACAGAUUUUCUUCCUCCUCCGCCAUUGUGCCUGGUUUGUACCGCACACCUGUUUUAUUCAUUUUCUCUAACAGUCUCUGCAAAAGUAAGCAUAGUUACAUGUUAUAUAUUUUUGUCAAUUUAUCGAAUUUAAUAGAGUGCAUACCAGAAUUGCUAAAUUUUUACCUGUGCGCAUAACUCCGGCAUACGAAACAAUUCCUUACGAAUUUCCUUCAUAUCAUUCAUAACCCGGUCCAUAAAAGGCUUUAGGUUAGCAGGGACCUCAGACACACAAUCCACUUUUCUCUUUCCCGUAACGGAUGACUUUGGGCUACUAGGUUUCUUACUGCUUUCAGCAUGUUCAUCUGCAAGUUUUUUCAUUCUAUACUCUUUCGUAAUGCAGUCAUCUAUCUGCAAAGUGAGUAUGCAAUGAAAACAUAAGUAACAUAAGUACAUAACAUUUACGAUGGAUAAUCAACGUAUUGUUAAAUAAACAUUACAAUAUUACCAAUCCAUGACCACGACCAUUUUCCAGGACGUACUUGUCUCGUUUCUCCGCUUUAGAUUCAGUCCAGUUUUUCAUUAGGGGAACUUGCAACGACAACGGGUCAUUUUUCGGGCCGGUGGUUGGCUGCACCUUCUCCCAAUAUAAGUACUACAAAACAAAUGACAAAAUAAAUUAUGAAUGCAUAAUAUGAAGGAAUAUUAAAUAACAUUAAUUAAUACCAUACCUGGAGUAGGGCUAGGUUGCCACAUGGCCAUUGCCUCACAGGCCGUCCUGCUUGAGUUUACCAAUCUCCAUCAAACAAGUUCGCAAAGUGAACACGUUAAAGUUCAACGUGCUUAUCCGCUUCAUGUCAUGCACCAACGUGUAGUACUCCUUUGGUAGGAGACAGCCGACAUCGGUGCAAUAAUAGUCCCCGACAAAACAAGAACAUUCAUCCAAAGAAACUCAUCGUCGGCGGAUUAUUCCUCACAAUUUUUUGGAUCAAGUCAUCUAUCAUUAUCUGACCAUUUUUUUUGUGAACGUACUGAAUAGGAAUUUUCUUUAUUAACUCUUUUCCUUCCGUCGCAAGAAUGCCAAAAACAUCCUCACCUUCAUUCUUAAACCCAAAUAUUGAAAACACAUCGUCCGGUCUAAGUGAAAUAAGGCCUUUACUACCAAUUUCUUCUUGUAUCAUGAAUUUUUUGCUGUUUGGGUUAUAACCUAACAUCAUAAACUGCAGCAAAAAAUCUCUCAUUUGUACUGACUGAAUGAUCAACAUCUCUUGCAAGUUUGUUUCGUAGAACCUAAAUCGCUGAGCGGUUGUUAAUUUCUCAAUGAGACUUAUCCACUUCUCUAUGGAACAUGGAAUCACACCAUCGAUGUACAUAUUGCAUGUCAAUUUUUUUAUAUUAAUAAAUAAAAUUACGCAAUAGCACUAGAAGAAAUUGUACGAGGCGGGAAAAUGUGACCUUCAUCCAGGCGAUAGCCGUCGAACAACGGCUGUGGCAGAGGGAAAGUAGGCAGCCGAGCGUCGGCGAGAUACGCCGGCGGGCGUGGGGCGGCCUAACACCCAAUGCGGCAACGUGCGCCGUUGACGGUCAACGGCGUUGGACGGCGUUGCACGUGCGGGGACGGCAUUGUGCGCGCGUGGGGCGAUCGUGAUAGGGCGACGUCGGGGCACGGGGCGGCGUACGGGGGCGAGUGGUGGGGUUGGGGUAGGGUUUCGCCGUGCGUGGCGGUAUACGGCGAUGGAGAGGAAAAAACGUUUCCAAGCGCCGACUGUGCCAGGCCCGAUACCGCCCAACCUAUCCGUGUGACGGCAGCCACCGCCCAACCUACUAAUCCUUUAGUCCCACAUUGCUUCUCGUCAUGCUUAUUCACCUGUUUAAAUACCGUCCUCUGCCUGCAAUGUUAAGUCCCUGAUUGUGGCAGCCUUACUUAAGUAGGUUAUUGUAUAUUAUGCUCUGGCACUCCAAAAUCAUGGAGUGUCACAGCAAUAAUUUACAUUAAUCUUCUUAAGUAAAUCCGUCCACACUACGGGAUUUUUCUUUUUUUAUGAAACGUCACCAUUUUUUUCACACGCUACAGUGUGCCACACAAGCACGCAUGCCAAAUUUCGAUGCGUUUCGACACUCGAUGCAUUUACUAUGAUUUUCUCCGUGAAAAUACCGAGAAAAGGUCUCCCGACGUGACGCAACUUCCAUUCGUACUCCGAUUCCGUUGAAAUUUUCCGUGGGAGACUGUGGGGGUCACUCACACGCGCAUGCAAAAGUUGGGUGCUUUUCGUCCAUGUUGACAUGUAGUUGCAGUACAAACCUCAGGUAUCGGUUUGGGGGGACGGGCAUCCAGUAGGAGUUCCCUUUCGCAAAGUCAUGAAACUUCACCAUUUUUUUCACACUCUACAGUGUGCCACACAAGCACGCAUGCAAAUUUUCGGUGCGUUUCGACACUCGAUGCAUUUACUNNNNNNNNNNNNNNNNNNNNNNNNNNNNNNNNNNNNNNNNNNNNNNNNNNNNNNNNNNNNNNNNNNNNNNNNNNNNNNNNNNNNNNNNNNNNNNNNNNNNNNNNNNNNNNNNNNNNNNNNNNNNNNNNNNNNNNNNNNNNNNNNNNNNNNNNNNNNNNNNNNNNNNNNNNNNNNNNNNNNNNNNNNNNNNNNNNNNNNNNNNNNNNNNNNNNNNNNNNNNNNNNNNNNNNNNNNNNNNNNNNNNNNNNNNNNNNNNNNNNNNNNNNNNNNNNNNNNNNNNNNNNNNNNNNNNNNNNNNNNNNNNNNNNNNNNNNNNNNNNNNNNNNNNNNNNNNNNNNNNNNNNNNNNNNNNNNNNNNNNNNNNNNNNNNNNNNNNNNNNNNNNNNNNNNNNNNNNNNNNNNNNNNNNNNNNNNNNNNNNNNNNNNNNNNNNNNNNNNNNNNNNNNNNNNNNNNNNNNNNNNNNNNNNNNNNNNNNNNNNNNNNNNNNNNNNNNNNNNNNNNNNNNNNNNNNNNNNNNNNNNNNNNNNNNNNNNNNNNNNNNNNNNNNNNNNNNNNNNNNNNNNNNNNNNNNNNNNNNNNNNNNNNNNNNNNNNNNNNNNNNNNNNNNNNNNNNNNNNNNNNNNNNNNNNNNNNNNNNNNNNNNNNNNNNNNNNNNNNNNNNNNNNNNNNNNNNNNNNNNNNNNNNNNNNNNNNNNNNNNNNNNNNNNNNNNNNNNNNNNNNNNNNNNNNNNNNNNNNNNNNNNNNNNNNNNNNNNNNNNNNNNNNNNNNNNNNNNNNNNNNNNNNNNNNNNNNNNNNNNNNNNNNNNNNNNNNNNNNNNNNNNNNNNNNNNNNNNNNNNNNNNNNNNNNNNNNNNNNNNNNNNNNNNNNNNNNNNNNNGUAGUUGCAGUACAAACCUCAGGUAUCGGUUUGGGGGGACGGGCAUCCAGUGGGAGUUCCCUUUCGCAAAGUCAUGAAACGUCACCAUUUUUUUCACAUGCUACAGUGUGCCACACAAGCACGCAUGCAAAAUUUCGGUGCGUUUUGACACUCGAUGCAUUUACUACGAUUUUGUCCGUGAAAAUACCGAGAAAAGGUCUCCCGACGUGACGCAACUUCCGUUCGUACUCCGAUUCCGUUGAAAUUUGGCGUGGGAGACGGUGGGGGUCACUCACACGCGCAUGCAAAAGUUGGGUGCUUUUCGUCAUUACAUUCUUUUUAUACGAAUUUCUACAUGCAAAACACAAAAAUUGCAAGAUUUAUUUAUUUUUUCACAGCCGGUGCGCGCGGCGCAAACGGCCGGGCUACGAAGGCGACCAACGGCGGCCGCUUGGGCGCCGUUUGCGGCGCACACGUGAGGGCCCAUGAAAGCAAAAAUCCACGGCGACCACCGCCCAACCUGCUAAUUGUUUAGUCCCACAUUGCUUUUGAACACGCUUAUUCAUCUGUUUAAAUAUUGUCCUCUCCGUACAAUGUUGAAUCCUUUAAUGUGGCGGUCUUUCCUCAGUAGGAUAAUGUAAAUGAUGCUAUGGCACUCCAUAAUCAUGGAGUGUCACAGCAAAAAUUUACAUUAAUCUUCUGAGGUAAAUCUGUCCAUACUACAGGAUUUUUUGUUCUUGUGUUUUUUAAUAUUUACAAAUACAGUGCUCUUCGGACAUAAUUUUUUAAUAUUUACAAAAAUAAUAAAAAAUUAUUGCAUCAUAGGACGGGUAUACUUACCCAGAAGGAAUGAUGUACGUGUUGCUUUGCUUGUUGGUAAAGAUCAACAAGCAGAGCAACACCUACACCAUCUGGAUUCGUAUACAUGUAAUAUGAAGCAAUAAUAACUGAAAGUUAAAAUAUUAUCAGCCUUUUUAAUCCACUACAUAUGAGUCUCCACAAUUAAUGUGGUACUAAAAUUCUUUAUAAAAAGGUUCGCCUACAGUGGCCAUAAAAGGUGCGCGGGGGUGGCCCACGGCGCGCACGGGCCAUGGUCGGGCGGCCGGCCGUGUGUGCGCCGCUAGGGGCGCCAACCGCCCAGUGUUGUAUUUUUAGUCCCAUAUUGCUAGUUUUCACGACUAAUCAUGUGUUUAAAUAGCUUCAUCCAUAUACAACAUCAAAUCUUUAAUCGUGGUGGCCAUACCUCACUAUGCUUAGGUAGGUUCUGCUCCGUCACUCCACAAUUAUUGUGGACUGAUACAACAUGACCUGUAUAAGUGUUGUAAGGUAUGACUAUCCGCGCUUGAAGAUUUUUUUGUACGUCCCGAAGGAGUUUUUUUUUGACAUCCUUCAAAUGGACCCAUUUUUUUCAUACAUUUUUACACUCAUGGCAAGCAAGCAUGUGAAGUUUCGGGGUAUUUCCAACCUCCGACAAUUUUUCUACGAUUUUCCGUUCUCUAAAACCGAAACACACUCCCCGGACGUGACGCGACAUGAGUGUGUGCUCCGAACAUGAUGAAAUUUGACGAGAAAUCCUACGAUGGCCAUGCCUACCCUGUCGCAAUAUUUGGGGUCGUNNNNNNNNNNNNNNNNNNNNNNNNNNNNNNNNNNNNNNNNNNNNNNNNNNNNNNNNNNNNNNNNNNNNNNNNNNNNNNNNNNNNNNNNNNNNNNNNNNNNNNNNNNNNNNNNNNNNNNNNNNNNNNNNNNNNNNNNNNNNNNNNNNNNNNNNNNNNNNNNNNNNNNNNNNNNNNNNNNNNNNNNNNNNNNNNNNNNNNNNNNNNNNNNNNNNNNNNNNNNNNNNNNNNNNNNNNNNNNNNNNNNNNNNNNNNNNNNNNNNNNNNNNNNNNNNNNNNNNNNNNNNNNNNNNNNNNNNNNNNNNNNNNNNNNNNNNNNNNNNNNNNNNNNNNNNNNNNNNNNNNNNNNNNNNNNNNNNNNNNNNNNNNNNNNNNNNNNNNNNNNNNNNNNNNNNNNNNNNNNNNNNNNNNNNNNNNNNNNNNNNNNNNNNNNNNNNNNNNNNNNNNNNNNNNNNNNNNNNNNNNNNNNNNNNNNNNNNNNNNNNNNNNNNNNNNNNNNNNNNNNNNNNNNNNNNNNNNNNNNNNNNNNNNNNNNNNNNNNNNNNNNNNNNNNNNNNNNNNNNNNNNNNNNNNNNNNNNNNNNNNNNNNNNNNNNNNNNNNNNNNNNNNNNNNNNNNNNNNNNNNNNNNNNNNNNNNNNNNNNNNNNNNNNNNNNNNNNNNNNNNNNNNNNNNNNNNNNNNNNNNNNNNNNNNNNNNNNNNNNNNNNNNNNNNNNNNNNNNNNNNNNNNNNNNNNNNNNNNNNNNNNNNNNNNNNNNNNNNNNNNNNNNNNNNNNNNNNNNNNNNNNNNNNNNNNNNNNNNNNNNNNNNNNNNNNNNNNNNNNNNNNNNNNNNNNNNNNNNNNNNNNNNNNNNNNNNNNNNNNNNNNNNNNNNNNNNNNNNNNNNNNNNNNNNNNNNNNNNNNNNNNNNNNNNNNNNNNNNNNNNNNNNNNNNNNNNNNNNNNNNNNNNNNNNNNNNNNNNNNNNNNNNNNNNNNNNNNNNNNNNNNNNNNNNNNNNNNNNNNNNNNNNNNNNNNNNNNNNNNNNNNNNNNNNNNNNNNNNNNNNNNNNNNNNNNNNNNNNNNNNNNNNNNNNNNNNNNNNNNNNNNNNNNNNNNNNNNNNNNNNNAAACUGAAACACACUCCCCGGACAGGACGCGACAUGAGUGUGUGCUCCGAACACGAUGAAAUUUGACGAGGAGUCCUACGGUGGCCAUGCCUACCCUGUCGCAAAAUUUGGGGUCAUUCUGAAGAUGGCCAAAAAUGACCUCCCUCAGCGCACGCCGUUUUGGUAGGAGCGAAGGCCCCGUCCCGACGGAGGUUUUCUUUUGACAUCCUUCAAAUGGACCCAAUUUUUUUUCAUACGUUUCUACACUCAUGGCAAGCAAGCAUGUGAAGUUUCGGGGCAUUUCCAAUCUCCGACAAUUUUCUAUGAUUUUUCAUUCUCUGAAACCGAAACACACUCCCCGGACGUGACGCGACAUGAGUGUGCUCCGGGGCUGCCAAACGGUCAAAACUAAUAUAGGUACUAAUAAUGUGAUUUAAAUCAGGUCUGACAAAUAUUAAAAAAUAUUGGUAUUAAUGAUGUAAUUUAAGUGAGGUGAAACAAACUUGCGUAGAGUGGUAAACUAUCAAAAAUAAGAUAGAUACUAAUGAUAUGAUCUGAGUUUACAAUGCGCUAGUAGCACUCCCGUUACACUGUCCGGGCAGCUGCGGCAGAGCUGCCCGGGUAGUGCAAAGUCAAAUCAAAUUAUUACUAACUAUCUUAUGUGCCAGGGUGCAUGAAUCCGGCUAUUUAAGCCGGUCGGGCGUCCUUCGGCGGGCGAGAUGAAGGAAAUAUGCCCUAGAGGCAAUAAUAAAGUUAUUAUUUAUUUCCUUAUAUCAUGAUAAAUGUUUAUUAUUCAUGUUAGAAUUGUAUUAACCGGAAACAUAAUACUUAUGUGAAUACAUAGACAAACAGAGUGUCACUAGUAUGCCUCUACUUGACUAGCUCGUUGAUCAAAGAUGGUUAUGUUUCCUAGCCAUAGACAUGAGUUGUCAUUUGAUUAACGGGAUCACAUCAUUAGGAGAAUGAUGUGAUUGACUUGACCCAUUCCGUUAGCUUAGCACUCGAUCGUUUAGUAUGUUGCUAUUGCUUUCUUCAUGACUUAUACAUGUUCCUAUGACUAUGAGAUUAUGCAACUCCCGUUUAUCGGAGGAACACUUUGUGUGCUACCAAACGUCACAACGUAACUGGGUGAUUAUAAAGGUGCUCUACAGGUGUCCCUGAAGGUACUUGUUGGGUUGGCGUAUUUCGAGAUUAGGAUUUGUCACUCCGAUUGUCGGAGAGGUAUCUCUGGGCCCUCUCGGUAAUGCACAUCCCUUAAGCCUUGCAAGCAUUGCAACUAAUGAGUUAGUUGUGGGAUGAUAUAUUACGAAACGAGUAAAGAGACUUGCCGGUAACGAGAUUGAACUAGGUAUUGAGAUACCGACGAUCGAAUCUCGGGCAAGUAACAUACCGAUGACAAAGGGAACAACGUAUGUUGUUAUGAGGUCUGACCGAUAAAGAUCUUCGUAGAAUAUGUGGGAGCCAAUAUGAGCAUCCAGGUUCCGCUAUUGGUUAUUGACCGGAGGCGUGUCUCGGUCAUGUCUACAUUGUUCUCGAACCCAUAGGUUCCGCACGCUUAACGUUUCGAUGACAGUUAUAUUAUGAGUUUAUAUGUUUUGAUGUACCAAAGGUUGUUCGGAGUCCCGGAUAUGAUCACGGACAUGACGAGGAGUCUCGAAAUGGUCGAGACAUGAAGAUUGAUAUAUUGGAAGCCUAUAUUUGGAUAUCGGAAGUGUUCCGGGUGAAAUCGGGAUUUUACCGGAGUACCGAGGGGUUACCGGAACCCCCCGGGGGCUUAAUGGGCCAUAGUGGGCCUUUGGGGAGAAGAGGAGAGGCGGCCAGGGCAGGGCCGCGCGCCCCUCCCCCCUAGUUCGAAUAGGACAAGGAGAGGGGGCGGCGCCCCCCCUUUCCUUCCUCUCUCCCUCCUCUUUCCCCUCCACUCCUAAUCCAACUAGGAAAAGGGAGGGAGUCCUACUCCCGGUGGGAGUAGGACUCCACCUGGCACGCCCCUCCUGGCCGGCCGCACCUCCCCCCCUUGCUCCUUUAUAUACGGGGGCAGGGGGCACCCUAGAGACACAACAAUUGAUCGUUUGAUCUUUUAGCCGUGUGCGGUGUCCCCCCUCCACCAUAGUCCACCUCGAUAAUACUGUAGCGGUGCUUAGGCGAAGCCCUGCGUCGGUAGAACAUCAUCAUCGUCACCACGCCGUCGUGCUGAUGAAACUCUCCCUCAACACUCGGCUGGAUCGGAGUUCGAGGGACGUCAUCGGGCUGAACGUGUGCUGAACUCGGAGCUGCCGUGCGUUCGGUACUUGAUCGGUCGGAUCGUGAAGACGUACGACUACAUCAACUGUGUUGUGCUAACGCUUCCGCUUUCGGUCUACGAGGGUACGUGGACAACACUCUCCCCUCUCGUUGCUAUACAUCACUAUGAUCCUGCGUGUGCGUAGGAAUUUUUUUUGAAAUUACUGCGUUUCCCAACAGUGGCAUCCGAGCCUGGUUUUAUGCGUUGAUGUUAUAUGCACGAGUAGAACACAAGUGAGUUGUAUGCGAUAUAAGUCAUACUGCUUACCAGCAUGUCAUACUUUGGUUUGGCGGUAUUGUUGGAUGAAGCGGCCCGAACCGACAUUACGCGUACGCUUACGCGAGACUGGUUCUACCGACGUGCUUUGCACACAGGUGGCUGGCGGGUGUCAGUUUCUCCAACUUUAGUUGAACCGAGUGUGGCUACGCCCGGUCCUUGAGAAGGUUAAAACAGCACUAACUUGACGAACUAUCGUUGUGGUUUUGAUGCGUAGGUAAGAACGGUUCUUGCUCAGCCCGUAGCAGCCACGUAAAACUUGCAACAACAAAGUAGAGGACGUCUAACUUGUUUUUGCAGGGCAUGUUGUGAUGUGAUAUGGUCAAGACGUGAUGAGAUAUAAGUUGUUGUAUGAGAUGAUCAUGUUUUGUUGAAGUUAUCGGCAACUGGCAGAAGCCUUAUGGUUGUCUCUUUAUUGCAUAAGAUGCAAGCGCCAAAUAAUUGCUUUACUUUAUCGCUAUGCGAUAGCAAUAGUUGCAAGAGCAAUAGUUGGCGAGACGACCAUGUGAUGACACAUUGAUAUAGAUCAAGAUGAUGGAGAUCAUGGUGUCAUGCCGGUGACGAUAGAGAUCAUGACGGUACUUUGGAGAUGGAGAUCAAAGGCGCAAGAUGAUCAUGGCCAUAUCAUGUCACAUAUUUUGAUUGCAUGUGAUGUUUAUCUUUUAUACAUCUUAUUUUGCUUAGUUCGACGGUAGCUUUAUAAGAUGAUCCCUUACUAAAUUUCAAGGUAUAAGUGUUCUCCCUGAGUAUGCACCGUUGCGACAGUUCUUCGUGCUGAGACACCACGUGAUGAUCGGGUGUGAUAAGAUGUACGUUCAAAUACAACGGGUGCAAGAUAGUUUUGCACACGCGGAAUACUCAGGUUAAACUUGACGAUCCUAGCAUAUAACAGAUAUGGCCUCGGAACACUGAGACCGAAAGGUCGAGCGUGAAUCAUAUAGUAGAUAUGAUCAACAUAAAUGAUGUUCACCAUUGAAACUACUCCAUCUCACGUGAUGAUCGGACAUGGUUUAGUUGAUAUGGAUCACGUGAUCACUUAGAGGAUUAGAGGGAUGUCUAUCUAAGUGGGAGUUCUUAAGUGAUAUGAUUAAUUGAACUUUAAUUUAUCAUGAACUUAGUCCUGGUAGUAUUAGCAUAUCUAUGUUGUAGAUCAAUAGCUCGCGAUGUUGCUCCCCGUUUAGUUUUAUAUGUUCCUAGAGAAAACUAAGUUGAAAGAUGUUAGUAGCAAUGAUGCGGAUUGGAUCCGUGAUCUGAGGUUUAUCCUCAUUGCUGCACAGAAGAAUUAUGUCCUUGAUGCACCGCUAGGUGACAGACCUAUUGCAGGAGCAGAUGCAGACGUUAUGAACGUUUGGUUAUCUCAAUAUGAUGACUACUUGAUAGUUUAGUGCACCAUUCUUAACGGCUUAGAAUCGGGACUUCAAAGAUGUUUUGAACAUCAUGGACCAUAUGAGAUGUUCCAGGAGUUGAAGUUAAUAUUUCAAGCAAAUACGCGAGUUGGGAGAUAUGAAGUCUCCAACAAGUUCUGUAGCUAAAAGAUGGAGGAGAAUAGCUCAAGCAGUGAGCAUGUGCUCAGAUUGUCUGGGUACUACAAUCGCUUGAAUCAAGUGGGAGUUAAUCUUCCAGAUAAGAUAGUAAUUGACAGAAUUCUCUAGUCACCAUCACGAAGUUAGUAGAACUUCGUGAUGAACUAUAGUAUGCAAGGGAUAACGUAGAUGAUUCCCGAGCUUUUCAUGAUGAUGAAAUCAGACAUCAAGAAAGAGCAUCAAGUGUUGAUGAUUAACAAGACCACAAGUUUCAAGAAAAGGGCAAAGGGAAAGAAAGGGAACUUCAUGUAGAACAGCAAGCAAGUUGCUGCUCAAGUGAAGAAGCCCAAGUUUGGACCUAAGCCUGAGACUGAGUGCUUCUACUGCAAAAGGACUGGUCACUGGAAGCAGAACUACCCCAAAUAAUUGACAGAUAAGAAGGAUGGCAAAGUGAACAAAAGUAUAUUUGAUAUACAUGUUAUUGAUGUGUACUUUACUAGUGUUUAUAGCAACCCCUCAGUAUUUGAUAACUGAUUUAGUUGCUAAGAGUAGUAACUUAAAACAGGAGUUGCAAAAUGAACAGAGACUAGUUAAGGAUGAAGUGACGAUGUGUGUUGGAAGUAGUUCCAAGAUUGAUGUGAUCAUCAUCGCACAAUCCAUAUAAAUUUAGGGAUUAGUGUUGAACCUAAAUAAGUGUUAUUUGGUGCUUGCGUUGAGCAUGAAUAUGAUUGGAUCAUGUUUAUUGCAAAACGGUUAUUCAUGUAAGUUAGAGAAUAGUUGUUGUUCCGUUUACAUGAAUAAAACCUUUUAUGGUCAUACACCCAAUAAAAAUGGUUUGUUGGAUCCCCAUCGUGGUCAUACACAUUUUCAUAAUAUUGAAGCCAAAAGAUGCAAAGUUAAUAAUGAUAGUGCAACUUAUUUGUGGCACUGCCGUUUAGGUCAUAUUGGUGUAAAGCGCAUGAAGAAACUCCAUGCUAAUGGACUUUUGGAAUCACUUGAUUAUGAAUCACUUGAUGCUUGCGAACCAUGCCUCAUGGGCAAGAUGACUAAGACUCCGUUCUCUGGAACAAUGGAGCGAGCAACUGACGUAUUGGAAAUAAUACAUACUGAUGUAUGCGGUCCGAUGAGUGUUAAGGCUCGCGGCAAGUAUCGUUAUUUUCUUACCUUCACAGAUGAUUUGAGCAGAUAUGGGUAUAUCUACUUGAUGAAACACAAGUCUGAAACAUUUGAAAAGUUCAAAGAAUUUCACAGUGAAGUGGAGAAUCAUCGUAACAAGAAAAUAAAAGUUUCUACGAUAAGAUCGCAGAGAUGAAAUAUUUGAGUUACGAGUUUGGCCUUCAGUUAAAACAAUGUGAAAUAGUUUCACUACUCACGCCACCUGGAACACCACAGUGUAAUGGUGUGUCCGAACGUCAUAACCGUACUUUAUUAGAUAUGGUGCGAUCUAUGAUGCCUCUUACCGAUCUACCACUAUCGUUUGGAGUUAUGCAUUAGAGACAUCUGCAUUCAUGUUAAAUAGGGCACCAUCUAAAUUCGUUGAGACGACACCGUAUGAACUAUGGUUUGGCAAGAAACCUAAGCUGUUCUUAAAGUUUGAGGUUGCAAUGCUUAUGUGAAAAAGUUUCAACCUGAUAAGCUCAAACCCGAAUCGGAGAAGUGCGUCUUCAUAGGAUACCCAAAAGAAAAUGUUGGGUACACCUUCUAUCACAGAUCCGAAGGCAAGAUAUUCGUUGCUGAGAAUGGAUCCUUUCUAGAGAAGGAGUUUCUCUCGAAAGAAGUGAGUGGGAGGAAAGUAGAACUCGAUGAGGUAACUAUACCUGCUCCCUUAUUGGGAAGUAGUUCAUCACAGAAAUCUGUUCCUGUGACUACUACACCAAUUAGUGAGGAAGCUAAUGAUGAUGAUCAUGUAACUUCAGAUCAAGUUACUACCGAACCUCGUAGGUAAACCAGAGUGGUACGGUAAUCCUGUUCUGGAGGUCAUGUUACUUGACCAUGACGAACCUACGAACUAUGAGGAAGCAAUGAUGAGCCCACAUUCCGCGAAAUGGCUUGAGGCCAUGAAAUCUGAGAUGAGAUCCAUGUAUGAGAACAAAGUAUGGACUUUGAUUGACUUGCCCAAUGAUCGGCGAGCCAUUGAGAUUAAAUGGAUCUUCAAGAGGAAGACGGACGCUGAUAGUAGUGUUACUAUCAACAAAGCUAGAAUUGUCGCAAAAGGUUUUCGACAAGUUCAAGGUGUUGACUACGAUGAGAGUUUCUCACUCGUAUCUAUGCUAAAGUAUGUCCGAAUCAUGUUAGCAAUUGCCGCAUUUUAUGAAAUCUGGCAAAUGGAUAAACAAAACUGCAUUCCUUAAUGGAUUUAUUAAAGAAGAGUUGUAUAUGAUGCAACCAGAAGGUUUUGUCAAUCCUAAAGGUGCUAACAAAAUAUGCAAGCUCCAGCGAUCCAUCUAUGGACUGGUGCAAGCAUCUCGGAGUUGGAAUAUACGCUUUGAUAAGUUGAUCAAAGGAUAUAGUUUUAUACAGACUUGCGGUGAAGCCUGUAUUUACAAGAAAGUGAGUGGGAGCACUACAGCAUUUUUGAUAAGUAUAUGUGAAUGACAUAUUAUUGAUCGGAAAUAAUGUAGAAUUAUUCUGCAAAGCAUAAAGGAGUGUUUGAAAGGAGUUUUUCAAAGAAAGACCUCGGUGAAGCUGCUUACAUAUUGAGCAUCAAGAUCUAUAGAGAUAGAUCAAGAUGCUUGAUAAGUUUUUUCAAUGAGUACAUACCUUGACAAGAUUUUGAAGUAGUUCAAAAUGGAACAGUCAAAGAAAGAGUUCUUAGCUGUGUUACAAGGUGUGAAAUGGAGUAAGACUCAAAGCCCGACCACGGCAGAAGAUAGAAAGAGAAUGAAAGUCAUUCCCUAUGCCUUGGCCAUAGGAUCUAUAAAGUAUGCCAUGCUGUGUACCAGAUCUAUUGUAUACCCUACACUGAUUUUGGCAAGGUAGUACAAUAGUGAUCUAGGAGUAGAUCACUGGACAGCGGUCAAAAUUAUCCUUAGUGGAAUAAGGAUAUGUUUCUCGAUUAUGGAGGUUAAAAAAAGGUUCGUCGUAAAGGGUUACGUCGAUGCAAAUUUUGACACUGAUCCAGAUGACUCUAAGUGUCAAUCUGGAUACAUAUUGAAAGUGAGAGCAAUUAGCUAGAGUAGCUCCGUGCAGAGCAUUGUUGACAUAGAAAUUUGCAAAAUACAUACGGAUCUGAAUGUGGCAGACCCGUUGACUAAAAUUCUCUCACAAGCAAAACAUGAUCACACCUUAGUACUCUUUGGGUGUUAAUCACAUAGCGAUGUGAACUAGAUUAUUGACUCUAGUAAACCCUUUGGGUGUUGGUUACACGCCGAUGUGAACUAUGGGUGUUAAUCACAUGGUGAUGUGAACUAUUGGUAUUAAAUCACAUGGGGAUGUGAACUAUUGGUAUUAAAUCACAUGGUGAUGUGAACUAGAUUAUUGACUCUAGUGCAAGUGGGAGACUGAAGGAAAUAUGCCCUAGAGGCAAUAAUAAAGUUAUUAUUUAUUUCCUUAUAUCAUGAUAAAUGUUUAUUAUUCAUGCUAGAAUUGUAUUAACCGGAAACAUAAUACUUGUGUGAAUACAUAGACAAACAGAGUGUCACUAGUAUGCCUCUACUUGACUAGCUCGUUGAUCAAAGAUGGUUAUGUUUCCUAGCCAUAUACAUGAGUUGUCAUUUGAUUAACGGGAUCACAUCAUUAGGAGAAUGAUGUGAUUGACUUGACCCAUUCCGUUAGCUCAGCACUCGAUCGUUUAGUAUGUUGCUAUUGCUUUCUUCAUGACUUAUACAUGUUCUUAUGACUAUGAGAUUAUGCAACUCCCGUUUACCGGAGGAACACUUUGUGUGCUACCAAAUGUCACAACAUAACUGGGUGAUUAUAAAGGUGCUCUACAGGUGUUUCCGAAGGUACUUGUUCGGUUGGCGUAUUUCGAGAUUAGGAUUUGUCACUCCGAUUGUCGGAAAGGUAUCUCUGGGCCCUCUCGGUAAUGCACAUCACUUAAGCCUUGCAAGCAUUGCAACUAAUGAUUUAGUUGUGGGAUGAUAUAUUACGGAACGAGUAAAGAGGCUUGCCGGUAACGAGAUUGAACUAGGUAUUGAGAUACCGACGAUCGAAUCUCGGGCAAGUAACAUACCGAUGACAAAGGGAACAACGUAUGUUGUUAUGCGGUCUGACCGAUAAAGAUCUUCUAGAAUAUGUGGGAGCCAAUAUGAGCAUCCAGGUUCCGCUAUUGGUUAUUGACCGGAGACGUGUCUCGGUCAUGUCUACAUUGUUCUCGAACCCGUAGGGUCCGCACGCUUAACGUUUCGAUGACAGUUAUAUUAUGAGUUUAUAUGUUUUGAUGUACCGAAGGUUGUUCGGAGUCCCGGAUAUGAUCACGGACAUGACGAGGAGUCUCGAAAUGGUCGAGACAUGAAGAUUGAUAUAUUGGAAGCCUAUAUUUGGAUAUCGGAAGUGUUCCGGGUGAAAUCGGGAUUUUACCGAAGUACCGAGGGGUUACCGGAACCCCCCGGGGGCUUAAUGGGCCAUAGUGGGCCUUUGUGGAGAAGAGGAGAGGUGGCCAGGGUAGGGCCGCGCGCCCCUCCCCCCUAGUCCGAAUAGGACAAGGAGAGGGGGCGGCGCCCCCCCUUUCCUUCCUCUCUCCCUCCUCUUUCCCCUCCACUCCUAAUCCAACUAGGAAAAGGAAGGGAGUCCUACUCCCACCCUACUCCCGGUGGGAGUAGGACUCCACCUGGCGCGCCCCUCCUGGCCGGCCGCACCUCCCCCCUUGCUCCUUUAUAUACGGGGGUAGGGGGCACCCUAGAGACACAGCAAUUGAUCGUUUGAUCUUUUAGCCGUGUGCGGUGCCCCCCCCUCCACCAUAGUCCACCUCAAUAAUACUGUAGUGGUGCUUAGGCGAAGCCCUGCGUUGGUAGAGCAUCAUCAUCGUCACCACGCCGUCGUGCUGACGAAACUUUCCCUCAACACUCGGCUGGAUCGGAGUUCGAGGAACGUCAUCGGGCUGAACGUGUGCUGAACUCGGAGGUGCCGUGCGUUCGGUACUUGAUCGGUCGGAUCGUGAAGAUGUACGACUACAUCAACCGCGUUGUGCUAACGCUUCCGCUUUCGGUCUACGAGGGUACGUGGACAACACUCUCCCCUCUCAUUGCUAUGCAUCACCAUGAUCCUGCGUGUGCGUAGGAAAUUUUUUGAAAUUACUGCGUUUCCCAACACGAGGUGGGACUAAAAAAUGCGCCGCCACCGUACCGCACACCGCCCCUGUGCCCUGGACCGCUCGCGCGCGCGCCUUCCAGGCGGCCCACUCGGCCCACCGAAAUCGGCCCCCCCUCAGCGGUCCGCGCAGCGCUGCGGGAGGCGAGGUCUAACUUUAGUCCCACCUCGCCUGCCGAAGCGCGCUCACACCGCUUAAAUAGCACGCCCCGCCCUACCCCACCGUCCUCUUAAAAAAACAAUAGCUCGCCUACUCUCUCUUCGCCGUCUGGUUGGGCCCGUGGGCCUUGCAGGGCAGAAAAGCGGUCCCUUUCGCCGUCGGCUUGAUCGGGACCGACUUACUACGCCUCGCUCGGCUCCGGGCCGGCGGUCUUUUUUUUAACAAAGUUCUUUUGAUUUUUGUUUUUGCUAAUAUUAUGUAAUUUUUUUAUUGUUUCAUUUUUAUUUACUUUUCUAAUUUUUAUAUUUUUUCAAUUCAAGUUUUAUUCGGUUGUGAUUUUUAAUUUUUUACAAUAGAACGAUUUCAAAUAAUGGUAUUUGUUCAAACUCUUUUUAAAACAAAAAAAAUAUUUUCAUUCCUUUUUGCUAAUAUUAUUUAUUUUUCCCCUUUGUUUCAUUUUUAUUUCCUUUCCUAAUUUUCAUAGUUUUUUGCAUUUAAAGUUUAACUCAUUUCUGUUUUUAAAAUUUAUUUUCAUUCUUUUUUGCUAAUAUUAUUUAUUUUCCCCCUUUUUUCAUUUUUUUCUUUCCUAAAUUUCAUAGUUUUUUUGCACUUAAAGUUUAACUUUCUAUGUUUUUUAAUUUUUUACAAUAAUUUUGUACAAAAAAACAAUUUUAAAUAAUAUUAUCAACUCAAACACUCGAUUUUUAAACAAUAUUUUAAAACCAUGCAUUGAAACACACUCGAUGUUUCAUUAUAGUUUUCAUAAAUAUUUUACAUACUACUAGAAAUUUAACUUAACUAAACUAACACUACUAGGAAAAGGGCUAUAGAUGAUAUGGACACUAAUGGCGCACCACACAUGUGGUGCGCCACUACUAUAUAGCAGUGGCGCACCAUGUGUUGAUGCGCCAUUAGUGUCCAAAUACUAAUGACGCACCACAUCCACGGUGCGCCACUAGUAACAAAUUUUUUUUUUCAAAACUAGUAAUGGCGCACCAGGGGAUAGUGCGCCAUUACUAGUUUAACUAGUAAUGGCGCACCACAUCCACGGUGCGCCACUAGUAAUUUUUUUUCAAUUUUUUUUCAAUUUUUUUUCAAAACUACUAAUGGCGCACCGUGUGUGUGGUGCGCCAUUACUAGUUGAACUAGUAAUGGCGCAUCACUCCCACGGUGCGCCAUUAGUAACUUGCCACAAAAAUUCCACCGAAUGCACCCCCCCGGACCGCCUUUUCAGUUUUAGAAAAAAUAAAAGAAAAUGAUGGAAAUGUCAAAAAAAUAAAAGAAAAUAAGUUUCCCAUGUGAUAUGUGGUCUACUUGUUGGGAAAAUUUACAAAUAUGAAUUUCGACUUUAUUUGCAAAAUCUCUCUGGAAUUUGUAAAAUGUGCAUAACUUUUGCAUACGAACUCGGAUUAAAAAGUUUUUUAUAUGAAAAAUCAUCUACUCGAAAAGAUACAUCCGAAUUUAACGGGGGAACCCCGUUAAACAUUUUCAGAAUCCUCCAAAACCUAACAAAAAAAGUUACGGGGCUUUUAAGAUCCGGGGAGGCAAAAAAAUUCAAAAAAAACAAACUCAGUAAUGGCGCACCUGCCCAUGGUGCACCAUUACUAUCUUCCCGCCUUCAAAAUUCAAACUAUAUCAAAAAAAUAAUAAAUAAAGUUAGUAAUGGCGCACCUGCCCACGGUGCGCCAUUACUAUCUUCCCGCCUUCAAAAUUCAAAAUAAAUAAAAAAUUAAAAAAAAGUUAGUAAUGGCGCACCUGCCCACGAUGCGCCAUUACUAUGCCGUAUAUAUGGCUGGGCGGGGUCCUCUCCUUCUUACCUCUUCAUUGUUCUCCUCCACUCCACCUCUCCUCCACUCCAUCUCCUCCUCUCCUCCACUCCAUCUCCCCUUCUCUCCUCCACCAUACUCCCCUCCUCCUCUCCGGCGACCUCCUCCUCCUCCUCUCCGGCGACCUCCUCCCCCCUCCUCUCCUCCCCUCCCCUCACGGUUUCUCCUCCCUCCUCUCCGGUGAUCUCCUCCCUCUCCGGUGAGCUCCUCCUCUCCUCUCCUCCCCUCCCCUCAUGGUUUCUCCUUCCUCCUCUCCGAUGCUCCAGUGACCUCCUCCUCCUCUCCGGCGAUGUAGGCGAGCGCCUCUCCGGUGACCUCCUCCUCCUCCUCUCCGGUGACCUCGGCCCUCCUCUCCGGCGAACUCCUCUCCGCCAAAAGAACACGGCAAAAGAACGUACAAGAUCCAAAAACGAGAACAAAAUUUGAAAAAAUAUCGUGCAAAAAAAUGAGCAAAAAAAAACGAGCAAAAAAUGGGCAAAAAAAUCGCGAUCCAGAUCCAAAUUCAAAAUUCAAAAAUAGCAAUGGCGCAUCACCCCACAGUGCGCCAUUAGUAUGGCAAAGCACAUGUGUAAAUAUCGCCCCCUGGGAGGCACACUAAUGGCGCAUGUUGGUCUAUACUAAUGGCGCACGGCGUGAUGCGCCAUUAGUAUACCAGAUACUAAUGGCGCACCAGUGGUGCGCCAUUAGUAUUUAAUACUAGUGGCGUGGUACUAGUGGCGCACCAGUAGUGCGCCAUUAGUAGGCAAAACUGGUGCGCCACUAGUAGGCCUUUUCCUAGUAGUGUAAACAACAUUACGAAAAUAAUUAAACAUUACUAAACAUUAUUCCGAAAGUAACCUAAACUAAACUACUCGUCCUCGACACCGCCGAAGUCCGCCUCGUCGUAGAGCCCGUCGCCGUCGUCGCUGUCGUUGCUGCUGCUGCUGCUGUCGUCCAGGGGCACCACCGGCGCGGCCGGCGCAGCCAUCGAGUCGGCCACCGCGGCGUGGUAGCCGGGGAAGUCCGGCGGGUCCUCUGGGUGGACGGCGACCGGGGCGACCAGCAUGUACUCCUGGACGAGGGGCGGCGGCAUCGGGACAUUCUCCGACUCCCGGAUCGCCGUCAGGUAGCCCGGCAUGUCCUCCGGGUCGCCGGCCUCCGCCGCCAUCCGCCUGUACUCAGCCAGCAACGCCGCCUCUAGUUCCUGCGCCGGCUCGGGUGGAGGGGCGCGGCUGGACCCGGCGCCGUCCCUCGCGAGCGUACGACGAUCGCCGCUGCCGAGGCGGACAGAGCCGCGGUCGCCGCCUAUGCCGGCGAGGGGCCCACGCGGGGGCGCGUGCGUGCUGAGGUUCAUACGCGCCCCCAUGUUUUCAUGGGUGGACCACGCCUCGCCGCGGCGGAACAACGCGUAGCCGUAGCUCGUUGCGGCGGGCACGACGCCGGCGACCGCCUGGGCGCGGUACGGGGCGACGACGUCCUCGAAGGAGCGCCCGUCCCAGAGGUGGUGCCGCCCCGCGUGGUUGUGCUUCACGGGCGGGCGGGGGCCGGCGUAGGCGUGGAGACGGCGGUCGUGGUCGUCGGCGAGCCGGGCCGCCCACCCGGGGUGGCGGGGGCGUACUGCGGGUCCGCCCGCUCCUCCGGCGAGAGCCGCGCGCGAUACAGACCAACGGCAUGGGCGAAGUUGGGCGUGCCGACGUCGGGCACCGGCGCGACAGGCACGGCGUCGACGCUGAGACGCCACCUCGACGGCAAGCGGACGUAGGGCGCGGCGGGGAUGGAGAAGUGGGCGAGCUCCUCCGCCUCCUCCAAGGUCAGGUUGGGGCGGGCCAUCGCUGGCGGCAGAGAGAGAGGGCGCGAGAGGCGGUGGUGGGUGCCGGCGAGUGGGGAGGCGAGAACGGGGUGCCACCAACGGCGGGAGGGGCCGACUUUUAUAGGGCGGGGAAGGGGCGGGGGUGGGUACCGGCGAUUAAUGUCGGCAGGCGAGGGGGCGGCGUGCGCAGGCGGUCAAAGCGGUGGCAUGGGCAGGCGGCGAGCGCAGGCGGUCAGCGUGGGAAUCGACGCCGGCGAUUAGACUCCUCACUGUGGCGAUUCGACGGGGUGCUGCGCGGCGUAAAUGGCCACCGCAAUCCGCGCCGGAUUAAUGCGGGGACGGUGGUAGUGGACUAAGUAUGCGUGGGCCGCCCCUGACGCGGGCGUACACCGCCACGUACGGCGUAUAGCGGACCGUACGUCCGCGCGCCGCGGUACGCCGCGCCCACCUGAAUUUCCCAUCCUACCCCUCCUCACUUAUCCUCAUGAAGGGGUAUCUUUUAAUAUGGGCCAUUGAUGUGUCCAGCGGGAGUUGUACCGAAGACGAAGUGUUCAGACGCGCCUUGCGUCCCACAUUUCAACUUGGUUUGAGAAGCGUGAAAACGAGAAGUCCAUCCCUGAACGCAGCGGCAGCGCCGGCGCGCGUGCCAUCGCGAUUCGAAUCAGCUAAGCGUGCUACUUAGAGUAUAGCCGAAUGUUGGAGAGCAAACUGAAAUGUACCCCCUCUGUCCCAUAAUAUAAUAACGUUUUUGACAUUAUAUCAGUGUAAAAAACGUUCUUAUAUUAUGAGGCAGUGGGAGUAUAUGCGUAUUCAAAGGACCAAACCUGACACCACUAUCUGACACAAGCAGGGUACGCGCGCAGACGAGAGGACGACGUGCAACGCAACAGCAUGUACCGGCACAACCCAGUUACGCUCCAUUGUCAGGAGUGUUUUCAGUUAAUGCAUGUUGUACUGCAACGCAGCAGCCUUAGCUAGGAAAGCAAACAUAUUGAUGUUUUUUAUUAGUCGCGGUAAUCACAUGGUUGAUCCAUAAACACCAAAAAUAUCUCUAGUUUUAUUCCAAACGAAACGCUUACACUAUCAACUUAUUAUAUAAAUAAAAAACUCAUAAGCGAUCUCCAACACUAUACGUACAACAUAACCAAACUAGCAUGGCGUACUUUUUUACAGCAUUUGUGCUAGGCCACGGACGCCCACGCUGCACAUUUCGUCCAUGCCCCCAGCGCGCUCACGGGCAGCGUAUACGUCGUACACACCAGAGGACGUGUCCCCUGCAUGCGUGCAUGGUGCGGCCCCACCACCGCCGUUGUUGACAAUUGGGUCAUGUUUCCCCACCUGCUACACGCCAGGUCCCGGACGCCUAAUUACACACUCUGCAUGCCAGGUCCUUUGCGUCAGGUAUUUCGCAAGAAUGGACCGAUGUAUGUCCCCUUUUCUCGUUUGAACAAAGAUUAAUGCCCAUAUCACAUCGCCUGGAGCAGCGGCCGCUGCGUGCAGGACGUCCGCUCUCGCCUGGAAACGCUGUAUCUGCGCGAUGUGCGUAUCACGGGGGAGGAGUUAGGGUGCAUUCUGUUCAGUUCAACUGCUUUGGAACACCUCAAGCUCGUAUAUUGUGAUGAUAUAGUUCGUCUGGAGAUACCUUGCCUGCUGCAGAGGCUCAGCUUCCUGGAGGUGGCUGGAUGCAUGAAUCUUCAAGUGAUAGAGAACAAAGCUCCAAAUCUCUCCAGAUUUUACCUUGAAGCAGGUGAAC
RNAcentral lists this long non-coding RNA (148103 nucleotides) under Triticum aestivum (bread wheat). RNAcentral's name for it is "long non-coding RNA (TAES_LNC008990)". The record is from RNAcentral. Lineage: Eukaryota; Viridiplantae; Streptophyta; Magnoliopsida; Poales; Poaceae.